RNAcentral lists this long non-coding RNA (122194 nucleotides) under Setaria italica (foxtail millet). Its description in RNAcentral is "long non-coding RNA (SITA_LNC004628)". Lineage: Eukaryota; Viridiplantae; Streptophyta; Magnoliopsida; Poales; Poaceae. The record is from RNAcentral.
CUCUGGGAAAUGAAGAGGCGAACGAUGCCGUUGAGAGUUGCGACCAAGCCUGCUCUAGCUUCUGCAGCGUGCAUGUUGGCAGCGCCACCGUGGUUGCUUAAGCAAAUGCAUCCAACUAGAUCGUCCUUGUGCUGAAUAAUUGGAUAUCGUAUCCACUUAAAGCUGCCUUGUGUAGUACGUCUUUGUGUCUCUCUUUAUAUUCCAAUAAGGUCGGUGAUCUUGAUGCCACACACUCAGAUGUGUGUUCAUCUCCAGAUACUACUCCAUGCUACCUGCCCUUUGUGUUUUGUUCAAUAACUGGGUAUCAUAUCCCAACCAGUAUGCCGUCUGUUUUGUGUUUGUUUCCUUCUAGUUCCAAAAGGGUCAUCAUGAUGUUACCUUCUUUCAAUAUGGUGCUUUGCAUGACUACUGUUGUAUGGUACCAUCUUGUGGCCAAUAAGUACAUCUUAUCCUAUGACCCUUUGCUAUGACCCUUUGCAAAUAAGUAGAAGAUUGUUAUAAGCGUCAAUACUCAGUAUAAUUGAUCGCUGCUGUGAGUUCCCUUUCAGCUUAUCGUAGGCAUACAUUAUUGCUAGCACGGUAAAGCCAACCAACACGAAUGAUGAAGUAAACGUAGCGGUACUUCUGUAUACCAACACCCUUACUUAAAUGUACCGGUGUCAUUCCCUACUGGCACAUAUAUUCUUAUAUGCUAGCCAGCUUGUAAAAUUAACCAAUUAAAAUAAUUAUUUCAAGAUAGAAAUAACUUAUCGGCUUCUGGAAGCAUGUGUAAUGUGAAUUCAAGGACUCGACGGAAGUUGAAUCACUUCAUCUAUAUUGCUUUCAGGAUUUUGGGUAACUAAAUUUAACAUUUGCACAUACAAAUGUUAAAGUACAAAUGUUAAAUCUAGUUACCCAAGCAGAAUAUGAAGAUAGUUUAUAGUAUAUAUAUACUAUAAAUAUACUAUAUAAAUCUAGUUAACAUUUAGUCUAAAUGUUAAAUCUAGUUACCUAAAAUCCUGAAAGCAAAAUGUAUAAAUAUAUAUCUUUUAAGGCAGUAUAAGCUUCGAUUCCUAUUGCUGCUCUGUUAAAUCUCAUCUUUCGUUGUGGCCCAACACUCUAGUAUGCAUGUUGCACCAAGCUUCUUUGAGCCGCUCUGCCCUCUGAUUUUGCUGUGUAGGGGAAUCUUUAUCAGGUUGGGCUACUUCCAGUUGUGCGAUGUAAAGAUUCGUAUUUUCUAGAAGGUAGACAAAAAACUCGCGUUCUCUUAAGGCAACAACCGGAAGAUUCUGCAGCGCAUAGGGCAUACCAUUAUUGUAGAAACGACCUUUAGUACCGAUCUCCAACCCCCUUUAAAACUGGUUUUGCAACCGGUACCGUUAUGUCGGUCCUUUAGUACCAGAUCAAAUAACCGGUACUAAAAGAGUCAACUAAAAGGACUCUUUUAGUACCGGUUGGUAACCAGUAUCAACUUGUUUUGUGGCCAAAAAAAUAAAGAAAAAAACAGUCAGAAGGCUCGCACACACGCGCAUCACAUGAAAUAUGCGUGUGCGGGGUCCAUGGGAUUCGAACCCAUGAAAUCAAGCUACGCGCGACCCUUCGUUACCAUCUCACCUGAAGUAACCCGUGGAGGAGGCUUUAGUACCGGGUCAUAACACCACCCGGUACUAAAAGUGACUCUUCAGUACCGGGUCAUAACACCACCCGGUACUAGUAUCGGAUGGUGUAAUGACCCGAUACUAAAAGGCCUCUAGGGACCCUCAAAUUUGAACCCGGUACUAAUGCUAAUAUUAGUACCGGGUCAAAGUGCAGCCAGAACUAAAGCAUGGGAUGAAAGGUCAUAUUUCUAGUAGUGUAUAGUUGUUGUGAAGGACUUACUUGGCUGUCCUCUCUCUUCUCCAUCCCCUUGGUCUUACGCCGCCGCUCGCACGCGAGCUGGUGCCCAACCAGAGGAGUGAGAGCUAGGGGCAGGUUGGGAGGUGGGGAUAGCGACUGGUGGCCAGGGUGAUGGUUGAUCCUGGCGGGGUUAGGGUUUUAGGGUUUUCGAGCUUCCUAUGGUCGGCGAACCUAGAGGAGGAGCUCAACAUCAGCUGCAACCCGCGAUGGUGGUGGUUUGGCCAGCGCCCGAGGCGAGGCAGCGCGGGAGUGCUGCCGGUGGGUUGGUGUUGGCACUCAUUAUUGACAACUAUUUUGUUCAUAAAAUAACACUCAAACUUGCUGCUGCUGCCGCCGCCAUCGCCACCCUAGCCAUAAUAUAAAGGCAAAAUUUGCUAAAGGACAUGCAAAAUGAUGCUAGUUUGCUGGCGGGCAUCGUUGACCUUGUAAUAUGCUACAAGACACUCUAGUUGUGUAUCAAUUUGCUGAAAGACAUUGCUAUGACUAAAAUAAUGUUUCUGGACUGAGUUGGAGAGAGAGAUGGAGUGAAAUGUCUGUUUUGCCCAUGACCCCACUGGUCAGAUCCUUCUUCUUCCACCCUCCUUUGUUCUUUCUUCAACCAUUACCCAGCUCCAGCGUGUUGCAGAUCUACGAGGGUGGCGGCCUGGGGCGAGGGGCAUUGCUCGCCCUCGGAGGAGCGCUGCGAGCGACGGCGCGGGGGCGGCAACCGCGCGUCAGAACCUGACUGUUCGUUAGCUCCUCUCGCUGCUGGGGAAGAAGGAGGGGGAUGGGCCAUGGACGGGGUUCCCUUGAAAACCUCAGCGUCGAGCUCGGGCGGCUACGCGCAGGCAGCACUAGGCUGCUUCACGGGGAGGGGGCGCGGCCAAUCAUUGGCACCCCACUGGUCCAAUGCUGAUGAAGAUGGUGCCAGCGUCGUGUGAGGACAUCUCAUCUCCUCGAGUUCCAUGGCCAGCACAGGUGAGCUGCCGCUACCACAAAACAGAGAUUUCGUGAGAGUCAAAAAACCUUAUGAAAAUAGCUAAAACCAUCAUGAAAAUAAUCCGUGACAUGACACUCUCACGAAAAUCCUCUCACAAAUAUGGUGCCAUGAAAAUACCAUUUUCAUGAGAGUGAACUGUCAUGAUUUUAUUUCGUGAGAGUAUUUCCUAUCAAUGACCUCCACGAAAUACUUUGUGCCACCAGGUCUUCAAGAUCAUUUUCAUGAGAGCUGAACAUCAGGAAAAGUCCGCCACAAAUGUUUUUCUUGGAGCCUCUAACUCUCAUGAAAAUCAUGCGGGCCGCCACGAAAAACAGCAUGACCAAAUGACAAAUUUUAUUUUCAUGUGUUCAUACCGUGAAAAUGGUCAUUUUCAUGAGAGUUGAUGAAACAAAAAAUAGUGCCAUUUUCAUGAGAGUUCAAGCAACCAGGAAAAGACACUAAUAAACAUCCAGAUCCCAUCCAGCACACAUCCAUGCACACAUAUAACCCACAUAUUGCUCCAGCACACAUCCAUGCAUAUACAAGAUCCAAAUGUUAAUAUAGUAGACAUCCAUGCCUGAACUAGUCUGCCACACAAGUCAUUGAUGCUACAAAUCCUACAAUCGCAGCAUGUGCAUACAAGUCACAGAAUGAGACAAUGUACCCAAAACUAAAAGGUUAGCAUCAACUGUGCUUCAACCAAAGUUGUCAUCCCAACUCUCCUCUUCAUCCAUGCCAUUCUUGUCAUGGCCGUCACUGUCAGUCCCCAUGGCAUUGCCAAUGCUGUGCAUGUCUUGGUAGGAACCUACAUGUGAUGAACCAGUAACCUGCAAAAAGAACUCAAAGGAUCUUGUUCUCAUAUUGUUCUCAUAUUGUAGCUGUGAAAUUCUUACAAGUAGUGUUGCAAUCAGUUCACUUUGAACCAAAAGAGCUCAAAGGAUCUUGUCCUAAAAGUUCCUCAUAAAGCUUAUGGGUUUGCUGGUGGAACUGGAAGGGCUUGAUGCAGCAGAUGCCAUUCUGCAAUAGAGAAAAAUUUAGAGAGCAGUAAUAGUUAAAAUUGGAUGCAGCAGAUACACAUGAAACUAGUAUUUAUACAAGUCUAUACAAUUAAAAUCUAAGGAGACUUAUCAUCGUUUUCAUGUGUUGCGAAUUAAAAUAAUGAAGGAUACACUGUUAGGUGAAAAUUCAAGAAACAAAAUUUUGCAUAGAGAUAAAGGUCCAACAUUAUUACAAGUUAAGGUAGUUUUAAAUAUCCUUGUAAUCUUCCUUUGGUUUCCUCAACGAUUCGAAGACAAUAACCUUGCUUCUAUCAAUGAUAAUUAUAAGGAGAAUCCAGUGGAAACUGUGUAUUCAUAUUAGAACUACCUAAGGUUAAUUAGGUUAGGAAAGGAAAUCGAAAAUAGAUGGUACCCACACUUACUUAAAGUUGUCGGGCAAUAGUAUGUAAUGCUUGUAAUUCCGUUGCUCCAAGAAUUUGUAUAUGUGGUCCAAUGUAGACUUUGGUUGAUCCCGUAUCUGCUGUUGGUUAAAUAAGUGUUUCUAGCCAUUUCUAGCCAUUAGAACUGGGACUAAAGGGGGCUCUUUAGUACGGGUUGAUAUUACUAACCGGGAUUAAAGAGCCCCCAUUAGAGUUGGUUUUUGGAUGCGGAACUAACAACUCCUUUAGUCCUGAGUACGAAAACGACUGAGAUAUUUGUUGCUUGGUUGAAGGUCCUUUCUCUACCGUGAAUAUUGCCAGAAAGAAUUGAAAGAGACUGCUUGCUAAAAAUAUGUCAUAGAUGUAGACCAAGCUACCAAGGAGGUAGCACUAGUAGAGAAUUGACUUUCGAGCCGCCCCCUUUUAUCCCGGUUUAAAGUUGGCCCAGGACAAAAGGGGGUGCGCCGGGGUGCGGAAAUUUGGAGGGGAGCAUUACUCCCGGUUGGUAAUUGCAACCGGGACUAAAGGCCCCCCUUUAGUCCCGGUUGCAACGGCUAGCUGGGGGGCAUCGGUGGCCGGACCCUUUUAUCCCGGUUGGAUCCUCCAACCGGGAUAAAAGGGACUCCCUUUUAUCCCGUUGGAGGAACCAACUGCGAUAAAAAGUUUAGUCCCGGUUGGUGCCUCCAACCGGGAUAAAAGGGUGUCCCUUUUAUCCCGGUUGGAGGAUCCAACCGGGACUAAACUUCCAACCGGGACAAAAGGUGUUUCCUUUUGUCUCGGUUGGAGUUUUUAACCGGGAUAAAAACUCAUCCCCCACUAUGUCCCGAGACAUAGACUUUCUUCUUCCUCCAGCCCGAGCCAGUCCAGCACAUUGAUAGAGAGCUGAGCUUCACCUACUCUCCGGUGGUGCCAAAGCAAGGGAGGUGCUGCCCGAAGUUUUUUCCCUCAUUUUCGUGGGAAUUUGACUCAGCCAACACAAGUGUUGCGAAGGUUUGCUACUUCAUCCUCGUGUUAUGCUUUGAUUUAUGCUUUGGAGAUGGAAAGAUUAUUUGCUACAAUGUGAUGAUGAAGUAGAAAAAUGGAGAGGUAUUUUGAGCUAGAAUGUGAGGGAGAUUGAUGUGUCAUAUAUAGUAUGCAUUAUUUCAGUGGUUUAAAAAUGAUGCUACCUUGUCUAGACGGUUUAUCUUAUCAAAUUCAAUAUGGUUUUUUAAAUCCAUAUACUUGUUGAACUUGCAUACCGUGUUCAUUUCGGCGAGAAUGUUCUCCGCCGAGCAGCAACGUAUGUCAAGAAGGAGGUUCGAUUCUACGAGAAAGAGUGGAUACGGACAUCGUGACCAUGUCCCCUUUUCCGUAGCAUCUAACCUCUUUCAUGACGAAGUGCGGUGCCACCCAGCUGAGGACAUCCUCGCGAAAUGAACACGGUCUUCAAGUUCAACAACUUCUGUAGUGGUAAGGAAAGAAUUUUUGUACAUAGAUGACUUCUGCUACUUGUUGAACUUGCAUACCGUGUUCAUCUCUCCGAGGAUGUUUUCCGCCGAGCAGCAACGUAUGUCAAGAAGGAGGUUUGAUUCUACGAGAAAGAGUGGAUACGGACAUCGUGACCGUGUCCCUUUUUCCGUAGCAUCUAACCUCUUUCAUGACGAAUACCGGUCCCGCCUAGUUGAGGACAUCCUCGCGAGAUGAUCACGGUCUUGAAGUUGAACAACUUAUGCAGUGUUAAGAUGAUCACGAUCUUUAAUCGAUUUUCACGCGUAAUCCAUUAUCAAGUGUAAUCCAUUUUCAUGCGUAAUACGAUGCAGAUGGACUAGCAAUGGAUGUAUAAUGCAGACAGGCGGAGCAAGGCGUUUAUUGAUGGCUUGCAUUAUUUUCUCGAAGUGGCAAAAGCGAACAAGCCAGAGAAUGGGUUCGUAUGUUGUCCAUGCUUCCAAUGCAAUAACAGGAAGGAGUAUUCAAACGAUUCCUGGGGGACUAUUCACAGCCACUUGUUUAAAUACGGUUUCAUGCCUAACUAUUUGGUUUGGACCAAGCACGGUAAACUAGGGGUUGUAAUGGAAGAUGGCGAGGAGGAGGAGGAAGAUGACACCAUUCCGGACUGGGUUGCAGGCCAAGCUUUUGCAGGUACUACAAUGGGCGAGGCUGAUGAAGAUGAGUUUGCAGAAAAUGACCCUACUGAUGACCUUGGUCAGGUGAUACAAGAUGCAUACAGAGAUUGCGAAACUGAGAAGGAAGCAGCAAAGUUGCAGCGCAUGAUAGAUGAUCACCAAAAAUUGUUGUACCGAGGUUGCCAGCAGGACCAUAAAAAACUAGGUACGACACUAGAAUUUGUGCAAUGGAAGGCAAAAAAUGGUGUGUCCGAUAAGGCAUUUCAGGGGAUGUUGAACAUUGUCAAGAAGAUUCUCCCCGAGAAUAAUGAAUUACCGUCCACAACAUAUGAAGCUAAACAGAUUAUUUGUCCUCUUGGAUUGGAUGUUCAGAAGAUACACGCAUGCCCUAAUGACUGUAUCCUCUAUCGUGGUGAUGAAUACGAGAAAUUGGAUGCUUGUCCCGUCUGCGAAGCCCUGCGGUAUAAGAUCAGGCGAGAUGAUCCUGGUGAUGUCGAGGGGCAGUCUCCCAAGAAGAGAGUUCCCGCGAAGGUGAUGUGGUAUUUCCCUAUAAUACCACGCUUGAAGCGCUUGUUCAGGAACAAGGCGAAUGCUAAGUUGAUGCGAUGGCACAAAGAAGACCGUAAGGAAGAUGAGAUGCUGAGACACCCCGCAGAUGGGGCACAGUGGAGAUCAAUUGAUAGAAAAUUCCCAGACUUUGAAAGUGAAGCAAGGAACAUAAGGUUUGGUUUAAGCACUGAUGGAUUCAAUUCAUUGGGUGAGUUGAGUAGUGGUCAUAGUACUUGGCCUGUGACCCUUUGUAUGUUCAACCUUCCUCCUUGGCUGUGCAUGAAGCGGAAGUUCAUUAUGAUGCCGGCGCUAAUCCAAGGCCCAAAACAACCCGGCAACGACAUUGACGUGUACCUAAGGCCGUUGGUUGAUAACCUUUUACAGCUCUGGAAGGAAGAAGGUGUACGUGUGUGGGAUGAGGAUAGACAAGAGAUCUUUAAUCUACGAGCACUGUUGUUCGUAACCAUCAACGAUUGGCCUGCAUUGAGUAACCUUUCAGGACAGACAAAUAAGGGAUAUCGGGCAUGCACCCACUGUUUAGACGACACAGACAGCAUGUACUUGAAGCACUGUAAGAAGGUCGUCUAUAUGGGUCAUCGUCGAUUUCUCCCUGCUCACCACCAGCUGAGAAAGAGCGGGAUGCAUUUCAAAGGGGCGCCAGACCAUCGUAAAAAACCUGCACACCGUAAUGGAAAGCGUGUGUUUGAGAUGAUGAAGGAUGUAUAUGUAGUCUUCGGAAAGGGACUUGGUAGCCAACCUGUUCCGAACGACGAUAACGGACAUGCACCCAUGUGGAAGAAAAAGUCAAUAUUUUGGGAGCUACCUUAUUGGGAAAUCCUAGAGGUUCGCAACGCAAUAGACGUGAUGCACCUGACGAAGAAUCUUUGCGUGAACGUGCUAGGCUUCAUGGGUGUUUAUGGAACCUCAAAAGAUACAUUGGAAGCACGACAGGACCUGAAAGCCAUGGGGCAACGAGAUGACCUACAUCCGGAAAAGAGAGAUAAUGGACAGCACUACUUACGUCCUGCCAGUUACACUCUCAGCAAGGAAGAGAAGGAUAGCAUGUUUGAAUGCUUGAAUAGUAUGAAGGUCCCGUCUGGGUACUCCUCGAAUAUAAAGGGAAUAAUAAAUAUGAAACAAAAGAAGUUUACAAAUCUCAAGGCUCAUGACUGCCACAUGUUGAUGACCCAGUUGCUUCCGGUUGCACUGAGGGGUGUUCUACCAGAAAAUGUCCGGUUGCCGCUCGUAAAGCUAUGCGCGUUUCUCAAUGCGAUUUCGCAGAAGGCAAUCGAUCCAUCCAAGCUAUCAAAGCUACAGAACGAUGUGGUGCAAUGUCUUGUCAGUUUUGAGUUGUUAUUUCCACCAUCCUUCUUCAAUAUUAUGACGCACUUACUGGUUCACCUAGUAAAAGAGAUUGGUAUUCUCGGACCUGUAUACCUGCACAAUAUGUGGCCUUUCGAGAGGUGCAUGGCAGUCCUAAAAAACUAUGUUCUUAAUCGUGCCCGUCCAGAAGGAAGCAUCGCCAGGGGAUAUGGAACAGAGGAGGUGAUCGAGUUUUGUGUUGAUUUUAUUGAUUCAAUUGACUCGAUUGGGGUUCCAACUUCACGCCACGAGGGGAGGCUCCGAGGAAUGGGCACCAUUGGAAGGAAAUCAAGUUUGAGCAAUGAUACUGAUUUGUUCGACAAGGCACACUACACUGUUCUACAACAGUCAUCCUUUGUGUCUCCGUAUAUCGAGCAGCACAGGCAGAUGGUAGCUUCCAAAAACCCGACCAAAUCCGAUGCUUGGCUUACCCGUCAUCACAUGGAAACUUUUCCCUCCUGGUUGCGCCAACAACUUAUGGGUAACUCUGAGAUUCACCCACAGCUUGCCUGGUUAGCCAGGGGACCUACUACCACAAUCGUCGAAUUCCAAGGCUAUGAGAUAAAUGGUUACACAUUUUACACGAGAGCCAAGGACCAGAAAAGCACGAACCAGAAUAGUGGUGUCCGCAUAGAUGCCAUGGACAGAAAUAAUAGCAAGGAGUCGUAUUAUGGUUUCAUACAGGAGAUAUGGGAACUCGAAUACGGACCGCUGUACAUCCCUCUAUUUCUUUGCAAUUGGGUGAAGCUAACUGCCGUCACCAAAGAUCAGUACGGAAUGACAAUAGUAGAUCUGAGCAAGACUGGAUACAGUGAUGACCCAUUCGUACUUGCCAAUGAUGUGCAUCAGGUGUUCUAUGUGAAGGACAUGUGCAGCAAACCCAAGAGGAAUCCAGAAGAGACAUGGGAGCCAAAGUGCCACAUAGUUCUUCCAGGUAAAAGAAAAAUCGUGGGAGUCGAGGAUAAAACAGACCAAUCAGAUGAUUAUGAUCAGUUUGAUGGCAUGCCUCCAUUCGCCGUUGAAGUUGAUCCAAGCAUCCUGCUAUCCAAAGAAGAGGCUCCGUACUUACGCCGCGAUCAUGAUCAAGGAACUUUCGUGAAGAAGAAAUUUUACAACGUUGUAUUGUAAUGCGUUAAAUGUACAUGACCUUUGUGUAUUAAUUGAUACAAUUUGUAAUGUACCCUAUGUAUGAUUUCAUGUGUUAUUAAAUUUGUUAGGUGAAGAUUUUUUAGAUAAACAUGAACAUUGUUAACCACAUACUAACAUGGAUUUUUCUGCUGUUGACGUCGGAUUUCGUCAUCAGUAGAAUCGGCGCCAAAGAGGAAAGAAAUCGAAGGAGGACGGAUGGAAAUCGGCCAAAAGGUGUUACAGUGCGGAAUCGGUCAAGUGGCUUUUACUUCGCUUCAGAGUGAAUACGCCGGGUUCCCAAUCGGCAAUCCUUUGCUGAUAAGAAAUCGGCCGAUCAGGAAGGUGGACUAAGGUGGGCCUGUAUGGGCUUGGAAAGAUGGAAGGAUAAGGUGGAGUUCAGCCCAUGAAGCGUGGGGUAAUUAGUUUAGCUCGGAUUGUGCUUGUAGAUAUUUGUUUUCUGUUUAAAUUAGAGAUAGAGUCCUAGUCGGUUAAGAAGAUUAUUUGUACGGGGCUAUAAAUAGCUACCUUUGUAAAUCUGUAAAAAAAAAACAAUCAAUCAAUACAACAAGUUACUUUAUUCUUCGUACUUACUUUCGAGCAGGCGACUUCGCCAUCACUUUUCCUUCUCACGAGUUCGUGCGGGUUGGCAGGGCUGCAUCAUCUUGAUCUCCGGCCGAUUCUGUAAGUUCCGUUUAUCGAGUAAUAUCUAAGCUUUAACUUCCGGCGCAUCGCUGUUGUUUCGUUUAGAUUUUAUUCAUCAGUUAUCGAUAUCGACUAGAUUCAUAGGUUUUUACCUGUUCUCCUAGUUUUUAUCACCAGUUACCCCGCUAGGAAUCGGUAGUAUCGGCUUUCAUUACUUUCUGUUACCAAAUCCAUCUGUUGCCGAUUAGAUCUUUUCCUGGUGCUGUUACUACGUGCCUUGUACCGAUUACUUUAAUAUUUUUCUAUCUACAAGGCUACGGGGGUCGUGCUGUCUUGUAGCCGAUUUCUUUACCACAGUAAAUCGGCCGAUCUGCCGAUAAGCUCUCUCGAUCGGAAACUUAGCCGAUCGUAGUUACUGAUUUUGACACGUGUUCUUCCUUGCCAAUCAACAGGUCAGAUUGGCUGGCACGCCGCGCGAACCGCACCAGGGCAUUCACCCGAACAGGAGCUAAGCAGAUUCUCCCGGGUCGUGUGUCGGCCGCUGGGAUUCGGUUGACCGAUUUCUAGCGCCAACACACUUUUGGCACGCCCGGUGGGACCAUUACAACCGCUGUCUUGUCGAAAGCUGCUGAAGUCUCCGAAGAUAACGUCAUCGAAGUGACGGAGGCAGAUCUAAAGGACGACCAAAAAGAAGAUCUAAAUCAGUAUUUGGAGCAAGUCCGGAAAACUUGCUUGAAAUCCUUCAGUCGUUCCAGGAGCGGGGAAACUGUUAAAAAGUCUCCUUUCCCUACUCCCCGCCAGAUCACGAUUUCAGAAGAUUCGGACAAAAUGUCCGAUAUGAUUCAGCAAUCUCUUCAUCACGCCUUCAUCAACCAAUCCCCGGUACUUUCAAACAUGGUGCACAAUGCUGUUGUCAACUCUUUCGCCGGAGGUAUACCACAGGGGUACAGGGGGCCUACGUAUUUUCAGCCGAUUCCACCAAAUCAGGCUUAUCAGGCUUCACAGCCGAUCCAAUCCUCUGUCGGAGGAUCUGGUGCUUCUACGUCAUCAACUCCUUUGGGAUACGGCUCCACUGCACCACUCCCUCCAGUCAUUCCUUUACCCUGGGGGGCACCCUUAAACACGACCGGUUUGAAUCAAUCGGUCAGCCAAGGAAAUCCUCCGUUCCAGACACCCUCCCAAACGGCCACUCGGCCGAUCAUACCACCAUACCAGCCUAUCGCUCCGGAGGUCAACAAGACGUCAGAGCUCAUGCUAUAUGAUGGAACAAGUGGUUCAUACAAGCAGCCGUCCUUUACUACACCGCCGGCUUAUACUCAGAUACCACCUUUUCAUCAACCUCCUUUUAUUCAACCUCCGAUUUAUCAACAUGUGCCGAUUCCGCCGCCAAUUAUUCCCCAACAACAACCGGAUUGGACGGCGCAAAUCGCGGAGGUAAUGCAAGAACAAUUCGGACUGAAGCCGAAGGUGCAAACUUAUACCUACAGGACACCAUACCCAUCUACGUACGACUUGUUGCCGUUUCCCCAUCGGUACAAAGUCCCGGAUUUCACUAAAUUUUCCGGAAUAUAUGAUACUUCUACCGUGGAACAUGUGAAUAGAUUCAUCAUCCAAUGCGGAGAAGCAGCUACGCAAGAUGCCCUACGGGUACGGUUGUUCUCGUCAUCUUUGUCUGGAUCGGCUUUCCAAUGGUUCACCACUUUGCCACCAAACUCGAUUAUCACAUGGGCCGAUCUAGAGAGGCAGUUCCACAAGUACUUCUAUGCUGGAGUCCACGAAAUGAAGUUGUCUGAUUUAACUAGCCUCCGGCAACGAAGUGAUGAGCCGAUACCCUCGUACAUACAGAGGUUUCGGGAAAUCAGAAACAAAUGCUACUCCUUGGCUCUAACCGAUGCGCAGUUGGCCGAUAUAGCUUUCCAAGGCCUGCUGCCACACAUUAAGGAGAAAUAUGCUUCGCAAGAAUUCGAGAGCCUGAGCCAGAUUGUCCACCGAUUGUCCGGACAAGAGGUGCGUCCAUUCGAUCCAAGAAGGAAUUUCCAGAAGAAAGUGGCGUUCCUGGAAGAAUUAGAGGACGAGGAAGACGCCGACAUCGGACUUGCAGAGUGGAUUAAAGGAAAGAAGCCGAUAUCAUGCCCGUUCGGCAAAAAGGAGCCGGAAGCAUUUGGUUUCGAUACAACUAAAGCUGACAAAAUCUUUGAUCUUCUACUCCAGGAAGGACAAAUUAAACUCUCGCCUUACCACACGAUACCCUCUGCCGAACAAUUGAAGAAGAUGAAGUAUUGCAAGUGGCAUAACGCCACAUCACAUGAUACCAACGCCAUUGAGCAAGGCAGACUCAAAUUUGAAGUGCCGGCAAAACUGGCUAAACCUAUGAAGAUUGAUCAACACCCUUUUCCUACCAACAUGGUGGAUACGGGUAAGAAUCCCCUCCAAACAAAAGUGCUGACGUCCGAAUCGGCAAAAAGGAGCGGCUCUGUCGACCCCAGAAAUCAAGUUACACCCGAAGACAUCAAAGGGAAACGGCGAAUGGAGGACGACGAUGGUGAGUCUGAUAGACCACGUAUUACUUCCCAGUUCCUGCUCCAAAAGUACCAACGCCAACAUGAACGAUCGAGGUCCCGAGAGGAAGCAAUGCGUCGACACGAAGAACACUGGAGAUGCCCAUUCUUCAUCCAUUGUUGGGAAAAUAACCUCAGGCUUCCAUCAGCCGAUACUUGCCCAGAGUGCAACGGUCCCUAUCGAAGCAAUCGGCCGAUUACAAGGUCUCGCUCCAGAGACGGAAGGCCAGAACCGAUCAGCAGGAAUCGGCGCAACCCAGAUGAUCAGCGCCCUUCCAUGCGUGAUCGGCUGGGGGGCAGAAGUGACCGAUAUGAUCGGUCAGAAGAUAGAAGCCAUAAUAGGCAGGGGGGCAGGACCGAUCGACAUGAUCAAUCAAGUAGCAAAGCCAGCGUUCACAGUCGGCUCCAAGACAUGGCCGAUGCUCGGGUAACAGACGAGAACCCGUUAGGACGCGAGCCAGAAUGGGAACGCGCCAGGAAAGAAGGGAGGCCAAUAAACCCCAGAUGGUGUCCCGAUGGUUUGACCAAAUCACAAAAACGAAGAGUCCAACGCCUCCGCCAAUGGGAACAGCAAGAAGAAGAAAGCGCGAUGGACAAGAAGGAAGGGAGGCCUCGGGUAUGGCGCCCCAAAGGAAACGACAAGGGCAACGAUGAAUCGGCGGGUGAUGAAUCGGCAGCCGAAAUCGGUAUGGUUUUCAUAUUGCCGACGGAGUUUAUGACCCCUGCCGAUCAACAGAACGUGUCGGCAAUAGAGGAACAAACAGCACGGUUGGCGUUAGAACCAAUGAUGGCCACGUUCGAAAAGCCCGAAGACGACGAACGACAACAUAUGAAGGCGUUGUUUCUUAAAGGGCAUGUUGACGGUCGCCCCCUCACUAAAUUGAUGGUCGACGGGGGAGCUGCCGUCAACAUCAUGCCGUAUGCCAUACUCCGAAAGCUGGGAAAGAGCGAUGACGACCUAACCAGGACGGACAUGAUGCUCAAGGACUUCGAAGGCAAGGUGUCAAACGCUCGCGGUGCCCUCUGCGUUGACCUCACCAUCGGCAGUAAGACCCUUCCUACCACGUUUUUCGUCAUUAAUGGCAAAGGGUCCUAUAAUAUGCUUCUUGGACGAGACUGGAUACACGCAAACUGCUGCAUACCGUCAACUAUGCAUCAAUGCCUGGUACAAUGGGUCGGCGACAACAUCGAGGUGGUCAAAGCCGACUCCGCGUACAGCAUCGCAGCAGCCGACGCACAGCAAUGGAGCUGCGAAACCGUCAGGUGCAUAUCAGGUAGGGUGUGGGAAACUGAUUUCCUGAAGGUCACCGAUUUUGGCCUACAGCCGAUCCGAGCAGUCGGCUCUGAAGAAGCGCAAUAAAUGGAUCAGUUCGCCCGAGAAGACGGGAAGCUGGGACACGGAUUCACGUCGGCCGAUUCAUUGGAAAUGGUAGAUUUAGGUGACGGGACCAAACCAAGGCCGACUUUUAUUAGUGCAAAUUUAGAUCCAGAGUACAAGUGUAAAUUGACAAAUUUAUUAAGAGAAUUCAAGGAUUGUUUUGCGUGGGAGUAUCACGAGAUGCCCGGAUUAGAUCGAUCUAUUGUUGAACAUCGGCUACCCAUAAAACCAGGGUAUCGGCCGUACCAACAACCCGCACGGCGAUGCAAUCCUAAAAUUUUACCAGACAUAAAAGCCGAAAUAACUCGGCUAAUUGAAGCGAAAUUUAUUCGGCAAUGUCGUUACGCCGAGUGGAUUUCUAAUAUCGUACCGGUGUAUAAGAAAAACGGGAAACUGCGCGUUUGCGUCGAUUUCAGAAAUCUUAAUCAGGCCACACCGAUGGAUGGCUACCCCAUGCCUACGGCCGAUGUACUGAUCGACGCUGCCGCGGGGCACAAAAUUAUUAGCUUCAUGGAUGGGAACGCCGGAUACAAUCAAAUACUUAUGGCCGAAGAGGACAUACCCAAAACGGCUUUCAGAUGUCCAGGCCAUCUUGGUCUAUUCGAGUGGGUGGUGAUGACUUUCGGUUUGAAGAAUGCUGGUGCUACAUAUCAGAGGGCCAUGAACUAUAUUUUCCACAAACUCAUCGGCCUCCUGGUGGAGAUCUACAUCGACGACGUUGUGGUCAAAUCCAAAAGCCACGAGGAACACCUAGCCGAUUUGCGAAGGGUCCUAGAGUGUACCAAGAAACAUGGUCUUAAGAUGAAUCCCAACAAAUGCGCUUUCGGCGUCUCCGCCGGACAGUUCCUAGGAUUCAUGGUGCACGAACGAGGCAUUGAAGUCAAUCAGAAGACCAUAGCGGCCAUCAACAAAGUCGUCGCUCCGCAGAACAAAACUGAACUACAAUCUCUAAUCGGCAAGGUAAACUUCAUCGGAAGGUUUAUAUCUAAUCUAUCUGGACGGAUCCAGACGUUCACACCACUUCUGAAGUUGAAGCCAGACCAAGAAUUUAUUUGGGGAGAAGAACAGCGCAAGGCGUUAGAAGACAUCAAGCGAUACUUAGUCUCGCCCCCAGUCCUGGUUCCCCCCCAAACGGGUAAGCCGUUUAAACUAUAUUUAUCAGCCGAUGAAAAAGCUAUUGGGUCGGCUCUAGUCCAAGAGUUUGAAGGCAAAGAACGGGUGAUUUAUUACGUUAGUAGAAGACUCCUGGAUGCCGAAACAAGAUAUCCUCCAGUAGAGCGUUUGUGUUUGUGUCUUUACUUCUCGUGCACCAAACUCAGACACUAUCUACUGUCGGCAGAAUGUAUAGUCGUAUGCAAAGAUGAUGUAGUGAAAUACAUGCUGUCACUGCCGAUAUUGAAAGGGCGAAUCGGUAAAUGGAUUUUAGCUUUAUCAGAAUUUGACCUACGGUACGAAUCGGCAAAAGCCAUCAAAGGUCAAGUCAUGGCCGAUUUCGUCGCACAGCACUGUGGGCCGGAGAUCGCCUUCGUGGAACUAGCGCCUUGGCAGUUAUUUUUUGAUGGGUCAUCAUGCGGAGUCGGAUCGGGAAUCAGCAUCGUUCUCAUAUCGCCUCGGGGGGCAAGAUACGAUUUUUCUCUGCCGAUAGAAACCGCCACCACAAACAAUCAAGCGUAAUACAGAGCUGUAUUAAAAGGCUUACGAUUAUUGAGAGAAGUCAAGGCCGAUUCUGUCGAGGUCUUCGGAGAUUCGAUGUUAAUCGUGGAUCAACUAACCGGGAAGGCUGAGUGCAAAGAUGACAUAUUACGAAUUCAUCACGAAGAUUGCCUACAGCUGUUAAAAGAAUUCAGAUCGGCAGUAAUCGAGCAUGUCCCAAGAGACCGCAAUGAGGAAGCGAACAAACUCGCUCAACACGCAUCUGGGUAUCGGCCGAUUCUAGGCGCCAUGGCCUUAGAGCUUGCAGCUGACGAUUGGCGCAAAGAAAUUGCCGAUUACCUAAAGGAUCCGUCUAAAAAGGUGGAGCGGCGAGUACGCUUUCACGCUACCAAAUACGUAUUACUCGAAGAUGAUCUGUUUUACCGAACGAUCGAAGGUGUUCUUCUUAAAUGCCUUGGGACAGAAGAAGCCAAGACUCUAAUGGGAGAAAUCCACGAAGGGGUAUGCGGAGCUCACCAAUCAGCACAUAAGAUGAAGUGGAUGAUCAGAAACAAUGGGUACUAUUGGCCUACGAUCCUUGAAGAUUGUUUCAAAUAUUAUAAGGGUUGUCAGGAGUGUCAAAAGUUUGGAAAUGUCCAGCAUGCACCUGCAUCGGCCAUGAAUCCCAUCAUCAAACCAUGGCCGUUCAGAGGGUGGGGAAUAGACCUUAUCGGCCAAAUUUAUCCACCAUCGAGCAAGGGGCACAAGUUUAUUCUGGUCGCCACCGAUUAUUUCACCAAAUGGGUGGAGGCAAUCCCAUUAAGAACUGUGACUUCGGCUAUCAUGGCCGAUUUUGUAAGGGAUCAUAUCGUCUACCGAUUCGGUAUCCCUCAAACUGUAACAACCGAUCAAGGAACGAUGUUCACAUCGGGGGAAUUUGAGGAGUUUACAACCGAUAUGGGCAUCAAAUUGUUAAAUUCUUCUCUGUAUUACGCUCAGGCCAAUGGUCAAGCAGAAUCUUCCAACAAAGGAAUAAUCAAGUUGAUCAAAAGGAAGAUUGAAGAAUACCCGAAGAAGUGGCACCUGUGUUUAACCGAAGCCCUAUGGGCAUACAGAAUGGCCUGUCAUGGGGCCACCAAGUUAUCUCCUUAUCAGUUGGUAUACGGUCACGAUGCAGUACUUCCAUGGGAAUCGAGGGCAGGAUCAAGGCGCAUUUCACUUCAAGACCAGUUAUCGGCCGACGACUACUCGGCACUUAUGAAAGAAGAACUUGAUGAUGUGGCCGGUCAUCGACUAAGGGCUCUGAUAAGUAUCGAAGAGAAUAAAAAGAGAGUGGCCAGGUGGUACGAUAAAAAGGUCAAAGUCAAGCAGUUCUCCCCCGGAGAUUUGGUAUGGAAGUUAGUACUACCGAUCGGGUCGAAAGAUCCUAAAUUCGGUAAAUGGUCUCCUACCUGGGAAGGGCCGUAUAAAAUCGGCAAAUGCUUAUAUCUUGGAAACAAUAGAAGGAGAAGAAUUCACUAGAGCUCUGAAUGGGAGGUAUUUAAAAAGGUAUUACCCAAGUAUAUGGGUCGGUGCCUAAGGAAUUAAACACGAUCAUACAUGACCGAUACGAUUCGGUCUUGAGACACACAUAAAGUCAACCGGAACGGCCGAUUACAUUCAUUCGGUACGGGCGACGGGUUACAUGGCCGACAAAAUGUUUAGUCGCCCUUAGAACAAAAAUACAGCAACUAAUUAUUCUUUUUCUUACGCUCCCUCUCAGCCCGACCUAACUCUAUCAUGAGUCGGAUGUAUUCUUCUUCUAUGGCCUUCAUUGAAAUCUCCGCUUCGACUUGACCGGGGAGAUCUACGGGAGGGCGCGAAGUCCCCACUCCCGCAUCUUCAAGAACGACUUGCCGAGGGAGUGGAUGACUCCUGUCAAUGGGAGGUCGACGGCUGCCAUUCCUCUCCACGAAGUCCAGGAUCAUUCGGGCCUCCGUGGCGAUGUCGUCUUCAAGAUCGCCACAACGAUCGCCCCUGACAGGUGGAGAUUGCUGGUUACUUUCACUCACCACGGAAUCCAAGACUACGCGAGCCUCCGUGGUAAUGUGAUCCUGGAGCUCUUCUCGGUGAGCCGCGAUCAGCAUCUUGUCCUCCGACGUUAAUGGAUCUUCGGAAUGAAUGCACUCAAUGGCGCGCACGAGCUCGGGGCUAAGACGUUGAGGCUGAAACAAAGAAGGGAUGAGGAGGGAUAUUCUCUUCCUUAGGGUCUAAAAAAGAAAGGAAGGUAGAGGUCAAAAAACUUCACCUGGUUAACAGAGGAAGAAGAAGAUGACGAGGCCAUAGCGAAGAAAUUGCACCGAUGAGAAGGGGCAGAAAGGUUGAACCGAGAGCCAAGAUUGAUGUUACCAGGAGUAAGCGCCGAGCUUGGUAUUUAUAAAAGAAUGCGUGGAAAUCUGGUAAAGCUACGUCCCAUCGGUAAUAAGAAGGCAAUAAAUAGAAAGGGCGUCGCGAGGGGCGGUCAAAGAAGGUAGUAAAUGAUUCGUACAAAACGGUCAGUGUUUUACAGAUUACCCAGAAGGGUAUCGAUGGCCGUGAUGGCCCGACGCCGGAUCUGAUCGGCAGAGUCAAGUACCCGUUGGUCUUCUUCCGCCGAUCCAGGAACCUCCGAUGCGCUGCGAUGGAGUCUCAGUGCCUCGUGAGCAAAGCGUUGCCUCUCCCGUGUUAAAUCGGCAAUAACAGAAGGUAGCUCUUCGAGUUUGUUCUCUUCGGCACUGAUUGCCUUGAUCACUUGCUCCAUUUCCUUGGCAAGCUCCGCCCUACGACGCUUGAGACGGUCUAUUUCUCCUAUGAUCGCCGGACGGGAAUCUUCUAGGACAUGGAUACGCCGAUUCGCCUCUUGAGCCUGACGUUUGAAAGCGUCUUCCUCUUCGCGAGCCUUGGUCAGCUUAGCGCGAUCGGCCAUGUGACGAAGGGCUCUGAAGACCGGGAUCCUCAUAGACUCGAUGAAGGCCGCCGGCGCCAGGGCCUCCUCCGCCUCUUCUGGUACUCGUCCGCUGACGUCAUUGAAGAGCUGCCGAAUCGGCGAGGCGUCUUCUACUAAUCGGCCGAUGUCCCCUUGAAGGAGGGAUCGGAUGCUGGAAAGUUUGGCUCGGACGUCGUCAGGAACGGAACUCAAGGCGACUUGGCGAGAAGCAACUUCUUCGUCGUCAGAGAGGGCGACCGCAAAAGAAAAGAGACUGUUGUCGGGGGUAUCCUGUUCCUGAAGAUAAUAAAGAAAAGAAAUGAACCAGCUGUAAGAAAGAGCAAAUCGGCUAAGAUGGAGGCCGAAACAGAAAAAUACCAUUUUGAAGCGAAUCUCCUCAUGUUGCACUUGAGAAGCCGCCAUGCCUUGCUCGGGGGCCUGCGCCAUGGGUUCAUCAGAUGGAGAGGACUCCACGAUAAUUGGCGCAGUGUUUGGACCAGCCUCCUGACAAGAAAUCGGCGAUCGAGGAGCGAUUGAUGUGCCGAUGGCCUGUGUCAGAAGUUUGAAUAAAUACGGUACGUAAAUGCCCAAAGGAAAUCGGUACGAGAAGUUCUAUACAUUAACGGAAGGAAACGGGGGCACGUCAAUAGCUGGAGGGGCUGCUGCCGAUUGUGGUACUUCUGUAGGGAUGCUCUGUGCAGUUUAAAGAUAAAAGAAAAAUUAAUAUCAAAAAUAAUAAUCGGAGACAGCGCAACUCAGUUUUACCUGUAUGGCCUCCAACAACAACGAUGCGGCGGCCGCCCCAGCUUGCGUCAUGGUUUGAGUAUCGGCACCUUGAAUGACUUGAGGAGGUGGUACGGCCGAAGUGUCUGCCGAUACGCUCACGGGAGGAUCCGCCGAUCCCGUACGAGCCCGGACUCGGCGACUGGUCUUCUUGGUAGUCCUUUUAUGAACUUGUUUCGAUCGGCCAGUAAUCACGUCAACAGACGGGGCGUUAUAGCCGAUAAGGGGAUAAGUAGUGUAUGGAUGACUCUCUAUCAGUCGUCCGCUGCGGCUGUGUGUUGGAGGGAUCCGAUUCUCGGCCUAAAAUAAUAAAAUCAUUAGUACUCGGUCGUGUUAAGGGGAAUAAAAGGGAAUAAAAAUCGGCUAUGUGAAGUACCUCGGCGUUUGGAUCAAUGUUGGUCGGGUCCAGAAGAUUGCAGUAUGCCGAUGCUGAGUUGCAGAAGAGGAAUUGCUUCCAAUCAGCCCACCAUAGUUUGAACGGCUGAACAGCAAAUGGAGCUACUAGCCAGUCGUUCAAGUUAAUUGUACUGGAGUCUGGAAUUCGGUCUCGCAACCGACCGUAAUCUAGGCUAGAUUUGAGAUCAUCUCUAAACUUGAUUUUGCCAGCAAAGUACACCUGAAUCGGCAGCUGACCCAUGCCAAAUUGUCGUGCCGCAGCAGAAGGGUUGUAGAAUUCAUACGUAGGGGCAUCCUUCCCUGAGAAGAAAUUGGCCGGUAGGAUCCCUGGCUUGAUCAACCCUUCAUAGAGAUCUUCAUCAAACCGGCCAGAAGUUGAGUCAAAGCAGGAAGGGAGCUCGAAGAUGGGAAUGUCUCGCUGGUAUGGAAACCAGAUAGUUGCGUCCUCAUUAAAUCCAUCGUAAAAGCACCGAAAGUACUCGGCUACCUUUGUAGCGGAAUACGCACAACCUGGAAAAGCUGAUGCCGCUUCACCAUAAGACAUGCAUCGGCGACGCUCGGUAGGGUCUUCCGCCGAUUCAAUAUUGGGAAACGUCAUGUGGUCCACUGGCUGCCGGGUGAUCCUGUUCAUGUAAAGGUUCAACCAUAGAUUGACGAACCACCAAGGCCCACCUGGGUUGCCGAUUGGUUCUCCCUUGGAAAGUUUUGUGCCGAUUUGGUGGAGCAUGUGGUACACAGCACCCAGAAGAUGUUUCCCGAGAGGAAUGUGGCUUCCUUUGGACAGUGCCUCGGCUAAAGAUUGGGUGUUGGUUGUUGGGCCGGCGGCUCUUCCACAGAAAAGGUGUUUUUCUAGCCACAUCAUCAGGAAAGCGGUGUGCUCCCUAUUAUCAAUAGUACCGGUCUUCUUGUUAUUACUAAUAAAGCCCUUCCAGCUGCCGAUUCCUCUUACGUCCAGCCGAUGCGACGGUACGGUCAGAAGUUGGAAAGGCGUGUCAGGAGAGGAUAUGUCCAGGCCGGUCAAGAGGACCACAUCGGCCAGAGUGGGGGUCAUAGGACCGUGUCCAAAUAAGAAUGCAUUAAGAGCGUCAGACCAAAAAUAGGAAGCCGCCAUCACUAGCGGUUCGUUUUUCUCCAUUUGCGACAGAGAGAGGUUGAUACAUUGGCCGAUUUUGAGUUCAUCCCACAAGACGCUCUUUGACGUGGCCAUCCGUUGGUACCAUUCCCUCCAACCGGGGGUUUCAUUCGGCCAAGAUCUAAAAGUGCUGGCCCAUUGAUCUAAGUUCAUGUCAGAUCGUUUGAAAGGUAUCCGGUCAGUUUCCAAGUUUAUGAGGUCUGCUGGAUCUGGGUCUCCCAUGGGACCAAGGCAAACAAGGCCAGGACUACCCGUGAGAUGGAUAGUGAUUCUAUGUCUAACCGCCUAAAUGAGGAAAAGAGGCAUAAGAAUAUAAGGAAUAGAUCUAAGAUAAAUACGUUACCGAUAGAGGAAAAAUUCGGUGUUUACCUCCGGUAUAAAAUUCUGAGUAAUCGGUGUGGUCGCCGAUGCAGAUGCAGAUGAUGAAGCCGUAAUGGGGAUCGCCAUUGGGAUCUCUGAUGAAGCUCCUUCAUCUAUGGAUGGAGUGACGGUUGUUGCCACCGUUACCGGAGGUGCUACCUCCACCGGGGGCAUUGUCCCUGGAGCAUCGCGUGCUGGGGAAUUACCGGAGGGAGUCGCCAUUGAAGGGGAGGGGAAGAAGUGACAGGAGCUGGAGCUGGAAGGCUUCGAUGGCAAGAUUGAAGAAGGAAGGAAGUGCGCGCGCUGGAAAGAGGGAUGUGAGCUUGAAGAUGAGUUGCGGUGAAAUGAUAUUUAUAGGGUGCCUGAAGAAAGGGUAAAGAUGGAAUUUUCAACGCGCCGGCGCGUCGAGUUUUUCGGGGUAGUGGCUGUCGUGGGCGCCCGUUUCAAAAAAUUGCAAUGAUCAGCCGGGAGACCGCGAAACGGAAGGAUAUUUUCACUGCGGCCGUUUCGGAAGAGAGGUUAUAAAGAAUUUCGAAGUAAAAGGCUAUGUUUUACUCCGAAACUGGGGGGCAUGUGUUGACGCCGGAUUUCGUCAUCAGUAGAAUCGGCGCCAAAGAGGAAAGAAAUCGAAGGAGGACGGAUGGAAAUCGGCCAAAAGGUGCUACAGCGCGGAAUCGGUCAAGUGGCUUUUACUUUGCUUCAGAGUGAAUACGCCGGGUUCCCAAUCGGCAAUCCUUUGCUGAUAAGAAAUCGGCCGAUCAGGAAGGUGGACUAAGGUGGGCCUGUAUGGGCUUGGAAAGAUGGAAGGAUAAGGUGGAGUUCAGCCCAUGAAGCGUGGGGUAAUUAGUUUAGCUCGGAUUGUGCUUGUAGAUAUUUGUUUUCUGUUUAAAUUAGAGAUAGAGUCCUAGUCGGUUAAGAAGAUUAUUUGUACGGGGCUAUAAAUAGCUACCUUUGUAAAUCUGUAAAAAAAAAAAACAAUCAAUCAAUACAACAAGUUACUUUAUUCUUCGUACUUACUUUCGAGCAGGCGACUUCGCCAUCACUUUUCCUUCUCACGAGUUCGUGCGGGUUGGCAGGGCUGCAUCAUCUUGAUCUCCGGCCGAUUCUGUAAGUUCCGUUUAUCGAGUAAUAUCUAAGCUUUAACUUCCGGCGCAUCGCUGUUGUUUCGUUUAGAUUUUAUUCAUCAGUUAUCGAUAUCGACUAGAUUCAUAGGUUUUUACCUGUUCUCCUAGUUUUUAUCACCAGUUACCCCGCUAGGAAUCGGUAGUAUCGGCUUUCAUUACUUUCUGUUACCAAAUCCAUCUGUUGCCGAUUAGAUCUUUUCCUGGUGCUGUUACUACGUGCCUUGUACCGAUUACUUUAAUAUUUUUCUAUCUACAAGGCUACGGGGGUCGUGCUGUCUUGUAGCCGAUUUCUUUACCACAGUAAAUCGGCCGAUCUGCCGAUAAGCUCUCUCGAUCGGAAACUUAGCCGAUCGUAGUUACUGAUUUUGACACGUGUUCUUCCUUGCCAAUCAACAGGUCAGAUUGGCUGGCACGCCGUGCGAACCGCACCAGGGCAUUCACCCGAACAGGAGCUAAGCAGAUUCUCCCGGGUCGUGUGUCGGCCGCUGGGAUUCGGUUGACCGAUUUCUAGCGCCAACAUCUGCGCAUUCAAAUAAUUUAAUUGAAUAAUUUCUUGAUCACAGCAAUGCAGUAAAAUAAAUAUUUUACAGGCUAAAUGAGUUGGUAUAGAAUUAAUGAUUACUUCAUACUUAUUGUCAAUUUACUCGUUAAUUAAAUAUAUUUUUGCAUGUACAAAAUCUGUGAAGGUUUUGUUUUUCAUCCUGAAAUGCAGUGAAAAGGUAAAAUAAAAUCCAUUUCCAAAAAACAGGCGGGAGAAGAAAAAUAGGAAAAAAGACCUUUUGUCUCGGGGCUAACAGCAACCGGGACAAAAGGCCCCCCUUUUAUCCUGGUUGCCAACGGCAACCGGGAUAAAAGGGUACGUUUCGUCUCCCGCCCAAACGUACCCUUUUAUCCCGGUUGCCAACUGCAGCAGGGAUAAAAGGGUACACUCCCAGCCCCACCUGGCGGGGGUACCCUUUUGUCCCGGGUCCCGUCGCCAACCGGGAUAAAAGGGGGGGGGCCUUUUAUCCCGGUUGGUGNNNNNNNNNNNNNNNNNNNNNNNNNNNNNNNNNNNNNNNNNNNNNNNNNNNNNNNNNNNNNNNNNNNNNNNNNNNNNNNNNNNNNNNNNNNNNNNNNNNNGACGAGACGACGACGCGAGACGACGACGGCCGAGGCGAAGACGACGACGGCGGCGUAGGCGGGACGGCGACGAGACGGCGACGAGGGGCGACGAGGAUGGAGCCGGCGACGAGGAUGUGGAGCCGGUGGCCGGAGGCGACGAGGUGGCCGGGGGCCGGGCGCGUCGACGGACGAGGAGGGGAUCGAGGAGGGCCGGCCGGGGGACGACGACGGCGCAAUGGGGGACAUCGACGGCGCAAUGGGGGACGACGACGGCGGCGGCCGGUGAGGGAGGCGGACGGGCGGCGACGGCGGAGAACGCGCGGGACUUGCGAAAUUUUGGCUAAGUGUGUAACUGGCAGGGGGUAGAAGGGAGUACAGUGCCUUUUAACCCCCCCCUUUUAUCCCGGUUCGUAAUAGGACCCGGGACAAAAGGCUCUUUUGUCCCGGGUCCUAUUACGAACCGGGAUAAAAGGGGGGGGUUAAAAGGCACUGUACUCCCUUCUACCCCCUGCCAGUUACACACUUAGCCAAAAUUUCGCAAGUCCCGCGCGUUCUCCGCCGUCGCCGCCCGUCCGCCUCCCUCACCGGCCGCCGCCGUCGUCGUCCCCCAUUGCGCCGUCGAUGUCCCCCAUUGCGCCGUCGUCGUCCCCCGGCCGGCCCUCCUCGAUCCCCUCCUCGUCCGUCGACGCGCCCGGCCCCCGGCCACCUCGUCGCCUCCGGCCACCGGCUCCACAUCCUCGUCGCCGGCUCCAUCCUCGUCGCCCCUCGUCGCCGUCUCGUCGCCGUCCCGCCUACGCCGCCGUCGUCGUCUUCGCCUCGGCCGUCGUCGUCCCGCCGUCGUCGUCUUCGUCCUCGUCGCCGUCCCGCGCGCCGCCCGGCCGCCGCCGUCCCGCCGCCCCGGCCGCCGCCGUCCCGCCACCCCGGCCGCCGCCGUCCCGCCGCCCCGGCCGCCGCCGUCCCGCCGACCCGGCCGCCGCCGACCCGCCGACCCGGCCGCCGCCGUCCCGCCGUCCCGCCGUCCCGGCCGUCGGCCCGCGCGGGAGAGGUCCGCUGCCGCGCCGGCCGGCAGCGCCGGGAGGGUUUUCUUUUUAAGUUAAUUAGAAAAUUAAGUUUUAUUUUUAGAUAGAAUUGUAAUUUUGUUAAGUUAGAUUUUUAGAUUUCUAGUUAGUUUGUUAAGUUAGAUUUCUAGUUAGUUUUUUAAGUUAGAGUUGAUAUAGAGAUCGCCGAGUAGCCGCCGUGAUCGUCGCCUUGUAGCCGCCGUGAUCGCCGCCGAGUAGCCGCCGUGAUCGCCGCCAUCCCGCCGCCCAUCACAACCUAGUAGGCACCGCCCGUGGUUCCGGUGAACCGUCCCCGCCGUACCGCCGCCCUGACCGCCGCCGUCCCGCCUCCGCCGCCCUGAUCGCCGCCGUCCCGCCUCCGCCGCCCUGAUCGCCGCCGUCACAACCUAGGCACCGCACGUGGAUAUUGUUACAAAUUCGUAGAAAUUCGUCAAAAUUCGUAGAAAUUCGUCAAAAUUCGUAGAAAUUCGUAGAAAUUUGUAGAAAUUCAUAGAAAUUCGUAGAAAUUCGUAGAAAUUUGUAGAAAUUCGUAGAAAUUCAUAGAAAUUCGUAGAAAUUCAUAGAAAUUUGUUGAAAUUCGUCAAAAUUCAUAGAAAUAUUUCGGACUUUGUACGAUUCAUGUUAUUUUAUGAUUUCAUUAUAUACAUGUAUGAUUCCAUUCCGGACUUUGUACAAAUUUGUAUUAAGACGAUUUCUAUGACUGUCAUGUAUGAUUCCAUGUAUGUUUCCAUCAAUAGUUGAAAUGGCAGACGAUGAGACCGCAAGGUAUAUCAUGGAGCAGAUAAUCGCUGGUGAUGGUAGUGGCGACAACGUUCCACUAUCAUACACGUAUGAAGAGGGCACCCAGGCGGACAUGUUCCUCAACAUGUCCGCUGAUGGGAAUGAAGAGCAACAGCCGCAACAACAACUUGCCGUGGCGGAAGGUUCCGGCGAGGUAUAUACAACCAUUCUUGUAUUGUUUCACGCCACCGCUACUACUACGUACUAAUUAACGAAUCUUGAACUGUUAGCCCUCCGGAUCGACACAAGGGCAGAAGACCUGAGGUCGUACAAAGGUGAUGGAAGGGAGGCUUGUCAUCACCGAAGUUACAGAAGAGGGCAAGCCGGUUGCUCCCGAGAAAGUAGCAAAGAAGUACGUGAGUCAAAUCGGGGCAAUCGUUCGGGACAACGUGCCUAUCAGCAUCAGAGAAUGGAAGGGCAGAAGAGAUAAUCCGUACGCCCUUCCAGAGAUAGAAAAGAAUAUGCUGUGGGAAGACGUGAAGAGACAUUUCACAUUCCCCGAAGGAUAUAGCGAGAAGGAUGUCAAAGCGUGGACGCUUAAGAAGAUGGCUACUCAAUUCCAGACAUUCAAGAAGAUGCUGGACACCCACUACAUCAAGAAGGGCAAAACUCCAGACUUCAACGCGUGGCCAAAGUUGAGGGACCACUGGGAUGCAUUUGUUGAAUACAAGAGGAGUGAAGAAGGUGUGAAAAAGAUCACGACCAACAUAGCAAAUGCUAGUCAGAAGGGCUACCACCAUCAUUUGGGGUGAGGUGGGUAUGGCUCAGCAAUUCCCAAGUGGAGGAAGAUGGAACAAGAUCUGAUCGAACGGGGAAUCGUACCUGCAACUAUUGAAUGGCCCGAACGAUCAAAGAACUGGUACUACGCUCAUGGAGGCUCCCUAAGCCAAGAGGAUGGGACGCUGAUUUUCAAUGACACAAUACGUGAGAAGGCCGAACAUCUCAUGAAGAACAUUGAAGAUUCCAAGGCUGGGAGGUUGAGGGUGGACCAAGAAAAUGAUGAGCUCACAUUGGCCCUCGGUAAUCCAGAGCACCCAGGACGUUGCCGGGGGUUCGGGGUGGUUCCGUGGAAGUUCGCUUUCCGAGGCGACAGCGCCUCUUACAGAAGCCGGAAGCGAAGAAAGGAACAGAUGGAGGAGAGCUGGUAGCAGAUGGUAGAACAAAGAAUGAUGGAUGAAAUCAAUCGGCGGGUGGCCGACGCAGUUGCGGAGUUGGCGCAAUCUGGAGCAAUGCCGAAUCCUAACACCGCCAGCCCUUCUCAACGCCUCGGGAGCAGUUGUGCUUCUACAGGGGUCCCCGAUGCGCAGACGCCCAGGUUACCCGUGGAGGAGCAAUGGUUCCCCGUGGAUGCCAUCACGCAACGGACCUCAUGUAAGCUGCAUGCACCGGUCGGCAACCUCACUAUUAAGGUAUACUUAUACAUAAUAUUUAUGCAAUCUUGUCAAUUGAUCCAGGCCUCGAGAUCGGAGUUCAACCUGUUUACUUCUACUAUAUGUACAGGUAGCGUACGGGAGUGUGUUACCAACCCUGGCAGGGCAGAGCAGUCAUGGCAUGGACAUUCCAACAGGCUACGCCAGCGUCUGCGUCGAGCAAAUAGUUGAUCCCCAGUAUGAAGGUCUAGAGCUCGACUUCCCGGGAGGCGACGGGGAAAAGACAUUGGCAGAUGCGCUUCAUGGGAUCAUUCUAUGGAAGAAACGCUACAUCAUUAUUCCCCGCACGGAGCCAUCUCCUCAGACCUCAAGACCACUCCCCGUAGAUCCCCAGCAGCGACCUUCUCCUCAUACCUCGAGACCGGCAUCUCCUGCUCCAGGACCGUCUCUUCCAUCUAUAUCAAGGUCUCCAUCUCCACCACAUCCUGGUGCUGGGAGCGACGACGACAAUAACAACACCCCUCCCCGAUCACCGUCACCGGCACCAAGAGCGGCCCCCUCGAAGGAACCUGCAGCACCACUCAAGAAGUCACGAGCACCGCCUCCCAAGCAAAGACAGAGAAAGAAGAAAACAAAGGUCGACCCUGAAGUGGCUCGCAAGGAACGCUUUGAGGCAAUGUCUCAUGAAGAACAGUGGGCAGAAAUCCAACGAGAGGCCAGUGAGUGGUUCAAGAAACAAGCCGAAUUAAAAAAGGCAAGGGAGAUGGAGCCACCGUCAGUAAGUCGGCGAGAUUUAAACUUUUUUAUCAGGAUGGAGGAAGAAGCCAAGAAAAGGAUACCACUCUUGUCAAACUAUGAACGGGCUCUAGUAAAGGCUGAUGAAAAGGAUAAAAGGAAAGGAAAAUCAUCCUCCAGCAGUCCAGUCCCCGACCUCAGCCAUUUAUCAAAAAAAGAUGCUCAACGGGUAAAAGCAAUGCCCUUGGAUCAACAAGCAAAUAUAUUGAAGUUCAUGGAAGAAACAGGUCUGGGACUUGAUGAAUGCAUAGGGCAAGUCGAGACGCCAACUGCACCGCCCCCUGAGCCGAAGUGGACUUAUGAGCUAGGCAAACCUCUAGUAAAGCCUUCAAUGGUACGGAAGCUAUCAACAAAGAUGUACGAAUUCCAUCAAUGGUCGGCAUGAAGGUAAAACCGAUAGAUUUUCACGGUGAAGGGGAGAAAGUGCUGUGGCUAGACUUCAAGGAUAUAUACGAAGUGUACCAUCAUGAUGCCCUGGACGUCUCUCUGAUCAGCGCUUGGAUUCUGUAAGUGUCCGUUUAUUAUCUCUACAUGUAAAUUUUGGCGUGCGUCACCGUACUAACUUCAUCUUCCAUUUCAUGUAGGAUGCUAAUUCAGACAUGCCGCCGAGAGGCGUACCUACAUGUAGGCUUCAUGGAUCCAUCUGUAGUUAACCAACAACAGAUACAAUUAGCGCCGGAAAAAACCUUUGCGGAAAUAUACAAUUUCCUACACAAACAAACAUUCAAGGAUUUCAUACUACUUCCAUACAACUUCAAGUAAGUGUGUGUAUACCGUCUACUUUCGAUGUCUUUUUCCUUAUCUCUACAUGUUAGUUAGCUCUAAUAUGCAUGAACAUUUUACGCACGCAGCUUCCACUGGAUCCUUAUUAUAAUUGAGCCUGAAAGAAGCCACGUCACUGUCUUAGAUUCGUUAAGGAAAGAUCCGAUGGACUACCAAGAAUUGCAAGACAUGCUAGGCUUGUAAUAAUUCUGGACCUUUAUCUCUAUGCAAAAAUUUAUUUCCUAAAUUUUAUCCCUGUUACACUAUGUCAUUCAUUAUUCUAAUCCGCAGCGCAUGGAAACAAUUCAUAAGGACACACAAAGGUCCAUUCAAAGAAAAUCUUACAUGGAACACAGACUUCCCGGUACGUAUGCAGUCUGCACAUUUAUUACAUUGUAUAACACAAAUAUUUCAUAACUUAUUUUUUUCCGCACUGAAGUGCUUAAGACAGGAACCCGGGAAUAAUCUAUGUGGCUACUACAUCUGUGAGCACAUGCACAGUUUUUUGGGACCCAAGGGACCGAAGAUGACGCCGCACAACUUUAAAGUACGUAAAAUAACUAUAUUACUAGUUAAUUAUUUUCUAGCUCCUUAUAUGUAUUUGUUCAUGUAACAUUCACAAAUUUCCAAAUUAUAGAUGUUAAAUAUUCAACAAGGACUCUUGAAGGAAGAAAGAGUAGCGGCAAUAUGUGAAGGUCUCAUUGGAUUCAUAAUGGACGAGGUGGUGGACGAGGUGGUAAAUCCAAGAGGAGAAUUUUAUUACGAUGGACGACAAUUAGACACUCCGAUCAGCAACACCACGAUGGAUACUUUGAUUUAUUUGUAUAUAUAAUACGCGCUAAUUAUGAUCGAUUUGUACUAAGCUAGUUGAAUUGUGUAUAUGAAUUGUGUAUAAGGAUUGUGUAUAUAUAUAGUAAUUGUAUAAUUACAAAUCCCAUUCGUUUAAAUACUAGUUGAUUUCGUUCUAAAAAAAUCUCAACUACAAGGUUAACAAAUUAAAAGGGCUGCGGUACUACUAUACGUAUACGUGAUGCAUGCAUGAAAAAUUCAGACGUCACGGCUGUGCCAUGCAAGCGCCAUUUAGUCCCGGUUGGAAUCGAGCCGGGACUAAAGGGGACCCCUUUAGUCCCGGUUGGGAAAUCCAACCAGGACUAAAGGGGGACCUUUACUCCCGGUUAAAAGACCCGGGAGUAAAGACCCCCCCCUUUUGUCCCGGUUGGUUUAUCCCGGAUGGAUAUCCGAGAGAUAUGCACCCUACCAACCGGGACUAAAGGCCAAUUCUCUACCAGUGUAGACCAAACAUGAUACACACCAUGCGUACCUUGCUGUGCAGACUAUGCAUUGACAAGAUACCCGACCACAUGUUGGCCUCGGUCACAUCAAAAGAAUCAUGUAGGCCACCAAUAAACUACUUGAAGCGGCAUUCCGUAUCGUAUAUGCAUUGCCGGUUCAUCUGCAUUACAUUACAUAAAGCACUAUUAACUAUUUGAAUAAAAUGAACCAAUUUAAAAGUAAUGUGUUGUACUCUACUAUAGAAAGCCCUAUCACUGCCGGAUCCAAAAACAUCAUUGUUAAUGGUGGUUAAGUACCAAAUAUGAUGGUCAAUAUUCUCAAGAAUAAUGGAGAAUUAGCAUUUCUUAGACACAUAUUUGGUUUUGAACAAUGUAGUUCCACAUGUCUUUGGAGAUUAUUUGGGUGUGGGUGAAAUAAUACAAAAAUAAGGAGAAAACACACUCCCAUGGCAAAGAAACACAACUCCAACCAAUGAGAGAUAGCCACAGGGGCAGCACACGGAUCCAUGGGCCCACAAACCGCAUCAAACCGUCUUACCAAGGCAGGUAGCACCCACAACCGUCAUUAGGACCCACCUGGAAGUCUACCAAGAAGAAGGUUGCGAGUGGGGCCAGGAGGGGUUCGGUUGAAUCAUCUCUAGCUAGCUCCCCUCAUCCCCAGCUGGUGGGUGGUGGUGGUUGAUGGUGUCCCUACAUCGGUUAGAGGAGAUUCCCCCAAAUAUUCCUCCUGUAAACCACCUCUAUGGACCUAUACAUAGAGGGGUGUGCUCUCCAUUCCAACACACACCACAAGUUGAAUCACUGUCUCCCUCUUUAGUUUCCAAGUUUAUGGAGUUAGGCUAGAGUAGCUCUGCUCAAGGUUCCAAGUCCACUUGGAGUUAAGCAUAUGUCUCUUGUAUCGUUAUUUCCUAAAUUGACUUUAUGCUUAGUUCUUAUAUGCAUGAGUUAGUCUAAUACCCUUGCUCUAUUGAUAUGCUCGACUUAUAUGCUCGUAUGCUAGUCAUAUACCCUUGCUGUCGUAGUAUAGGCUUAUAUGCUCUCAUGUGUGCCUGUAGACCUUGCUAUAGUAUAUACUUGUUGUGUAUACAUACCAUGUAUAGGCUAGUCGAUCUAUACCAUGGCAUUGGUUCAAUAGCCAUGUUUUUGGUGGCUCCAGCCCUAGUCACAAUAGCUCGGGACAGCUGGAGUGUUGUUAAAAAUGCAAGAGUGGUGCUUGGGUUGUUUAGCAUCGUUGGAUAUGGGUUUGCCCCACAGGUUUCUAACGGUAGGCGACAGCUAGUGACAUCCCUGUCCGUCCUUCGUAAUCCCCCCACAUUCAGGUACGCCAUAAAUGUUCGUAAAUUAGCAGUAACUACGCCGGUACACCCAUAGGGUAUUGUCUCCCUGUAGUACCUUGGUGCAUAGAACUAAGUCCUAUACACUGUGUGUGUAUGUUUACGCUGAUAUGAUCUGUGCAGUAUAUAGGAUGUAUAUAUGAACCUAGAGCUAACUCCUAGUCCGUUCUCCAUAGCUUAGUUAUCUUGAGAUGAUUCUUUUGUAUGUGUAACACUACCCAUCUUAUCAUUAUCCUUGCUCCUGUCUUGUGUAAUAUAUCUACUCAUCCUAUGAUAUACUCAUAUGCAUAGUAAACUAUUUUGACCUACCCGCCUUCCUUUGGGAAAUAUGAUACCCUGGAAUAAUCCUAGGUGAAAUCCUACAACGGUAUAUCCAUGUGCUUGCGGAUUUAUUCAUGACCAUUAAAUAUACCAACAAUCAUCACUGCCGGUUAUGGGCGUCGUUAGUGAAGGGUUGGUAGUGAUGGGCAUCCCCUUCACCAAUGGACCUGGAACCGGCGGUGAUGGCUGUUAUAAAAAAGGGGACACCACCCAGCGUACCCCGCGACCCGGCUGGCCGCACCUCCCAUCAUCCCCGCCAGCCGCCCUUCCUUUUCGCCGGCCGAGCAUGGUCCUGGCCUUUGUCCCUACCGCCUCGCCUCCACCGCGACCCCCCGCCGAUGCCCUCAUGCCUGGCCCCCCUCAUCUUGCCGGCCACCCUCCCGAUGCGUCCACUAGGGCCCUCACACCACCAACCGCCCUUGCCUAGAGAGGGAGAGAGAGGAGGGAGGUGAGGCCACGCACCUCGUCCUACACCGCCGCUGUUUCUCCUCGGCCCACCGCGCCUCACCCCACACCACAGCCGCGCCUUGCCAUCUUACCGGCUGCGACGCCUCAUCUCACCGGCCACCGUUCCUCACCCCCACUUCGGUCGUCGCCGCUCCUUGCCCUACUGCUGCUCUUUGCCGCUGCGACUGAGCGGCGAGUGGAGGAGGAGGGACGGGGCAGGAGGAGGGCAAGAUCCGGGAGGAAGGGAGAGAUCUUGGGAGGUGGAGAUGGAAGGAUAUGGCGGAAGGGAGAGAUCCAGAGGGAGAGAGCAGGGGAGAGAGGGGGGCAUGUGGGGAGAGAGUGCGUGUGGGGUGGGGCCAGGCUGGUGGGAUGGAAGGGAGAGGGGCUAGACGGGCGCAGUGCAUUCAACUGGAUGAAGUAAAUAUUUCGGAUUCGAGACCCCAGCUUUAUUAUCACCGCUGGUCCGUAGUACCAUCCGGUGCCUGCUCGUAAUUUAAUUUGAAUCUGCGGUGAUGUUUUAUUAUCACCAUCGGAUCAUAUAAAAAAUCCGGCGGUUAAAAAUCCGCUGGUUUCGAUGAAAACCGACGGUGAUAGGAUGACUGUGAUAGUCUCUUCUCUAGUAGUGGUAUAUUAGUACCGGCUGCCAGACGGUGUUGCCGACCAGUACUUCUCCGGAGGCGAUUCAGUACUGCUGUUAGCAAAGCUUGUUCUCUAUGAAUCUGGGGAUGGAAAGCUAGUUCUCUAGUUGUGAUUUGUUACAUAUAUAUCUAUGAUAGUCUAGAAAUUGCAUGUCCUUCGUUGACAUAGUUGAAGCUGCGCGCUUCAAGAAUUUACUUCGUGCAGUCGUGCAGCAUAUUGGAUUAUCACCUAGACAGGAUACAUAGGUGAAGCAUUGGAUGUGAUUGUGGCCGAUAAUUAUGCAGGACGCUGUUGCAAUCAACCACCAAGAAGUCUGGAGUGAUGGGGUUGCCUCAUCAAUAAUUUUUAUAUAUGGCUGCAGUAUUAUUAAGCCCACGUCAAUAAUUUUUUCUCCGCACCAUAUAUCGAUGGGGUUGCCUCAUCAAUAAUUCGCGCAACCAGACAAGCUGCAGACUCAAUAUGGUACGAAGCUAGUUGCUCAGCCCACAUGCUCUGAUAUAACAUUGACAUCUGCUGAUCUACAGUAUAUAUGACCAGAAAUAUUGUGCCCACCUCAAUAACUUUCUGAAGUAUCGUGGGGAAGAACCUACUCGUACUAUGCCUCGGAACUAACUGACAUAUCGGCCUAGGCGGUCUAGGCCGAUUGGACUGGCUCUUCCUUGUGGCUUCUCACGUCCCCUUCGUCCCCAAGUAAUUUCAGGUGUUCUGCAGUUUCCUUUUCACUUGCAUCUGAGCCUCAUAUAUCAAUAGCUUCGGGAUAAGAAUGCCUCUUGAUAACCUUCCAAAUCCUCGCUUGAUUCACAUUGAUUCCGAAAUCAUCUUGCCAUAUCUUCAGAGACUUAGGUCCUAAGGCAUCAUGGAGGAUUGCUCGCCAGGAAUGAGCACCAUUGGGCUCCUGAGGACCCUAGGCCGAUCAGCCCGGGCUCUAUAGGUCGAUUGGCCCAGGCCCUCUCUGGGCCCGUUGGCCUUCAUCUUUCUCUGAGUCGACGCUUAUUCAGGGCUUUGUCCAAUUAUAGUCUAUUAUAGUCUAAUUUCCUACAAAAACAGAAUGUCCUCCAAAAUACAAUGCAUAUGUGAAAACAGCCCAAUUAUUAGGUAUGAUCAAUAGUUUAGGUAUAUAAAUUAAUAUUAUUAUUUAAGAUAAACAGGGGUAAAGGGUGUCAUUAAUAACAAGCGCCAACAAGCGUCCUGGCUGUUCAAUAAAUUUUUUCUAGUACCGAUUGGUAACACUAACCGGUGCUAAUAUGUACCCUUUAGUACCGGUUAUUUUACCAGGUACUAAAGGAGACAAGAGCAUCCUAACAUAAGGUUAAUAUCAUCCAUUUCAUGAGUAAAAUACUAUGAUUCAAAAAUAAUUCAAAUCCCUUAAGACAAUACCUAUCAAAUGAGUAAAUUGUAAAUAGAGUAAUCUUGAUCAAACAAUGUCCUAAUGAAACGGAACACUUCUGGUUCGUGUAGAGCACAAUAUAGAAAACAGUAGGGUAGCUGUACGAUUGACACGUGGUCCAUUAAUUCUUGAGCCAACACUAUGGACAUGUCUUCAUGAGUAGUGUACUAGUCAUGAUACAUGGUAUGCAGUAGGUGGAGGUAUUGACUUAGCCAUGCUAUGAGCACUUAGUUACAACAAACACUUUGCCAUUAUCGAGCAUCCCAAAUCACUACAAAAUCCAUAGUUUACCAUAUACUACAAAAUCUGAGUUAAAAUAAGAGCAUACACGGAAGAGUCCGAAUGCACCGGCACAUUGAAUUACUAGACAAAAAUUAUGGGACAAGGUUUUGGGUAACCGCAUGAAAAAUAUUGGAUUUUACUGAACACUUAGUUACAAUUACCAUGCCGUGAGCACUUAGUCACCACAAACAUUUAACCACUUUAGAUCAUCCUGAAUCCCUAUAAAUUCUAUACCUUACACCGUACCAUGAAAACGACAAGAACAGAGACAGAUGCGGUGAAAAUCUCCAGAGCAAGCCUGAAAUUAAAAUAAGAGGAGGCAGUCACUAUCGACAGGACACGGAGAUUGCUAGCCAUGACAGAGGAAGACAUGAUAUGAUAUUCACCUCUGAAAUGCAGCGUAGACUAAAUGAAGCACAAUUGCAAGUGAGUGUGGCAGAUAAUGGACCAUCGAGACCAUCGAUUGGUAUGAAGCAUGAUUAUCACCUAGACAUGAUAUCCUAGACAGGACGGUGAAUUGUAAAAAGAGUAAUCUUGAUCAAAGAAUGUCCUAAUGAAACGGAACAUUUUUGGUACGUGUAGAGCACAAUAUAGAAAACAGUAGAGUAGUUGUACGAUUGAACUGCAUCCAUCGACGUGGUGCAUGAAUUGUUGAGCCAACACUGGGGACAUGUCUUCAUGAACACCAUCUAGUGAGGACAGCAUGCAGAAAAAUAUCAAAACAUGUCAUAGGGAGGCAGACCAAUCUUGCGAGGUAGACGAAACGUGAUACACGAUCUGCCUACCUUGUCGUGGAUACCCCAAGUGAAGAUGUCAUAGAGGUGCAGACCAAGCUAGCAAGGAGGUAGAUGAAACGUGAUACACGGCCUGCCUACCUUGCCGUGGAUAUUAGUCCUGAUAUCAUUCUAUUGUUCAAGGAAUAACACUCAAUGCUGCUGCUGCUGCUGACCUGGCUCCAUAAAGUUAUAUUCCUCUAGCCGCUUGCACUAACUUUAUCUGAAGUAUUAUUCUCUCUGCACUGUAUAUAUGGUUACGGAGUUUGCUGGAGUAUCCGGGGGGAAGAACCUACAUAAUAUGUCUUGGAACUAACUGACAUUGAUUCACAGACAAGGUGCUGUUGUUGCCAUAUUUUAGAGCAUCCCAAAGGACUAUAAAUAAUAUAGUUUACCAUAUACCGUAUACCAUUAUAUGUUAGCUAAAAUAAGAGCAUAACAUGUCGCAGGAGUCCAAAAGCACCGGUUGAGGACCAGGUACAUUAAAUUACUAGAAAACGAAAGGGGACAAGGUUUAGGUAGCCACAUGAAAAACAUUUGAAUUUACUGUACCAUGAACACUUAGUUACCAUGCCGGGAGCACCUAGUUAACACUAACAUUUAGCCACUUUAGAUCAUCCCGAAACACCAAUGACCCUCAAUAGCGACAAAUUUUGGUUUAAAUGCCGUCACCAAUGAUCCUCAAUAGUGACGUGUUUAGGUUUAAAUCCCGUCACUAAUAACCCUUGGUAGUGACGUGUUUUGGUUUAAAUCUCAUCACCACUGAUCCUCACUAGUGACGUGUUUUUAGCAACACACGUUAUGAAUGACUUGUCAUUGGUGACAUGUUAAACGCGUUAUCUCAAUGGCAAAUCAAUGGUGACGUGUUUAAAAAAACAUGUCACCGUGAGAGUUAUUGGUGAAGGGUAAUUAAAAUGCAUCACUAAUUUUGUAGCAUUAGUUAUGAUAUAAUUUUGUAACGCAAAAAUCUACCAUAGUAACGAGGUUUAGAGCCGUCGCUAAUGUGGGUUUCUUACGUAGUGAUGCAAGCUCUACAAGGUGCUGUUGUUGCCAUUUUAAAGCAUCCCAAAUGACUACAAGUGUCUGGUUGAGGACUAAACAAAUUGAAUUACUAGAACCAAAUGUAUGUCCAGAACAAAGAAAGGGGUCAAGGUUUGGGUAACCGCAUUAAAAACAUUGGAUUUUACUGUACCAUGAACACUUAGUUACCAUUACCAUGCCUUGAGCACCUAGUUACCACAAACAUUAAUUUAGCCACUUUAGAGGUUCCUCAAUCACUAUAAAUAAUAUACCAACACCGUACCAUGAAAACAUCAAGAAGAGAGACAGGUACAUGGACCACCAUCAAGUGAGUAGUGACAGCAUGCACAAGAAUACCCGGAACCUUUUAGCUUGUCUGUAGUGAUCUGUUUUCUUCCCCGUAAAAUCCAUGAGUAUUGCCACAAAUAAUGAAAGAGGCUGACCAAGCUAGCAACGAGGUAGAGCAAACGUGAUACACGUAGGUUUCAUUCAAGACAUCCAUGUAAGAUUCAUUCAAAACAUUCAUGGAAAUUUCUUAUAAGUUUUCAUGUAAAUUUCAUUCAAGACAUUUGUUAGAGGUGUUGUAUAUAUACUUAACGUACAUAUAUCUAUGAUUUCAUGGUUGUUAGUGAUGGCAGAUGAGGAGCAUGCAAGGUAUUUAAUGGAGCAGAUUAUUGCUAGUGGCAGUGGCUCCAACCUGCCCGUAACGUACACCGACGAAGAGGGCAGCCAGGCGGACAUGUUCCUCAACAUGUCCGGUGAUGGCAAUGAAGAGCCCGAGCAAAACCUUGCCGUGACGGAAGGUUCCAGCGAGGUAUAUAUCAUUUCCAUUAUUUUACCCCAUCUAUAAUUUCAUAUUCAUUAUUACUAUGUACUAAUUAACGAAUCUUGAACCGUUAGCCCUCUAGAUCAACGAACCGAAAUAAGCCCCGAGGUCUUACAAAGAUAAUGCAGGGAAGGCUUCACAUCAUGGAAGUCACAGAAGAGGGCACCUCGGUUGCUCCCGAACAUGUGGCAAGAACGUACGUGAGUCAAACCGGGGCAAUCGUAAGGGACAACGUGCCCAUCAGCAUCAGGGAAUGAAAGAGCAAUAGAAAUGAUCUAUACGCACCCCCGGAUACACAAAAGGAUAUGCUGUGGGCAAAUAUCAAGAAACACUUCACAUUUCCCAAAGGAUAUGUUGAAAAAGAUGUGAAAGCGUGGAUGCUGAAGAAGAUGGCCACCCAAUUCCAAACAUUCAAGAAGAUGUUGGAUGCCAACUUCGUCAAGAAGGGUCGAACUCCGGGUUUCGAUGAGUGGCCAAAGUUAAGGGACCACUGGGAGUCAUUUGUCGAAUACAAGACGAGCGAAGGUGGUGCCAGUAAGGUUCGCAUCAAUGUUGCCAAUGCUAGCAAGGAGUACCAUCAUCAUCUAGGGCGACGUGGUUACAGCACUGCAAUUCCCAGAUGGCGCAAGAUGGAACAAGACUUGAUCGAUCGGGGUAUCGUACCAGCAACUCUUGACUGGCCUGAUCGAUUGAAAAAUUGGUAUUAUGCUCAUGAAGGCAAUCUGAGCCAAGAGGAUGCGACAUUGGUCUUCAAUAAAACAAUACAUCAGAAGGUCGGAAGGCUUAUUAGGAACAUUGAAGAUGCUAAAGCUGGGAGGUUCAAGGUGGAUAGAGAGAAUGAUGAACUCACAUUGGCCCUCGGGACUGUCAUCUCUAGCACUUCCAGCUCCAGGACUAUCAUCACCACCGGGACCGUCGCUUCUUGCUCGAUCACAGUCUCCAUCUCCAGCACAUCCUGGUGGUGCGAGCGACGACGACAACAACACCCCUCCCUGCCCACCAUUGCCGGGACUAAGACCCGCAUUGUGUAAGGAACCUGCAACACCACUGAAGAAGUCGCGACCACCACCUUCAAGGCAAGUCAGCAAAAGAAGAAAGCAGAGAAGCCUAAACCCACUGAGAAGCCAGCGACUGAUAUGACCGAUGCGGAAAGAUGGAAGGCACUCAAAGAAGAAUGCAUGGAGUGGUUCAGAAAAAGGACCAAAGAAAGAAAAGGAAAGGAGAUGGAGCCACCGCCAGUAGAUCCAAGAAAAUUAUAAUUUUUUAUUAAGAUGUCAAAAGGAGCUAAGAAGAUGAUGCCACAACUAUCAAACUACGACUGGGCGUUAGUCAAGGCUGAUGAGAGUUAAAAAAGGAAAGGAAAGUCAUCGUCAAGUGGUACUGUCCCCCAGCUCGAGGAUCUACCAGAAAAAGAUGCUAAAAAGAUAGUAGCAAUGCUCUUGGAUCAACAAACACAUAUAUCGUGAGAUUAAUGCAAGAAACAGGUAUGUCCCUUGCUGAAUGUCUAUGGCAAGUUGAUAUGCUAGCUCCAGAGCCAGUUGUACCGAAAUGGACCUUUGAGCUAGGCAAGCCUCUAGUAAGGCCUGAGUUGGUACAGAAGCUAUCCACAUAGAUGCAUGAAUUCCAUGAAUGGUACAUGAAGCAGUCUGCCAAUGAGAGGGAAAUGUUCGGUCUCGAGGAAAAACUAAUAAUUUUUUUCGGCGAAGGCGAGAAAGUCGUAUGAAUCAAAUUCAAGGAUAUAUAUGAAGUGAACCAUCAGGAUGCCCUUGAUGUCUCUCUCAUCAGCGCCUAGGUUUUGUAAGUGUAUGUUUAUCUAUACGUAAAUUUUGGCUCAUAUCAUUAUUUUUUUUGCGUGCGUCACCCUACUAACUUCGUCUUCCAUUUUAUGUAGGAUGCUAAUUCAGACGUGCCGCAUAGAAGCGUACUUCCAUGUUGGCUUCAUGGAUCCAUCCCUAGUUAACCAAAAGCCGAUACGGAAGUAGCUAGAGAAAACGUUGGAGGUGGUGUACAACUUUCUGGACAAACAAAACUACAGAAUAGGGGCAAUAUGUGAGGGUCUUGUAGGAUUCCUAGUGGACGAGGUGAUAAAUCCAUAAGGAGAAUAUCAUUACAACGGACGAGCAUUAGACACACUGAGCAACACCUAGACGGGAGGAUCCUAGGAAUGACCUCAACAGAUUUUGGUAUAAAUAGUAAUUGUGUAAAUACUAGUUUGAUUUGUAUAGGAAUAUACUAAGAAUUGUAUAUAUAGUAAUUGUACAAAUACUAGUUUGAUUUGUAUGAAUACUAGAUUGAUUUUAUUAUAAAAAAGUUUUAAGUCGUACGUGCAUGCGCCUACAAAGGCGCGGAUGCCCUUUAAUCCCAGUCGGAAAAACAAACCGGUACUAAAGGGGCUCGUGCCGCACCUGGCAUGACCACCCCUUUAGUCCCGGUUGAACGACCCAGGACUAAAGAUCUCCGCGUCUCAAAAAUUUUAUCUCGGAUGCUUUUUAGAGAGAUUUGAGGCCUAUCAACCAAGACUAAUAUCGAGUUUUCUACCAGUGGAACUAACUAACGUUCACAUGCUUUUGACAUUCACCUGCCAUUUGGUGUAGACAAGGGCACCCUAACAUAUGGUUAAUAUUAUUCUUGAAAGAAAAUCCUUUGAUUCAAAAUACUUCAAACCUAAUAAUACAAUACUUCUCACAUCUCAAAAAUAUGAGACGGCCCGACAGUAUUCUAACCGACGCAAUAAUAUUUUGAGGGCAGCACUACUACAGCGACCCUCAUUCGUGCCGGUGCUGGGACUCCUAUCACGACCCUGAUACAAAUGAGGGUACAUUAUUGGUGCCAGUGCUAGAACAGCCACCAAUAACUUGCUAAACGUGCUGUUACACUCACUACAGGGACCAAGAAGGUAGAUAAAUUACACGACAUAGCCUUGGUUGCCGUGGAAGCGCCAAGAAGGGAGACAAAUUACAGGGACCACACCAUCAAGUAGAUAGUGACAAUAUGCAGAUGAAUACCCGCGCCUGUUAGCAUGUGAACUGACCACACCACGAAACGUGAUACACGGCAAGCGUACCAAGGCCUUGCUGUGCAGACUAUGCGUGGACAACACAUGGUACCUGACCGCUUUUGGCCUCAGACACAUCGAAAAACUGCAUCGUUCCACGUUGUACAUCCACUGCUAGUUUAUCUAUAUUACAUAAUAUAUUAUUAGCUAUUUGAAUAGAAUGAACCAAUUAAAAAAUUGCGUUGUAUUUUAGUACCGGCUGCAGGAUGGUGUUACCAACCAGUACUAAUUAGCCUGUAGGAGUGAUGGUUAUUAGACUUGGUACUGUUGUUACAUCAUUAACCUAAUUGUGCGCGGUAUGAAUUUGGGGAUGCAAAGCUAGCUCUCUAUGAAUGUGAGGGACGGAAAGCUAGUUCUCUAGUAGUAAUUAGCUAUAUAUAUAUGACAGUCAAGAAAUCGAACACUAUGCUGCUACGAGUCACCAUCAUUUCCUUCAUUGAGAAUCUGACAUAGGUGAAGCUGCUUCAAGAAUUUCCUUCGCGCAGUCGUGGAGCUUAUUGGAUUAUCACCAGGACGGGACACGGAAAUGGCCAGCAAUGAAGCUGAUUGCCGUCUGAGGAAGACUACAUACUUUACCUAUGAAAUGAAGCGAUUGCAUAGACUAAUGAAGCAUUGCAUAUUUGCAUGUGAGUGUGGCAGAUAAUUCUGCAGGACAUGAUUGCAAUCCACGCACCAUCGAGAAGACUGGGGCGAUGGGGUUGCCUCAUCAAUAAUCACGUGGAUGCAUGCAUGCAUGUUCCCGCAACCGGACAAGGGUCUGAUAUAUGGCUAUAGUAUUACUGAGCCCACAUCAAUAAUUUCCGCUGGUGUAUCGUGUGGGAAGAAUCAACAUACUACACCUCGAGUUCUUGGAACUAACUGACGUUCACAUGCAACCUCCACAAGGUGCUGUAUAUAUGCUUUUGACAUUCACCUGCCAGUUCGUGUAGAGGACACCCUAACGUAUGGUUAAUAUUAUCCAUUUCAUGAGUAAAAUACUGUGAUUCAAAAAUACUUCAAAUCCCUUGAGACAAUACUUCUCACUUGACUAACCACUAACCAACCCCGAAACCCUAACUCAACUCCGAACCCUAACACCUAACGGCAUAACCACUCCGUUUUGCCAGCCAGAUGGAGGAACUGGCUGGGAGGGAGAGAGGGCAGCGGUCCAGGGUUGAAAACGACGGGCGAGCGCAGUAACAUGUGGAGGAGGAAGUGCCACGUAUUCGUUCACCGCUAUUGGGCAGCGACACACAACACGCCCAAUAAGAUCUUCGCACGGUAGAAGGACGUCAUGUAUUCAAUAAUGUUAUUGGUCCUCCAUGUGCAGAAGGGCGCGUAUGGAAUAACAAGUAGGGACACUGCAACUAAUCUACUCUGCUCGUCCAGUCCCUAGCCUAUAAAUAGAUGCCAUGCUAGCUCUUGUUGUGCUCACAGUUAAUCCGAUUACACACGAGCUCCUCUCCCUAGCCAAGACACAAUCAUAGUAUGAUGAAGAACAUGGCACUAGCCGGCAAUGGUAUGAAGAAGUUAAUCCUCGCUGUUCUCUUACUGUGUCUAGUUAUAGGGCAGAUACAAGUGGAAGCUAAGAGCUGCUGCCCAUCCACCACUGCAAGAAAUGUCUACAAUACCUGCCGUUUGACGGGUGCAUCCCGUCCAAUGUGUGCAAAACUGUCAGGCUGCCAAAUUAUCAGCGGGAACAAAUGCAAGCCCCCUAACGACCACCUCACCCUUGACCCGGACACUGGUAAAUAAUAAAUUUAUCUCACUUGAUUUCUUUGUGUUUUGAGUCGUUAAUGUAUUUUCCAUCUGAUGAAACGCAUUGGUUUUGCAUUGAAGAGGAAGUUAAUGUGCUUAACUUCUGCAAGUUGGGGUGUGCGUCGUCUGUGUGCAACAACAUCAACGCUGGUAAGCACCUUUUGCUCAGACAGAGAAAACAAUAAUCAUUAAUUAGCGGCAGCUAGAAUCCUAUAAUCUAAUAUAUAUAUAUAAUUUUAUCAGCUCUGGGAAAUGAAGAGGCGAACGAUGCCGUUGAGAGUUGCGACCAAGCCUGCUCUAGCUUCUGCAGCGUGCAUGUUGGCAGCGCCACCGUGGUUGCUUAAGCAAAUGCAUCCAACUAGAUCGUCCUUGUGCUGAAUAAUUGGAUAUCGUAUCCACUUAAAGCUGCCUUGUGUAGUACGUCUUUGUGUCUCUCUUUAUAUUCCAAUAAGGUCGGUGAUCUUGAUGCCACACACUCAGAUGUGUGUUCAUCUCCAGAUACUACUCCAUGCUACCUGCCCUUUGUGUUUUGUUCAAUAACUGGGUAUCAUAUCCGAGCCAGUAUGCCGUCUGUUUUGUGUUUGUUUCCUUCUAGUUCCAAAGGGGUCAUCAUGAUGUUACCUUCUUUCAAUAUGGUGCUUUGCAUGACUACUGUUGUAUGGUACCAUCUUGUGGCCAAUAAGUACAUCUUAUCCUAUGACCCUUUGCUAUGACCCUUUGCAAAUAAGUAGAAGAUUGUUAUAAGCGUCAAUACUCAGUAUAAUUGAUCGCUGCUGUGAGUUCCCUUUCAGCUUAUCGUAGGCAUACAUUAUUGCUAGCACGGUAAAGCCAACCAACACGAAUGAUGAAGUAAACGUAGCGGUACUUCUGUAUACCAACACCCUUACUUAAAUGUACCGGUGUCAUUCCCUACUGGCACAUAUAUUCUUAUAUGCUAGCCAGCUUGUAAAAUUAACCAAUUAAAAUAAUUAUUUCAAGAUAGAAAUAACUUAUUGGCUUCUCGAAGCAUGUGUAAUGUGAAUUCAUGAGACUUCAAGCAACCAGGAAAAGACACUAAUAAACAUCCAGAUCCCAUCCAGCACACAUCCAUGCACAUAUAUAACCCACAUAUUGCUCCAGCACACAUCCAUGCAUAUACGAUAUCCAAAUGUUAAUAUUGUAGACAUCCAUGCCUGAACUAGUCUGCCACACAAGUCAUUGAUGCUACAAAUUCUACAAUCGCAGCAUGUGCAUACAACUUACAGAAUGAGAUAAUGUACCAAAACUAAAACGUUAGCAUCAACUGUGCUUCAACCAAAGUUGUCAUCCCAACUCUCCUCUUCAUCCAUGCCAUUCUUGUCAUGGCCGUCGCUGUCAGUCUCCAUGGCAUUGCCAAUGCUGUGUAUGUCUUGGUAGGAACCUACAUGUGAUGAACAGUAACCUGCAAAAAGAGCUCAAAGGAUCUUGUUCUCAUAUUGUAGCUGUGAAAUUCUUGCAAGUAGUGUUGCAAUCUGUUCACUUUGAACCAAAAGAGCUCAAAGGAUCUUGUCCUAAAAGUUCCUCUUAAAGCUUAUGGGUUUGCUGGUGGAACCGGAAGGGCUUGAUGCAGCAGAUGCCAUUCUGCAAUAGAGAAAAAUUUAGAGGGCAGUACUAGUUAAAAUUUGAUGCAGCAGAUACACACGAAACUAGUAUUUAUACAAUUCUAUAUAUGUAAUAAUUUGUCCCCUAAAUUUUUAGGAUCCUCUUGAUGGUGGUGAGUCUUCCAGUAAGGCAAUUGAAUGUCCGUCAUAAUAAAAUUCUCCUUAGGAUUUAUCAUCUCGUCAACCAGAAAUCCUAGGAGUGCUUCUUGGAUUGCCAAAACCCUAUCCUGAUGCAGGAGUUCGUCCUUAAGCCUUAACAUUUGUAAUUUGGAAAUAUGUGAAAGUUAAACCAACAAUUAAAAUAUAAGGAGCCUUAUCAUCAUUUCCAUGUGUUGCGAAUUAAAAUAAUGAAUAAUACAGUGUUAGGUGAAAAUUCAAGAAACAAAAUUUUGCAUAGAGAUAAACGUCCAACAUUAUUACAAGUUAAGGUAGUUUUAAAUAUCCUUGUAAUCUUCCUUUGAUUUCCUCAACGAUUCGAAGACAAUAACCUUACUUCUAUCAAUGAUAAUUAUAAGGAGAACCCAGUGAAAACUGUGUAUUCAUAUUAGAACUACCUAAGGUUAAUUAGGUUAGGAAAGGAAAUCGAAAAUAGAUGGUACCCACACUUACUUAAAGUUGUCGGGCAAUAGUAUGUAAUGCUUGUAAUUCCGUUGCUCCAAGAAUUUGUAUAUGUGGUCCAAUGUAGACUUUGGUUGAUUCCGUAUCUGCUGUUGGUUAAAUAAGUGUUUCUAGCCAUUACUAGCCGUUAGAACUCGGACUAAAGGGGGCUCUUUAGUACGGGUUGAUAUUACUAAUCGGGAUUAAAGAGCCCCCAUUAGAGUUGGUUUUUGGACGCGGAACUAACAACUCCUUUAGUCCUAAGUACAAAAAUGACUGAAAUAUUUGUUGCUGGAUGGAAGGUCCUUUCUCUACCAUGAAUAUUGCCAGAAAGAAUUGAAAGAGACUGCUUGCUAAAAAUAUGUCAUAGAUGUAGACCAAGCUACCAAGGAUGUAGACCAAACAUGAUACACACCAUGCGUACCUUGCUGUGCAGACUAUGCAUUGACAAGAUAGAAAUAAUUAAUUCUAAUAUGCGUACCCUUACUUACACUAGUAGAGAAUUGGGCUUUAAUCCCGGUUGGUAAGGUGCAAAUAUCUCGAAAAUGCAUCCGGGAUAAACCAACCGGGACAAAAGGGGGAUCUUUUAUCCCGGGUCACUCAACACGCGAUUUUUCACAAAAAAAAAAUUCCCGAGCUCCCAGGCAGGCCCCCCACACGCGAUUUUUCACGCGAAAUAUGCGCGUGCGCGGUUCGUGGGAUUCGAACCCACAACCUCCAGCCUCGCGCGUAGUUUCCUUGCCAUCCCACCUACACACCACAUCUGACUAUGUAGGGGAUACUAUCCUUUUGUAUUAAAAGGCUCUUGACCCUUUUAUCUCGGUUGGUGUUACCAACCGGGAUAAAAGGGGGGGUCUUUUAUCCCGGUUGGUGUUUCAAACCGGGAUAAAAGGCCUCUCAGAGUCUUUUUUUCCCAUUAGCCUUUGCAACCGGGAUAAAAGGUUCCGGUUGGUGAGCCCCCCACCAGUGACCGAGUUUUAGUCCCGGUUGGUGAACCUUUUGUCCCGGGCCAACUUUAAACCGGGACAAAAGGGGGCGUAUGGAAAGCCAAUUCUCUACUAGUGUUAAAUAUACCGGUGUUAUUGCCCACUGGCACAUAUAUUCUUAUAUGCUAGCCGGCUUGAAAAUUAACCGAUUAAAAUAAUUAAUUCAAGACAGAAAUAACUUAUCGGCUUCUCGAAGCAUGUGUAAUAUGAAUUCAAGGACUCGAUGGAAGUUGAAUCGCUUCAUCUAGAUUGCUUUCAGGAUUUUGGGUAACUAAAUUUAACAUUUGCACACACAAAUGUUAAUGUACAAAUGUUAAAUCUAGUUACCCAAGCAGAAUAUGAAUAUACUCUAUAGUAUACAUAUACUAUAUAAAUCUAGUUAAUAUUUAGUCUAAAUGUUAAAUCUAGUUACCUAAAAUCCUGAAAGCAAAAUGUAUAAAUAUAUAUCUUUUAAGGCAGUAUAAACUUCGAUUCCUUUUGCUGCUCUGUUAAAUCUCAUCUUUCGUUGUGGCCCAACACUCUAGUAUGUAUGUUGCACCAAGCUUCCUUGAGCCGCUCUGCCCUCUGAUUUUGCUGCGUAGGGGAAUCUUUAUCAGGUUGGGCUGCUUCCAGUCAUACGAUGUGUGGCUUCAUAUCUUCUACAAGUUAGACAGGAAACCCGCGUUCUGGAAGAUUCUGCAACGUGCACGUUGGCGCUGCCACCGUGGUUGCUUAAGCAAAUGCAUCCAACUGAAUCGUCCUUGUGCUAAAUAAUUGGAUAUCGUAUCCACUGCUUAAAGCUGCCAUGUUUAGUACAUCUUUGUUUUUCUCUCUUUAUAUUCCAAUAAGGUCGGUGAUCUUGAUGCCACACACUCAGAUGUGUGUUCAUCUUCGGAUACUACUCCAUGCUACCUGCCCUUUGUGUUUUGUUCAAUAACUGGGUAUCAUAUCCUAGUCAGUGUGCCAUCUGUUUUGUGUUUGUUUCCUUCUAGUUCCAAAGGGGUUAUCAUGAUGUUACCUUCUUUUGAGGUGUCUAUGACUUUGUUAAUAUCAAUAUUAACCAAUUCAAUCUAUCUUAACUAUUUGUAAGGGGUAUGAUGUAUGCAUGAUUAUAACAAUGAUUGCGCAUACAAUCACUGCCAAAGAAACGGUCAAUACCAUAAAGACAUAUUACAGACAAUUCUCAUAAUCUAUAAUGAAUAUACAUAUUCACUACUGCAGAGACUGUCAUCUGUAUCAGCUCAUACGUGCCAGGGCAAAGGUCACCCUUGCAUUAAAAGUACAUUUGCACGGUAAAGAUAACCAACACGAAUAAUGAUGUAAACAUGCCGGUGCUUUUGUACACCAACACGCUUACUUAAAUGUACUGGUGUCAUUCCUCACCGGUAGCCGGCUUGAAAAUUAACCAAUUAGAACAAUUAUUUAUUGUAUCGGUGUGAAUUUUGACCUAUUGGAAUAUGAAUUUGACCAUUACUGCAUUCGUCAAGACUCAAGAGAGAAAUAACUGAUCGGCUUCUUAGAGCGUGUGCAAUGUGAAAUCAAGGACUGGAUGGAAGUUGAAGCGCUAGCUUCAUCUUCCGCUGCAUGUUAAUUGCUUGGAUAAGAAGUUGUAGCCGCGUAUAUAAAUAGUCCCGCUGAUGCUGUGCUCCGAAGUCUAUACUAUAUAUGCGAAAACUAGAUUGCUUUCAGGAUUUUGGGUAACUAAAUUUAACAUUUGUACAUAAAAAUGUUAGUUUACGAAUGUUAAAUCUAGUUACCCAAGCAGAACAAGAAGAUAGUAUAUACUAUAUACUAUGUAAAUCAAGUUAACAUUUAGUCUAAAUGUUAUAUCUACUUACCCAAAAUCUUGAAAGCAAAGAAAGAAUAAGUAUAUAUCUUUUGUUGGAAAAUUGGUCCACGGAGAGUGGCCUCGUUCGUUUCACCGGGAAGGAAUUCCAGUCAGGAUUACUUCCAAGUCCGGUUUAAGUGAUUCCACCCAUGUCACUCAAUUCGGCUAGGAUUCAUUCCAGGGGUGAGGAGGUAUGGUUUCAAUCCGGGCCAUCUAAUGUAGAAGGAUUCCAAUCCAGGCCGGUUUUCGUUCUAGGCUAGACUAAAACGAACAACACUUUCAAUGCAAGUCUGGUUUCAAACCGGGCCACUUCAAACCACCCGGAAUGGACCUCAUUCCGGGCCAAUCCGGUGAUAACAAACGAGGCCUUAAUGGAAUCCCAAAGCAAGAGUUCAGUGGCAUUCUAUAGUCCCAUGCUGCUAGUUUGAGUUGGUCGAAGCCAACUUAAAUAGGAGAGCUCUCUCACUUCUCUAAAAAUGUAACUGAAGGAGAGAAGGGGGCUUGGGUUACACAACGCACGCACGCACGCAUAUUUGCAUUCUUUUCGCGUAACCGACCGCGUGACUUGAAACUUGCGACGUAGCGUGCUGCUAAGUCAAGUUGAUAUAACCUUUUUGCCGUUUGCGUGUAAUCUUUUGACAACGGUCAUUGGAGGUGAUAAGCACGCAGUCAAUACCUUAAUCCUGAGUUAAUAGGGCGGUUACUACUGCCAAUUAGUGCAGCAAUUUUGUAGGGGAAACGGUUAGCAGAGGGCUACCGUCUUCUCUAUAAGAAGUUUUGGAGACGUCCAGGAACACACAUGUACAUGUGAGAGACCCACGGAUUCCUUCCCUUCUCCCUUUUCCAUCUGGUGAAGUGUGCUAUGGUACUGAGCUGCUGGAUCUCGCUGGCUCUUCUCCUUGGCGUGCACCGAGGAGGAGGAUGAGCGGUAUCUCUGAGCUAUUGCCGUCAGGAAGCCUGCACGAGGGACAACAAUAAAGUUUUUAGGUAGCGCCUGCCUAAUCUUCGAUCUGCACUGCAACGCGUAACCCUGCAGCAACUCUACACGAGGACGGAGCACUAAUCUGUAAGUCCUAGAUUGGUUUCUUACAGAGUUGUAGGUUACACAAGAUCUAGAAUGGUUACAUACCAAUUAUUAUGGGUUACAUGAUGUUUUGUACGGUUUCGUCUAUUUUGCAUAUGUUAUUUUUACAUACCGUUUACAUGCAUAUGUUAAUGGUUACACCUAGCUAUUUGAAUCUAGAAUUGGGUUACAUAGCAGUAGCAAUGAGUUACGUAAUAUGCCUCACGUUUAUAUCUGGUAGAAUUUAACACGUAUCUCCAACAUAUUUUGAGGCAGUAUAAAUUUCAAUUCCUUUUGCUGCUCUGUUAAAUCCCGUCUUUCGUUGUGGCCCAACACUCUAGUAUGCAUGUAGCACCAAGCUUGUUUGAGCCGCUUUGUGCUUUGAUUUUGCUGCGUAGGGGAAUCUGUAUCAGGUUGGAUUGUUUCUUUGUCUUGCGAUGUAUAGCUUCAUAUCUUCUAGAGGUUAGACAGCAAAACCCGCAUUCUCUUAAGGCAACAACCCGAAGAAUCUGCAGCGCCUCUGAUAUAUCACUGCUGCAGAAACGAUCUUUAGUACUGAUCUCCAACCCUCUUUAGUAUCGGUUGGGCAACCAGUACCACUAUGUCGGUACUAAAGGGAGUUCUCUAGAAUCGGAUCAAAUAACCGGUACUAAAAGGGCUCCUUUACUACCGGUUGGUAACAACAAUAGGUAGUGACUUUUUUGCACCCAAAAAAUUAAAGAAUAACAGCCGGGAGGCUCGCACACACACGCAUCAUGAGUAAUAUGCGCGUGCAUGGUUUGUGGGAUUUCAACCCACGACCAAGCUAUAAGAACGUAGUUACAACAAAUCAAACACUUAGACAUUUUAGAGCAUCCCAAAUAACUACAAAUUCUAUAGUUUACCAUAUACCAUAAAAUAUUAGUUAAAAUAAGAGCAUACACAUGUCGGAAGAGUCCCAAUGCACCGGUUGAGGAUCAGACCAGGCACUUUGAAUGCACAUGCCAUAAGAUAAUUCUGCAGGACAAUGAUUGCAAUAAUGGACCAUCGAGAAGAUAGGGGCGAUGGGGUUGCCUCAUCAAUUAUCACUUGGCGCAACAAGACCAGCAAAGUCUUUAUCGACGGGGGUGGAUCAAGGGGUGGGGCAGGCAGAGCUCCAGUCCUCCUACCGCCGCUCGAACAAUGGAGCCCCCUUAGCCCCUCCAUAAAUUUUUAGGUAGAAGAAAAAAGAAGAGAAGGGAAGCAAGGGGAAGAAGAGGGAGCCCCUGCUAAGUAGGUCGCCAUCGUGCUUCCCAACGCAUGAUCGCCGCACCGCAUCCAUUCCUCUACAAGCCUUCAGCGUCUCUCCCGCCGCUACCUCUGAACCAUGUGCAGCUAUAGACCCAACUAGUGUGUUGUCGCCCAUCUCAGUCCCAACAGAGCGGCGGCGGCUGCCAACACAAAUCUCCCUCCGCCUCUUCUUCACGGUCGAUGGCCGCCACAAGCAUAAACCUCGCCUUCGCAUCCAAGCAAAAGGGUCGUUGGGGUGCCUUCUUGCAUCACUUCUCAGCCUCCUUCACUUGCGGCCAGCGAAGAACUGCGCCACCACCUCGGGUGCGUGCCACCACUCCAGGGCCGCUACCCCAUGCCUGCGGCCGCCACCGGCCACCACGCGUGUGCAACCGCGUUGCACCGCUUCCCUGCUUUGUGCCACCACUACUGCUGUACCACCAGCUCCACCACCUUGGGAUGGUCGCCAGGGUGACUGAUUGGUGAUUAUUACUAAAAAUAAGUUCCUUAUUAUCUGCAACUACUAUUAACUCAGAGAUACAUGCGUCUUUUGCUUCUCCUGCUAAUAGGUCCUAAAAUAUCUAGGAUGCUUUAUAUUUCUGGACAGAGGAAGUAUUUGAAUAAAAUGAACCAAUUUAAAAAAAAUGUGUUGUACACUACUACAGAAAGACCUAUCAGUGUCAAACCCAAAAAUGUCGUCACCGCCAGUUUUAGGCAUCGUUGGUGAAAGGUUGGCGGUGAUGGGCAUCCCCUUCAACAACGGCACUGGAGCCGACGGUGAUUGACAUUAGAAAACAAAAAAGGGAACCCCACCUAGCCACCCCUGCAACCCAGCCGGCCGUGCCUCCCCUCAUGCCCACCACCUCGCCUCCCCCGUGACCCCCCGCCGGCGCCCUUGUGCCUAGCCCCCUCGCCUGCCCGGCCGGCCACCCUCGUCAUGAGAGAGAGAGGUGCAUGUUGUAUAAUUGCGUGAAUUUUUGAAUGUUUAAUUUUAUGUAAGUUCCAUGUAAUAAAUUGUACAAGUUUUAUUGUAUAUAUGAAUUCCAUAUAUAUGUAUUUAUAAUUUAAUGUAUGGUUUCAUGUGUAUAUUUCAAUCAUGUGUAUAAUUAGUAGAUUGCCGAUUUUCUUUUUCUACUAGACAAGGGUUGAUGUAUAAUUACGUGUAUAUGUUUAUUGUAUGGGCAAUUAGGACAAGUUUUGUAUAAAUUUCUUUUAUUUCAUGGUUGUUGUAUGGUUUCAUGUAUAUACAUUUAUUGUACUACUUGAGACAAUUUUAAUUUAAUAUUUCUAUGAUUACAUGUGUGUAUAACUAAUUGUAUUAUUAGUUAAGAUGGGAGCCAAAGAGGAUGAAAGGUAUAUAAUAGAGUAGAUUAUUGCUGGCGGUAGUGGCUCAAACGUUGCAAGAACCUACACCGAGGGUGAGGGUAGCUAGGUGGACAUGUACCUCAACAUGUCCAGUGAUGGCAAUGACGAUGAGGAGCACGAGCAUGACGUCUAUGAUAAUGCGGAACAAGACAUUGCAGAAUUGGAAGGUUCUAAUGAGGUGUGCUUCAUGUUGACGAUCUAGUUGGCUUUUUUUCUUUGGUCACACCUUAGUUACCAUAGAACUUCGUCUCGGGAGAAGAUUGGUGGUGCUAUGGUGAUUGGAAUUUUAUUGCCUCCAAAUUUGAUUUCCAUCGAAUCAUAUCCCUUGUAUUUAUCUUCUUUUUAUUUGUGAGAGCAUCUUCUUUAUGCUUGCAAAACAAUUCAAGUGCACAUACUACCCCUAGGGUGAUGAUUGGGAGUAGAAACAAUUGCCAACAAAACAACACCACAUCCUAAGAUUCUUAACUUGUGGCAUAAUUAAUCUAGUGAAAAGAAAGAUAAAAACCUAAUGGGUGUACGUGAGUGCAAUGUGUAUAUGCAUAUGAGUGGAAGGCAUAUAAGCAAAGACAAUAUUUACACAUAGUUCUAAACACCAUGUUUACAGCUAGGUUGCUGAAUUUCUCCAUAGCUAUAGAGAUUAAUUAACCAAGGUCAAAACACGAUGUCUAUCCCAAGAUCAGUAAUUCUUUAUAGCACAAGAAAAAUAAAGCGCAUUGCAAAGUUUAUAAACCAACCAAUACAGCAUGAAAACAAGAUGAAUAGCUAGCAAGGUUUAUUAAAUUGAAUGAUGACGGUCUGCAAGCAAGUUUGAACACCAUCUUUACACAAGAUUGCAAAUGGAAAAUGCCCAUAUGAAGCACUAACAUGGAUAUGAAAUCAUUCAUCAUAAAGCGUAAAGAACAACCAAGCCAACCAUAUGCAAAGCAUGAAUGGAAUGCAAUGAAGGUGCAAGAGAACAUUUUUGGAUGAACACAUUAUGAUGAUGGCAAAAUGCAAUGCGUGCAGAAAUAAUAAAUAUGAACAUGAAUAUGAUGAUCAGGGGCGGACCCACUAUUGUGGCCUGGGUAUUCCUGGGCAUACCCAAUAUUUUUGGGAAAAUGUUUAGUAGUUUUUAAUGGCAUAUACAUGUAUAAUAUAGUUUAGGUGUUAAAAUUGAUAUUCACAGCUAUUUUGGGCUCCAAUUCGCGUCCAAACCAACCUAGCCCACAGACCACACCCGGCCGGCCAGCCCAUCGGCCCAUCUAGUCACUGAUCCUUCCACCACCACACUCAGCCCAUCAGUCGGUCAGGUCCCGAGCUCCUGCCUGACCUAGUCUGCUACCGCCGCCGGGCGCCAAGCACAGCCGUACGCAUUGCACCGCCCCCGUCCACCCACGUCCGUUGGGGGGCCAAGCCGCGCCCCCCAGCCCCCGCGGUGAGAUCUCGACGCCCGCUGCCCCCAGACCCCAUUAGGCCUCCAUCGGCAAGUCCACCCACAGUCCCACGGGACGGGGCAGCCUUUUGGCUUUGGGCGCUCGGGGCGCGCCAAUGCCAGCGCAGCCCCAGCAGGCGACUGCCCCCCCCCCCCGCAUCAGGCCUCAGCCCCUCCCCAGCUCCCCCUCCCCCCUCCACCAGGACUGCUUGUUGGCCCCCACCGCGAGGUAAUCGAAAUGGACUGCUCAAUCACUCAAUCUGUUGACAUGAUGCACACGGNNNNNNNNNNNNNNNNNNNNNNNNNNNNNNNNNNNNNNNNNNNNNNNNNNNNNNNNNNNNNNNNNNNNNNNNNNNNNNNNNNNNNNNNNNNNNNNNNNNNNNNNNNNNNNNNNNNNNNNNNNNNNNNNNNNNNNNNNNNNNNNNNNNNNNNNNNNNNNNNNNNNNNNNNNNNNNNNNNNNNNNNNNNNNNNNNNNNNNNNNNNAUUUUUUUGCAAUGAGCAUACCCUACUCUGAAAUCCUGGGUCUGCCACUGAUGAUGAUGGUCUAAACAUAAAACAAGCCAAGAUUAAUUAGCCACAACUGAAAUUAAGCAAAGGUUAAUGUCAUUGACCCUAGCUCUAUCCUAGCUUUUACAAAAGUCCCAGCACAUAUAGUGGUUGGGCCCACUCUCUCUGCUUCCCUCUCUGCUGCAUGCAUGCACACGAGCAACGGGAGGCCCCACAAAGCCCAGAAGGGUUCGGCUGAACCCGGCCGAUCCAAUCUGAGCACCACUCCCUCCCAGCCUUCGCGCAGAUGCUCCUCCAACAUUCCUUGACCCCUCCCUCAGCGUCCCAUUGGGUUUAACAUUGCAGGAGAGGAGUCCCUUUUUUAAAAUCUCAACCACCUCCUCUCCUCAUUCACUCCACUCUCAUCUCCAUCAAACUCACCAAGAUCCACAUCGGAAAUCCCUGCUUACCACCAUGGCUGGCAAAGCCCUCGUCCCUUUCACCAACUUGGGCUUAACCAUUGAUCUCGAUGGGGAAAUCACUCCGGAAAUAGGGCAGUGACCCAGAGCAAAGGUGAUGCCAGAGUGUAGAUAGCAGUUAGCAUGCCAAAUUGUGAACCGCAAGCGCUCGGAUUAGUUGUUUUUUUUCCCUUAGAGAUUCCCCCAAGGUUUAUCAAUCCAUGGAACAAGGGAUUUGCACAUUUCACUAAGCAUUAAUCAAUGUAAUUGAAAGCUUUUUGAAUAAGAUAUGAUUAUGCUAACAAAGGAACUAAGCAAUCUAGAUUAAGAUGGAUAGAGAGUAAAGGUUGUGAACAAGAUAGAUUAAACGCUUAUAGAUGCAAUCACCAUGCAUGAAUGAAUUAGAUCUAGGUGUUAUUGUGAGUGGUUGUGAACCAUACCCCAACACUUUCCCACCCGCAACAUUGUCACUACAUGUGGGUACUCAACUAUCGAAACAUAAGAACACAUCAAGAUGAUCAUUCUAGGUAAGCAAAUAAGCAACCCAAAGUAGCGCUGGCCAGCCUUUUCAUGAAAGAGCAUCAUCAAGAUAAGAUUGAUAACAAAAUAGAUCUCAACCAAAGGUUCAGCGAUUACAAAUCAAGAUCUCCGUAUAACCCCGAUGACAAAUAGAGGUAUUACCCCCAUGAUCUUACACAUGUUGAUGAAUUUUAGGGUAAAGGACGCCCUGUAGAUCAACUGGACCAAAGAUGAUGAUGAACAGGGGCAGGGAAGGCCCAGGCUGAUCAGCCUGGGCACUUUUGAGCCGAUCAGCUUAGGGAGUUUCCUCCUCCCCUGGUGCUCCUCUUCGCGUGGCCUCCUCUGGAUCCAAUCUUCUCUUCAUUUCUCCUACUUGUGGUGGCAAUGGAUGGUGUUUGCAUGGUGAUUUCCUCUUCUCCCCAACUCUCCCUCCUUGAAGUCCAUGAGGGGGUAUUAAUAGUCUCCAAUAUGCGGCAGCUCUGGGUCAAUGUCGGUGAAAAAACCCUAGAGAUCAUCGUACACUUCACGCUGAGGAAACAAGAGGUCGACCGAGCCCUGGGAUAGACCAAGAGGAUCAGCCUAGAGGGUCCCAGGCCAAUCGGUCUAGGCCCUUCCUAGCCCUUCUAGUCCUCUCCUUCCUCGUGCUGGCUUUUCUCGAUGACCCUUGUCCAAAUAUCCAUUAAGCUCUAUAUACAUACCCCCUUGAUUAUGUCGUAUUUCCUGUCAAAAUACAAUGCUCCAAAAUACAACACAUAUGCAAUAAUAGGGUUAUUUCAUGUGCCAAUUGGUGCGUUAGUAUACGAAUAAGCAUGAAAAUACUGGUUAAAUGACACUAAAAGUGUGUCAAUAACGAGCACCAACAAUCCCCCCACGCUUAGAUCUUGCUCGUCCUCGAGCAAGUCUAGCGACUAAAAGAUCUUGAAUUAAACAUGAGCAAGCGAGUCAAGUACCUAGCCUUGAAACAAAAGAUUAGAGGAGCAGCAAAGAUAAUCAAAGUCUGGGUGUUCAAAGAUUUAUCUAAGCAAAGAUUCCCCUACAACUAUUAUUCAGAACCAAGUAACUUCAAGAAUCAACUACACUUAUUUUCUGGCUUUUUUCAGAGGGUUUUUCUUUCAUCACAAAACAAUCUCCCUGCAACAAAAUUGAAAAAAGAAUUAUUUUCCAGGUGCUUACAUGUCGUUUAAAUGAAUGUUCGCUAUCCUACUUAUUUGCAAGCUCUCAUCUCUCAAAAUUCAUUCAAUUAUAUGGUGGAGCUUGGGUAAGGUUAGCUAGAAUCAACACGUAUAUUAUUGAAUUAAGAAAACCCUCUAACGGUAGCCUACCUUUCGAGCCAUUGAUCAUAAGAAUAUCCACAUAAUGUGAAGUUUUCAAGGAUGAGAAUAGAAUGGUGGACAUGUGCAAAGGCAAAGAAAUAUAGUGACUCUGAGGCACAAGCAAUGUCCUCGUCGUUGGAUUGCAUAUGGUUGGAAUGAAAAUCUGUUCCUUAAACAAGUCCAUCUUUUCUUUGCACCACUCUUGAUCUUCAUGACAGUAAAAACUCCUCCUUUAUUUCUUUCUCUCUUUUCCUAUUAUUUCUUUUUAUUUGUCUCAAUACUUUUCUUUCUUUAUUUCUUUAUUUUAAUCUCUUCUCCGAACCUCUUCUGAACACCACACAAUAAAAAUCAGUUUUAGAUCCUUCUAGAGACCUUCCAGGAAUUUGCUACAUGAAAACCGAGGCAAGGAGACCCCAGGCCGAUUGGCCUGGCCACUCCUUUGCUCUCCUCUAGCUCUUCUUUCUUGUGAAGCUUCCUUAUCUUGUAUCUUUCCAAAAAUUUCAUAAAGCUCAACUAGAAACGGAACACAUCUUCAUAUAAUGAGUUGUGUUCAAGGAAUUGGUAAUAAAAUUGAGAAAUUUGUGGUUCGGGUUUACGAAUUCAGUACAAAAAUAUGAUUAUUCCAAUGAAGAACUCUCAUUACUGAAUAUUGACGAGGCAAGCAUUCAAAGAUGGUAAAAAGGAUAUGAUCAAUUCUCAGAAUUAAAGCAAACCAAGAGAGAGCGAUCCUAAUUCAAUUCAAAGUGUCAAAUGUUGCUUAUGGUGGUAUGAAUAAAUAUUUUUAGGCAUUGGGUAGGAUAAAUAAAAACUCUCAACCUGGUUAAAAGAUAUUGAUCAAUCUUGUUUUUGCAGAGGUUUUAAAUAAAAAAUAAAAUUUUAAAUCACCUCCAAUUCAAAGCCUUACUCAUAAAUCAUAAUCAAAACUGAAGCACUUGAUCAUCAUAAAGCAUGGGUAUUGCAUAAACAAAUCGAUUACUAAAACUCCACAACUACGAUUUAGAAUUCAAGACAAUGCUCAUAAUCUAAAGUUGCAAAGACAAAAUAAAAGACAAGCAAGCCAAGGUAGACACUAAAAACACUUGCACGAUCCUUGAAUUUUAUUCAUGCUUCUUCUCACAAAGACGCUAAAGUAGCCAUGUAGGCCUAAGUCUUCCCAAAAGCUUAAGAAGACUACUACUUUAUCUACUUUUGGUUCUAAUAAAAACACUAAUCUAGACUCUCACAUGAUUCGACUCGACCAAACUAGAUCCAAAAACUCAUACGAGCGACAAUCUCCCCCCCCCCCUCUCAAAUCUACGACCUCCUCGUGGUAACCAUAUGGAGUACAAGGAAAAGACGCUUGUAAACGCACUAAUGACGCUACCCGGACUACUUGCACACGGAAUGGUUGCUGUUUCCUUUGCUUUGUUCUUCGUCAUGUUGCUGCACAUCCCGAAGAGCUUCCUCACGUUCCUCUGCAAGAACUUGAACUUGAACUUGUCCUCCUGACGGCAAUCAUUAUCUUCUGCCUUUUGAUCCAGAGCUUGUAAGGCUUGCAUGAUGUCAUUGAACGCAUCGAAGAGGUAGUGGAUGUUCUUCCUGCAAGCUGUGGAACAUGUACGAUCAUGCUCCUACGAUUCUGGCCCGUCGUCUUCUAGAUCCUCCUCUUUGCCCUUGUCUUGACGGUGGCCAUCUUGCUCCUUGCUCGUCUUCUUGCCUUCAGCCCGAUCCCAGUACGUGUUGUCAUCUUCUUCAUCAUCACGGCCUGCAGCACCCUAUGAUCCAUUGUCUAUCUUGUAUGAAAGAAUCAGAAGCUUGUUCUCCUCAGGGUGUCUUGCGCGGUGCAGCGUUUGCAAGUGCAAGGCUUGCUAGUUCUUUUUACACAUUGUAAUGUUCAUUGCAUGCUCUAAUUGUUCUACAUUUGUAAUUUCUUGGUGAAGUUUGGUUACUGAUCCACUGUUUGAUUAACUCUUGGGCCCAAACACUGUACUACUUCUGAUUAGAUAUCUGUAUCUUAACUUUGACCAAAAAAAAUAUCCGGCAGUUUUUGCCAUUAAAGUUUCAUAAAUCAUCUUGCAAAAAUCGUACUAUACAACAAGGGACGGUUUAUUAUAAAAUAUACGUUCCCCUUAUCACAUGCCACUUCCACUCAAAAGGCAACGAAUCAGUUUUCAAUCCUGAGUGAGCAAUUUGCUUUUAUUACCGAUGCCUCCUAUUCCCUUGUGCACCAAGUUCAUUUUGGAUAGGACUGCAAAAAGCGACUAACCAGCUCGGAUUCUCCACCUGCAAAACCGCAUCUGCAGCAACCAACCCCACGCGGUGGAAAAAAAAACAAAACCCAGAAACCGGACGGGGGUGGAUGUGGGGCUCGGAGCCCAAGCAAAAAAAGGAUCGGGAGCGCCGGAGCAGGCCAUCACCGGAUGUUAGAGAUAGAAAAUGGUUGAAGUUGGAGUGGAAAUCAAACAAGCCUUGGAGCAAAGGAAAAAAAAGAUCAAACCACUCAAGCAUUCAUUUGAUUUAGAAAAGAGAACAUUUGUUAAGGUGGGGAGUUGAAAUCAUCUUUUAAUUAGUUCCACGUAUCUGGUAUCAUUACAGUUGGUUGACUUGUGUAAGUAUAUAAGUAGCUCUGCCGAAGCCUUUGCUCCUAUAAUUUAGUAACUAGUACAAAUGGAUCAUUAGGAAAAUCAAGUUGCAAUCAUUUCUCAGCCAACCAAACCUAUCUAAAUCAAAUUAUUGUCCAUGCCCGGCAUGCACAGGUGCCUGCCAUGCAUGCAUUGUUGCUCCAUUGUAAUAACCAUUAUUGUCCAUUGAUGUUCCAGCGCAUGUGUGCACUGUGCAGACACCAAGCAUCGAGAUUAUGUACUAGUAAGGUACCAAGAACACGUGAAGCACACGGGGGAGGCUGCUCCACUCGGCAUGCACAGGUGGGGCACGGCACCACUACUCGUCUCCUUCAGGCAGAGGACAAGUGAUGUACGCUGAUCAACCACUAGUAGAAAAACGACUUUCCAUCCACCCCCUUUUGUCCCGGUUUAAAGUUGGCCCGGGAUAAAAGGUUCACCAACCGGGACUAAAACUCGGUCACUGGUGGGGGGCUCACCAACCGGGACCUUUUAUCCCGGUUGCAAAGGCUAGUGGGAAAAAAAGACUCUGAGAGGCCUUUUAUCCCGGUUUGAAACACCAACCGGGAUAAAAGGUGGUCUUUUAUCCCGGUUGGUGUUUCCAACCGGGAUAAAAGGGUCCCCACGAGUUAAUACAAAAGGAUAGUAUCCCCUAUAUAGUCAGAUGUGGUGUGUAGGUGGGAUGGCAAGGAAUCUCCGCCCUCUCCACCUUCGGUACUCCAUGGGAAACCAUUCCUUUGGAACCAAGGAAGCUUGAACAGUAUAACGAAUAAAGUUUCAUAUAUCCAUUUGAUUUCACAUGAAAUAAAAUAUCCUGUCAGAACCAAUGGUUUCACUGAAGCUCCAGGCAGCGAGCGAAGGGGUGAGAGAGGAUAACGCUUACUGUGUGUUACCAUCACGUGCACCAUGGAUGACCAACGCGCAGCCGAGAUGAAACGGCGGACCUAAACAGGUCCUCGCUAUUUUUGCAGGUUCUCGACCAGGCCAGUUCUUUGGGCCAACCUAUAAUUCACGAGUUAAACAUACGGUGGCUGUAGAAAUGUUCUAUUCUUUUCAACAAUACCAGCUGGUUCCUCCGUUUUUAUUCCACCAAUACAAGCACCACCUUGUAACAUUUCCUAUGUUUUUUUUCCUUUCGUCUGUUUUCUCACUACAUGCGUUGCUCUUUCAUGCAUUUUUUUCCAUUCCUGUAUUCCAAAUAGGUCUACAUGAACACAAAAUGAACUAGGGGACAGAAAAAGCCAGUGAAGUUAGUUUUGAGCUUCACCAGCUACUUGCUACAUAAAGUGUGCUAUAGUCGCAGAAAAGCUAAGCUGGAUCAGACGUGGCCGAAACCAUGCCAAAGAGCUAGGUCCCUAGCUGAUGGCAACACAUCAGAUGACUAGCCUGCUUUUUUGUAAUAAUGAUAUUGAGCAAUACACUGCAUGGCUAACCUGCUUUACAAUAAUUGUCAUUUUAUAAUAUUGGUCAUCACGAGAGAUGCACAUUGCAUACACCGGUCCAUCCCUAUAAAUAGCCAAGCCUUUCAGCCAUCUUGGGCACCUCCUCUCAGGGCCUCGUCUCACCAUUAGACAUCUCGUUCCCAGUUAUAAUUUGCGAGGUUAGAUCAGGCUGCGCCAUGGCGUCCGCAGCUGCUGUCAAGAUCGCCGCCAUCUUCAUGCUGGUGCUGACCAUGGGCCACCUGAUGGCCGAAGCAUCACCGCAGCCUCGGCGUCUGCUUGCAGAAACGGAGCAUGCUGCGGUGUCCGGGAAUCCUGGCCUCCCAGGUGAUGCUAGCGUCAUGCAGGUCCUCGAACCCGCCCUAGUUUCUCCUCUUGCCUGCAAGCCAGAGUGCACAGUCCCUUGGCCUCCUUUUGUAUGUAUCUGCUAGAUCCUCUUCCUGGAUCAACGGAACUUCAGGGAAAUGGCUGUGACGUCGGCCAAAGAAUAAAUUGGCUGAACAUAAUAUACCCCGGGUAGUGUAGCUUGGGCUUUUGUUGAGCGUCUGGUACUAGUUGUAUUUUGUUUGCUCAUGUGGCUUUGUUUCUGGUUGCAUAUUGUCUUUCCUAUCGCUCUCUGUUGCAGCUAUGGUUUCUGCCAGGUGUGUGUCAAUGCGGUUUGUAAGCGGUGCUUGUUCCUACCUUCUGUUUUCAAUAAAAGAAGUCGGAGUCUCCCUCCGACUCUUGUUAUCAGUCAAGAAAAAUGAGUUGUAUCAUAUAUAUCUGCGUCUUUUUUCUAUGUAUCUCUGGGCUGCUUCAGCUGGAAGUUUAUCGUAAGUACGUGUAUCAGGAUGAUCGUUUGAAUUAAAACGAAAUGAUAAUGUGUGGCUGCUAGAAAUGGAAUGAGCAUCUUACUAUAUUACUAAUUGGAAGCCUCCACGUGAAGCCACCUAGAAAUUCUAGGUGGAUGUUUUAAAAAAAAGAAAACCAAUAGAAGCCUCCACCACCUAGGAAUCCUAGAUGGACGCUCUAAAAAGAGAGAAAUCCUAGAAAUUCUAAAAAAAGAAAAAAAAUAAUAACAAUAAGAUUUUUUUUGCAGUCAGUUACAUAUAUUUUUUUGAGACACCGUGCUGCUAGCUCUUGCCAUUGCGACCAAUAAAGCAAGCAGAUAGUAAGAUGACAUGCGUGUGGAUUGAUUAAAACAGAUUCUGUUAGUUGAUUCUAAAUCAUAUGUAUCCUAAAAGGAACUAGAUAUGUGCGUGCAUGGUCCCUAGCGAUGACAUGUAGACAUGUAUUGCAAUUUCUUUUUUAAAAAAUAUGUCUAUCUCUAAACCAACAAACAGAAAAAAUAUCAAUCUAAAUCUAAAUCUCUUCCGUUCUCACACGCCUAUUAAAGAGAACACAACCAAUCCCAUCCAUGUUCCAUAGAAUCCAUCUAAAAGCUUGCUCACUGCGGACGGCAAAUCAACGAAAGAUCAUCCUCUCCAAAUAGCUAGACGGCAUCACCAUCUUUAUCUCACCAACCUACAGAGCUACAACGAUGUUGUAGAGAUCAACUAGGUAACCUACCAAUCACCCUCCCCUUUUCUAUAUGCUCUAAAGAACACGUGGAGUAAUUAUAGGCCUAUAGGAGCCGACUAACCUAGAUUAAUAUGAAAAAUAUUCCAAUAUUAAAAGCAAGCAGAUAGUAAUACUUGCCUUUGAGCAUUUUUCAAGAACUGUUAUUCCUAUUGAAUGUUCAAGUGCUACGGCCAGGCAUCGAAUGUCUGCACGGAACCUUCCUAUUGAAUGGUUACUCUAGAGAUCAACGCACCGCGAGACAUUGUUUUUGGAAUUUGUUUGAUUCCCCUUCUACAAUUAGAUUAAUUUUUCAUGGUAUAUAUUACUACUAUUAAAUUAUUUGUUUAUUAUCUGGCCUGCUGCAUGUGUGGUAUAGAUGACUUGCUUCUCACCAUUGUUCUCAAACUGUUAUUCCUAUCCAAUCUUUCUAUCGAAAUAUAUUUUAAUUACUUGAUUGUUGUUUGUGUACCAUAACUUCUGUAUAGAAAAAUUCCAUGUUUGUAGAUAAUGUCUUUUGUAUAGAAAAAUAGCCCAAUUAGGUCCAUCACCAUCUUUUGCUUAUGUAGUUGAACAAGUUGCAAUGCUGAACAAAACUUUAAGUGAAAUUAGACUAGGAAAAGGAAUUGUGGAACAUUAAGGCAAGGGUAACCAGAUUGUGGAAUGCAACCUUACUCAGUAGUGGCGAACAAUUAAGUCUUGACAUGAUCCUUAUUGAUCAAGAGGUAUGAUAGAUGUUCACUUUGAUUGCAUUUUUGGUAUAAUUUUUGGCUUACAAAUUAUUAAUGAUGAUGCAAAAUUAGGGAACCAUGAUCCACGGUGUUAUCAAUAAGCCCUAUAUGGAAAAGUUCAAACCAUUGAUUGAAGAAGGCAAUGUGUACAUAAUUGCAAAUGUCAGAAUCACACCAGAACCACAGAAGUAUCGGCCAGUGGGAAAUGACAGGAUAGUCAACUUCUUACCCACAACUGCACUAAAAAAGGUCAAAGAUACUGAAGACAUUCCAAAGUAUAGUUUUAACUUCAUGAGCACGGAUAUGCUUUCAGCAAGAAUAAAUGUGGACAUGUACCUAUCAGGUAAAACAUUACUGGUUUUUCAAUUUUUACACUUCCACUCAUUCAAUGACCAUCUAAUAAUAAUUCAGAUUUAUGUUUCAUAGAUGUUAUAGGUAUCUCAGCUCACAUUGGACCGAUAGAAGAAACAAGGACAAACUUCGGAUUUACCAAAAUCCGUGAUAUUGUGCUCCUGAUCGAGUAAUUCUCAUUUCUUUUGUAGAGAACAACUAUGAAACUUUCAACAUUUACAUGUAUGGUAUAGAACUUCUGUUGAACUAAAAGAUAUCUUCUACAGUGCCCCUACAAAUAAUUAAUUUCGCAGUUAGGUAUUUAAAAUAUUAAUUAUUCACUUUUAAUUUUGUGGCCAUGAAGUUAAAGUUAGAUUUUGGGGAGACAAAGUUGAGGAAGUUGAUGAUAAGACAAAAUCCCAUGUCAUUGCAAUAACAUCUACAACUGUGAGGAAAUUUGGCAGUAAGUCUUCAUUCAAUAUGAGUUAUUCAAUAUUAGUCAUUCAACAAACUAACCUCCUAGGAAAAAUAAAUAAUUGAUAUUUUAUCAGGGUAUUCUCUAUCGUCAACCAAUGCAACAAAAGUUUAUGUAGAUCUACCUAUUCCUGAAACUAAGGAUGCGCAUGAUAGGUGAGAAAAAUUAGAUAUUGUUUUUCUAUUUUAAUCUAUGUAGCAUGCACUCUAACAUGAUACAUUCUUUCGUAUGAUGAAAAAAUGUUAGUUCAAUUGAUAAUAUUGUCAAAGAGAUUCAUUAUUGAGGACCAUCUAAAAGGGAUAUUGGAAGACCAAAUGCAGUACAAUAGAAGAACUUUAGAAGAAUUAAAUUUGAUAUUAUUUGAAACAUCAAAUCAGGUAUGGAUUAGUAUGUUCAUUGUACACUAUACUAUUUAGAGACAUACAUACAUAAUGAUGGUAUUGUUCCUACUUUCAGGAUGAGGUAUUUACGAUGAGGUAUUUACUAUUGAAGCAACAAUAAAUGAAAUUAAUGCAACAUAUGGUUGGUACUACAUCUCAUGUAGUAGAGGCGAUUGUAAGAAGCAACUUGAAAAGAAGUUUCAUCACUACUAUUGCAAUAAAUGUGACAAGAGAGCCGAACCUAAAGCAUGGUAAAUUAUUUAGUAGUUUACAAUCUUAUUAUAAUACUUCUAUUUCUAAUUGGAGAAUAAUAUUUGCAAAUUCAAAAUUAAGCUUCAAAUAAGUGAUCCAACAACAAGUGCAACUUCUGUACUUUUGACAAGGAAGCAGAAAUGAUAAUUAAUGAAUGAGCAGAUUCGAUGAUCACCUCCGUUGAUCAUGAUAAUAAGUAGCUACCAAAAUCAACUAUGCAAAAAGUAGGAACAGAUCUUAAUCGGCUAUGCAAAAAGUAGUAAAUUGAGCAAUAAGAUAUAAAAAAGCUGACAGUCCUAAUUCCAAGCUGUAUAACUGGUGAUAAAACUAGAACAACAUGCAAAACCUAGAAUUCUAGUGAUUAUCGAUAACUGGUGAAUAAAUCUAAACAAAACGACAGCAAUGCGCCCGAAGUUAAAGCUUAGAUAUUACUUGAUAAGCGGAACUUAUAGAAUCGGCCGGAGAUCAAGUUGAUGCAGCCCCGCCAACCCGUACGAACUCGUGAAAAGAAGAAAAGUAUUGGCGAAGUCGCCUGCUCGAAAGUAAAGUGCGAGGAAAUAGUAGUUUGUUGUAUUGAUUUGAUGAUGAUUACAGAUCUAUGAAAGCGGCUAUUUAUAGCCAGUUACAACCAAUCUCUUAACUGACUAGGACUCUAUCUCUAAUUUUAAACGAAAACGAAUAUUUACAAGCAUAAUUCGUAUCGGAGUUGGUCAUCGUGUUCCCAUGGGCCGAUCUCCUUUUUAUCUUCAUAGCUCACUUUAGGCCCAUAUUGGCCCAACUGCUCCAACCUCCCAAUCGGCCGAUUUCCACCAACUCCAUCCGCCGAAAUACUACAGCACCAAUCGGCCGAUCCUCAACUGUAGCACCAAUCGGCCGAUUCCCAAUCGUGACCUCCGUGUUUCGCCGCAUCAGCUGAUUCCUUCCCUUCUUGACGCCGAUUUCAUACGCGUCAAAAUCUGGCAUCAACACAUGCCCCAAGUUUCGGAGUAAAACAUAAUCUUUACUUCAAAAUUCCUUUCAACUUCCCUUCCGAAACAAACGCAUUGAAAAUACCCUUCCGUUUCGCGGUCUUCUGCCUGAUGAUUGCAAUCUUUUCGAAACGGGCGCCCACGACAACCACUCCUCCUGAAAAAAUCGAACCGCCGGCGUGGUAAAAAUUCCGCUUUUACCCUUUCUCAGACCGCCCUUAGAUAUCAGUACGUCCCGUACUUCUUCUUCACGAGCCCACGUCUUCCUUCUUUGGCGCACUGACCUCCUUCUUCUUCCGGCGUCUCUUUAGCCUCUAACCUCUCACUCCGGCGAGUUCUUCCAUCUACAUUCCACCCCACCUUCCCGAUGGCAACACCUUCAGGCACUCCACCAACAUCCGAGGUCCCGGAGACGGCUCCAUCAGCAGCGGCUCCAACAGCAAUGGUGGCAGCUCCAUUGGCAGGAGCAGGAGCUCCAUCGGGCGGGAGCGGGAGCUUCAUCAACGACCACAAUGAGCUUCAUACCAGAGGUUUCUACCAAAACUUUCCUUUCCGCUCCUCUAUGUCGAUGCAUUUACCUUAGAUCAUUUCUUACUGCCCCUUCCAUUCUUUACCUGUUUAGGCAGUUAGGCACCACAUUACUAUUCGCCUCACCGAAACUCCCGGCCUUAUCUAUUUUGGUCCCAUGGGAAACCCAGAUCCAACCGACCUAAUCAAUUUGGAAACCCAUAGGAUCCCUUUCAAGCAAUCAACCAUGGACCUAGAUCACUGGUCAGGUACCUUCAGAUCAUGGCCGAAUGAAACCCCCGGCUGGAGGGAAUGGUACAAAUGGAUAGCCGCCUCAAAAAGAGUUCAAUGGGACGAGCACAAAAUCGGCCAGUGCAUCGACUUAUCUUUGUCCCAAAUGGAAAGGAAUGAGCCUUUAGUAAUAGCAGCCUCCUACUUUUGGUCCGAUGCCCUAAACGCAUUCCCCUUAGGACACGGAGCUAUGACCGCUACCCUAGCCGAUGUGGUCAUGUUGACCGGCCUUGAUAUCUCCUCUCCCGAUACUCCUUUCCGUUACUUGGCCAAAACAUCCCAUCGGCUAGAGACGAAAGGAAUCGGCGGGUGGAAAGGAUUCAUCAAGUGCAACAGAAGGGCCGGGACAGCCCAGGAAAGAGAGCAUGCGGCCUUCUUGAUGAUGUGGCUAGAAAAACACCUUUUUUGCGGGAGGGCAGCCGGUCCAUCCACUAACACACAGGCUUUGGCCGAGGCACUAUCGAUAGGUGCCUCUGUUCCUCUUGGAAAGCACCUAUUGGGAUCGGUUUACCAUAUGCUGCAUCAGAUCGGCGUCAAGCUAUCCAAAGGAGAGCCGAUUGGAAACCCAGGUGGACCCUGGUGGUUCAUCAACUUGUGGCUUAAUCUAUAUAUGAGCAAGAUCUCCCAGCAGCGAGUGGAGUACAUGAUGUUCCCCAACAUCGAAUCGGCAGAGAAUCCCACUGUACGGUGCCGGUGUACUUCCUUCGGUGAAGCGGCAUCGGCCUUCUCCGGUUGCUCAUAUUCUGCUGCCAAGGUGGCCGAAUACUUCAGAUGCUUCUACAAUGGCUUCAGCAAAGACGCAACCAGCUUGUUCCCUUAUCAAAGGGAGGAACCACUCUUCGAGCUCCCCUCCUGUUUUGACUCGGCCACCAGCAAAUUUGAUGAGGACCUCACAGAUGAAUUGAUCAAGCCUCUCGGGGAAGGAUGCCCCCACUUAUGAGUUUUACCAUCCUUCCGUCACAGCACGGCAAUUCGGCUUGGGUCAACUGCCGAUUUAUGCAUACUUCACCGGCCGAGCAAAAUUUCGAGACGAGCUCACCAAAGGUCUCCACUACUACGAUCGGAUUCCAGACUCCAGCACCAUAGACUUGGCCAGUUGGAUAGUAGCCCCUUUCGCUGUUCAGCAGUUCAAGCUAUGGUGGGUGGAAUGGAAGCAACAUCUAUUCUGCGCCUCUACGGCGAUAUAUUGUAAUCUCCUGAAUCCCGACAACAUCGAUCCGAAUGCUGAGGUAUCGCUCUCUUUCUAGCUGAUUUUCAACUCCUUUUUUUUUAUACUGACUCUUAUUAUUAUUUCAGUCUGAGAGCCAUGCUCCCCCAAAAUGCAGUCGGAGUGGUCGGUCGAUAGAGGACCGUUAUCCAUACACAACAUUCCCCCUCAUCGGCUAUCACGCCCCCUCCGUUGAUGACAUAGCCGGCCGAGCGAAGCAAGCGCAGAAAAAGAUUAUCAAGAAGACAAGUCGCCGAGUACGCGCCCGCACAGAAUCGGCCGAUCCACCCGUGGUUGCAUCGGCAGAAAUUUCGGCUACGCCGACCCUUCCGGUCGCUGAAGAAGUUGACCUCCAAGCCGCUAAAGAGGCCGGAGCGGCUGCCGCGUCAUUGUUGGUGGAAGCUAUUCAGGUAAACUCACCAUCCGAUUUUCCUGACAGUCAUUUCAAUACUGACCUUUCCUUUAUUAGGCCGUGCAGAUUGCCUCAGCAGAUCCACAGCAAUCUGCAAUGCCCCAAGCAGAAGUUGAAAUACCAGUGCCCCUUCCCGUUGAGGUACAUGAUCUCUCAACUCACUUCUUUAAUAUUUGAAUGAUGAUCCUACCAACCUUGACGCAGGUCAUCGGCACGUUAACUAUGCUAUCCGACUAGCCAUCUGCCAAAGAAGUCCUUCAAGAGGCCGGCCCGAGCAGAACGCCGAUCGUUGUCGAAUCCUCUUCUUCCGAUGAGCCAAUGGCACCAGUCCCCGAGUCGAUAGUGGUUGUUCCACAAACGCAGAUGGAGGAGAUCCAUUUCAAAGAGGUGAGAAGUCAUUUGACUCGCAUUUACCGAUUCGUCACCACCAUCGGCUGACUCAUUUUCCUUUUAUUUAUCAUUCACAGGAAUAGGACACUCCCAAUAAUAGCCUCUUCUCAUUUGCGGUCGCGCUCUCUGAUGACGAGGAAGUUGCUUCUCGUCAAGUUACUUUGAGCUCCAUCCCCGAUGACGUCCGCGCUAAGCUUGAAAGUAUACGGUCCCUUCUUUAAGAGGACAUCAGCCGAUUGGUGGAGGACGCCUCGCCGAUUCGGCAGCUCUUUGGUGACGUCAACGGGCGAGUCCCAGAGGAAGCAGAAGAAGCCUUGGCACCGGCCGCUUAUAUCGAGUCGAUGCGGAUCCCGGUCUUCAGGGCUCUGCGUCACAUGGCCGAUCGCGCCAAGCUGGCCAAGACUCGUGAGGAAGAGGACUCGUACAAGCAACGGGCCCAGGAGGUACACCAUCGGAUUCACUUCCUCGAGAAUUCCCGACCUGGACUCGUCGGCACGAUAGAUCGCCUCAAGCACCGAAGGGCGGAACUUGCCAAGGAGAUGGAGUAGGUAACCAAAGAAAUAGCUAUUGAAGAGAAGAAGCUUCAGGAACUCCCUUCCGUUAUCGCCGAUUUAAAGCAGGAGAGGCAGCAUUUGGCCCAUGAGGCCCUUAGACUCCAUCGCCAUAUGUCAGAAGUUCCAGGGUCGGCAGAUGAUGACCAACGAGUCUUGGACUCGGCCGAUCAGAUCAGGCAUCGAGCGAUUGCGGCCAUUAACGCCCUUCUGGGUGACUUGUAAAAGUACUAGCCGUUUUGUACGAACAUUAAUGCCUUUUGACCGUCCUUCGCGGCGCUCUCCUAUUUAUUACCCUUUUUACUCUGACAGGACGCGUCUUACCAAACCUCCGCUCUUCCUCUUAUUAUAAAUACCGGCCCUGGUUUCGCUCUUGAGAAUACCUGCUCCACUCGAUUCCUUUUUCCCCCAUUACGUUUCCAUCGGAACGUUCGUAGUCAUGUCUUCUUCAUCUUCUUCUUUCUCCUCUCCUUGUAUCAAUCAGGUACGAGGUCCGUCUUCGCCCUUUUUUCAGUUUGAUCCCUUUAAAUCGUUCCAACUUUUAGGCGGCUAUGUGCUAACUUCUUCAGCCAAGGCACCUUAUCCCUGAACUCGAAUGAGCAAUCGAACUCGUGCACUCUAAUGAGUCGUUGUCGCAAGAGGACAAGGACUUGAUCAAGGAACACCGUGAAGAACUCAGAGAUCACGUUCCUGCCGACGUCUAACGGAUCUGGGACUUCAUCGACGGCAAUGAUUACGGGCGACCGCAAGUUGACAGGAGCCACCCACUUCCUCUUCCGGUUGUUCUUGAAAACGCCGCGGUAGGGACAUCGCGCCCGGUGAUGGAUCGGAGCCAUCCUCUUCCUUGCCAAGUUGAGGCGGAGGCCGCGAUGAGAGAUGUGGCAGAACGAAGCAUUCGCCUUCUAAUGGAAUUAGGUAGGAUUGAGAGGGAACUCAAGAAGAAGCGUAGUUGAGUAUUUUUUGUUCUAAGGGCGAAGUGUACUGUGUCGGUCGUGUAAUUCAUCGUUCGUACUGAAUCACAAAUCGGCCGAUUUGAACGAUUAUUUUUCUCCUUUAGGCGAUUUCUUCUCCCGUAUCGGCUGUGUGAUCGUUCAGGGAGCGAUCUUUCUGUCUUGUCAAUGCCUUGCGAUCGAUUCUUAUGUUCCGACCCAUAUACUGGGGUAAUACCUUUUCAAGUACCUCCCGUUUAAGGCCCUAGUAAAUUCUUCUCCUUCGAUCAUUUCCAGAAUGUAAGCGUUUCCCAGGGCACAUCGGCCGAUUCUAUACAGCCCUUCCCAAGUGGGAGACCAUUUACCGAAUUUAGGAUCUUUUGAUCCAAUCGGCAACACUAACUUCCAUACCAGAUCCCCUUGGGAGAACUGCUUGACUUUGACCUUCUUGUCAUACCAUCUGGCCACUUUCUUUUUGUUUUCCUUGAUACUGAUCAAGGCUCUCAAACGUUGGCCCGCCAAAUCGUCGAGUUCCCUAUUCAUGAGCGAGGAGUAAUCAUCGGCCGUCAGCUGAUCUUGAAGCGACGUGCGUCUCGACCCUGUUCUCAACUCCCAUGGCAAUACUGCCUCAUGACUGUACACCAAUUGAUAAGGAGACACCUUGGUAGCCCCAUGGCAGGCCAUCCUGUAUGCCCAUAGAGCUUCGGUUAGACAUAAGUGCCAUUUUUUGGGUUGUUCUUCGAUCUUCCUCUUGAUCAACUUGAUUAUCCCUUUAUUGGAAGAUUUGGCCUGGCCGUUAGCCUGAGGAUAGUACGGGGAGGAAUUUAGCAACUUGAUUCCCAUAUCGGCCGUGAACUCCUCGAACUCUCCCGACGUGAACAUCAUCCCUUGAUCAGUUGUGAUAGUCUGAGGGAUGCCGAAACGAUAGACAAUAUGAUCCCUCACGAAAUCGACCAUAGCGGCCGAUGUUACGGCCUUUAAUGGAACCGCCUCCACCCAUUUGGUGAAAUAAUCUGUGGCUACCAGAAUGAAUUUAUGUCCUUUACUUGACGGAGGAUAAAUUUGUCCAAUGAGGUCUAUUCCCCAACCUCUGAACGGCCACGGCUUGAUAAUUGGAUUCAUAGCCGACGCGGGCGCGCGUUGCACAUUCCCAUAUUUCUGACAAUCUUGGCAUCCUUUAUAAUACUUGAAACAGUCCUCAAGGAUUGUCGGCCAGUAAUAUCCAUUAUUCCUAAUCAUCCACUUCAUCUUAUGCGCCGAUUGGUGGGCUCCACACACCCCUUCGUGCAUUUCUCCCAUCAGGGUCUUUGCCUCCUCCGUCCCUAGGCAUUUGAGUAGAACACCAUCAAUCGUCCGGUAGAACAAAUCAUUUUCCAAUAACACAUAUUUUGUGGCCUGAAAUCGUAUUCGCCAAUCCACUUUCUUAGAUGGGUCUUUUAAAAAAUCGGCGAUCUCUUUUCGCCAGCCGUCGGCCGCGAGUUCCAGAAUCAUGGCGCCUUGAAUCGGCCGAUACCCGAACGCGUGCUGAGCCAGCCUGUUGGCUUCUUCAUUGUAAUCCCUGGGGAUAUGCUCAAUAACUGUGGAUUUGAAUUCUUUCAGAAGUUGGAGGCAAUCCUCAUAGUAAACCCUUAAUACAUCAUCUUUGCACUCGGAUCUUCCUGUCAAUUGGUCCACGAUGAGCAUGGAAUCUCCAAAAACCUCGACGGUGUCGGCCUUAAUUUCUCUUAACAAUUGUAACCCUUUCAGGACAGCCCGGUAUUCCGUCUGGUUAUUAGUGGCGGAUGCUUCUAUCGACAGAGAGAAAUCAUAGCAUGCCCCCUGAGGCGAUAUGAGAACGAUGCCGAUUCCCGAUCCGGCCCCACAUGACGAGCCAUCAAAAUAUAAGGUCCACGGUACUGGUUCCACGACAGCGAUUUUUGGUCCGCAGUGUUGGGCGACGAAAUCAGCCAUAACCUGACCUUUGAUGGCGUUUGCCGAUUCGUACCGUAGAUCAAACUCUGAUAAAGCCAAAAUCCACUUUCCGAUCCACCCUUUCAAAAUCGGCAAUGACAGCAUAUACUUUACUACGUCAUUCGUGCAUACAACCACGCAUUCUGCCGAUAACAAGUAGUGCCUGAGCUUGGUGCAUGAGAAGUAAAGACAUAAGCACAGCCGCUCUACCGGGGGAUAUCUUGAUUCGGCGUCCAAAAGUCUUCUACUAAUAUAAUAUAUUACCCGUUCCUUUCCUUCGAACUCCUAGACCAGUGCCGAUCCGAUAGCUCGCUCAUCGGCUGAUAAAUACAGCUUGAAUGGCUUACCAGUUUCUGGUGGGACCAAGUACUGCUUGAUGUCUUCUAGUGCCUUGCGUUGCUCUUCUCCCCAUACGAACUCUUGGUUGGGUUUCAAUUUCAACAACGGUGUGAAGGCCUGGAUACGUCCAGAUAGGUUGGAUAUGAACCAGGCAACGUUGGUAAAGAAAACUGCUAAGAGUAAACUAAACAACGCUACAGUAGCAACACUAGGAACGGAUCUUAAUCGGCUAUGCAAAAAGUAGUAAAUUGAGCAAUAAGAUAUAAAAAAGCCGACAGUCCUAAUUCCAAGCUGGAUAACUGGUGAUAAAACUAGAACAAUAGGCAAAACCUAGAAUUCAAGUGAUUAUCGAUAACUGGUGAAUAAAUCUAAACGAAACGACAGCAAUGCGCCCGAAGUUAAAGCUUAGAUAUUACUCGAUAUGCGGAACUUACAGAAUCAGCCGGAGAUCAAGUUGAUGCAGCCCCGCCAACCCGUACAAACUCGUGAAAAGAAGAAAAGUAUUGGCGAAGUCGCCUGCUCGAAAGUAAAGUGCGAGAAAAUAGUAGUUUGUUGUAUUGAUUUGAUGAUGAUUACAGAUCUAUGAAAGCGGCUAUUUAUAGCCUGUUACAACCAAUCUCUUAACCAACUAGGACUCUAUCUCUAAUUUUAAACAAAAAUGAAUAUUUACAAGCAUAAUUCCUAUCGGAGUUGGUCAUCGUGUUCCCAUGGGCCGAUCUCCUUUUUAUCUUCAUAGCUCACUUUAGGCCCAUAUUGGCCCAACUGCUCCAGCCUCCCAAUCGGCCGAUUUCCACCAACUCCAUCCGCCGAAAUACUGCAGCACCAAUCGGCCGAUUCCCAAUCGUGACCUCCGUGUUUCGCCGCAUCAGCUGAUUCCUUCCCUUCUUGACGCCGAUUUCAUAUGUGUCAAAAUCUGGCGUCAACACAUACAUAAUGAUGGUAUUGUUCCUACUUUCAGGAUGAGGUAUUUACUAUUGAAGCAACAAUAAAUGAAAUUAAUGCAACAUAUGGUUGGUACUACAUCUCAUGUAGUAGAGGCGAUUGUAAGAAGUAACUUGAAAAGAUGUUUGAUCACUACUAGUGCAAUAAAUGUGACAAGAGAGCCUAACCUAAAGCACGGUAAAUUAGUUAGUAGUUUACAAUCUUAUUAUAGUACUUCUAUUUCUAAUAGAGAAUAAUAUUUGCAGAUUCAAAAUUAAGCUUCAAAUAAGUGAUCCAACAACAGUGCACUUGUGUACUUUUGACAAGGAAGCAGAAAUUAUAAUUAAUGAAUGAGCAGAUUCGAUGAUCACCUCAGUUGAUGAUGAUAAUAAGUAGCUACCAAAAUCAAUUCAGAAAAUAUGUGAAGAAACAUUGAUUUUUCAAUUCAAAUUGACCGAGUACAACUUGACAAGUUUUAGACCUGAUUAUACUGUUUCAAAGAUAUUUUUUCCAAAAGAAAAGAGCAGUUCUAGAAUUGGUAUGGAAAGUGUAAAAAAGGUAACACUUUAUUCUUAAGUUUUUAUUGCACUUUUUUCUUUUGAAUCCUUAAUAUUUAAUAAUUUUACUAUAUCAAUGAAACAAAUUCUAACCUAAAUUUACAACUCAGACAAAUGCUACAUGAUAACUACCGAGAAUGAAGAGGUAGACACUGAUGACUCUUUUACCGAGAAAGUAACAUUCGUAGAAGAAGCCAUAAGGACUGGGGAAAGAUUGGCUAGAAAAGUAUACUCACUUCCAUCUAAGUAUUCAUUCUAUUUACAAUACAUGCAAAAAAAUAUUAUUCAUGCAAAAUUGCAGGUCUACUAAGCAUUAAAGGAAUAGCGGAUAGUGCAAUAUCUAAUUUGAGCAGCAUGCAUUACAAAGUGCUCUACUGCAAUUAAAUUAAAAAACAUGAUAUAUGUUGAAUUCUUAGACUUUAUUAUUAUACUUUUCUAUGUGACAAUUCACAAUUUUUUAGAAAAAAGAAGAUCCCAGAAGAAGUGACCAUGAAAAAAGGUCUAUGCCCAGCAAUAAGAAAAAAUGCAAGCAUAGAAACAAAUCCGUAGAAAACAUAGAAAAUAAGGUACUCCAUAAACAAAAGUAUUCUCUUAUAUUUUUAUUAAAUAUUUCUUUAACACUUGACAAGUUCUUUUUUAGGAUCAAUAUAUCAGCAAUUCAGAUGUCAUUGGAGAUGAAAACCUUAGUUCGUCCAAAAGGUCAAAAAAAACAUCUGAAGAAAGGUGUUUGGCUGAAAAGGAAAAGCAAGAAAGUUGUAAUGCAGACAAACACAUGCAGAAAAAUAUAAAAACAUGUAAUAGGGAGGCAGACCAAUCUUGCAAGGAGGUAUAGACGAAACGUGAUACACGACCUGCCUACCUUGUCGUGGAUACCCCAAGAAGAUGUCAUAGAGGUGCAGACCAAGCUAGCAAGGAGGUCGAAACGUGAUACACGGCCUGCCUACCUUGCCGUGGAUAUUAGCCCUAAGAUCAUUCUACUGUUCAAGGAAUAACACUCAAUGCUGCUGCUGCUGCUGACCUGGCUCCAUAAAGUUAUACUCCUCUAGGUGCUUGCACUAACUUUAUCUGAAGUAUUAUUCUCUCUGCACUGUAUAUAUGGUUAUGGAGUUUGCUGGAGUAUCCUGGGGGAAGAACCUACAUAAUACGUCUUGGAACUAACUGACAUUGAUUCACAGACAAACUCUACAAGGUGCUGUUGUUGCCAUUUUAGAGCAUCCAAAGGACUAUAAAUAACAUAGUUUACCAUAUACCAUAUACCAUAAUAUGUUAGCUAAAAUAAGAGCAUACACAUGUUGCAGGAGUCCAAAAGCACCGGUUGAGGACCAGGUACAUUGAAUUACUAGAAAAAGACAGGGGACAAGGUUUAGGUAACCACAUGAAACAUUUGAAUUUACUGUACCAUGAACACUUAGUUACCAUGCCGGGAGCACAUAGUUAACACUAACAUUUAGCCACUUUAGAUCACCCCGAAUCACCAAUGACCCUCAAUAGUGACAAAUUUUGGUUUAAAUGCCGUCACCAAUGAUCCUCAAUAGUGACGUAUUUAGGUUUAAAUCCCAUCACUAAUAACCCUCAAUAGUGACCUGUUUUGGUUUAAAUCUCAUUACCACUUAUCCUCAAUAGUGACGUGUUAAAACGCGUUAUCUCAAUGGCAAAUCAUUGGUGACGUGUUUUAAAAAAACAUGUCACUGUGAGAGUCAUUGGUGAAGGGUAAUUAAAAUGCGUCACUAAUGUUGUAGCAUUAGUUAUGAUAAUUUAGUAAUGCAAAAAUCUACCAUCAGUAAUGAGCUUUAGAGCCAUCGCUAAUGUGGGUUUCUUACAUAGUGAUGCAAGCUCUACAAGGUGCUGUUGCUGCCAUUUUAAAGCAUCCCAUGACUACAUGUUAAUAACAUACUUUACCAUAUACCAUAAAAAUAUUAGUUACAAUAAGCACAUACGCAUGUGGAAGAGUCCGAAUGCACCGGUUGAGGACUAAACACAUUUAAUUACUAGAACCAAAUGUAUGUCCAGAACAAAGACAGGGGUCAAGGUUUGGGUAACCGCAUUAAAAACAUUGGAUUUUACUGUAGAUGAACACUUAGUUACCAUUACCAUGCCUUGAGCACCUAGUUACAACAAACAUUAAUUUAGCCACUUUAGAGCUUCCAGAAUCGCUAUAAAUAAUAUACCUACGCCGUACCAUGAAAACAUCAAGAAGAGAGACGGAUACAUGGACCACCAUCAAGCGAGUACUGACAGCACGCACAAGAAUACCCAGAACCUGUUAGCUUGUCUGUAGUGAUCUGUUUUCUUCCCCAUAAAAUCCAUGAGUAUUGCCACAAAUAAUGAAAGAGGCUGACCAAGCUAGCAAGGAGGUAGAGCAAACGUGAUACACGGCCUGCCAAGAUUGCCCUGGAUACGCCAAUAAGAGCGACAGAUACAUGGAUCACACCAAUAUGGUGAAACGUAUAUUCAUCACACAAGCAAAGCUGGUCAGUUUAUCCAUGGUCAAAUUGUGGUCUUUGUUUUCACUUGAGAGCUAAUUGAGGCACUAUAAUAUGGGCAGGCCUAUCUUCAACAGACAUGACAGCUACAGGGAACUUGACAUAAUUUGCUGGACCGCCUGUGCACAAUUAUUUGUUUUAUUGUCCUUGCAUAGAAUGCUAAAAUACUCUUUACAAAAUGUUGGAUCUAAUAUUUGAAAUAUAGAGUAGUAAUCAUAUAUUGAUCAACAACUUGAAAUUAUCUGUACAUUCUCGGUGAAGCUGUUGAACUAAUUUUUGCAAAUUAUUAAUUAAUUCAUCUCAUUACGUAAAGAAAACAGUAAGUGGAUAAGAUAUUUCGUGGACCACAUCACUGCAAACAUGUCAUGGAGAGACAGACCAAGGAGGCAGGACGUGAUACACGACUUACCCUAGGUUGCCGUGGAACCGCCAAGAAGAGAUACGGAUACAUGGACCACACCAUCUUGGGAGUAGUGACAGCAUAUAUGCAGAAGAAUACCCCGUGCCUAUUUGCAUGCAUGUCUCAAGUGAUCUGUUUUCUUCAGAAAAUACAUGAGCAUUGCCAGAAAGAAUGGCAAGAGACAAACAUGUCAUAGAUACUUGCAUGUCUUGCCUUGGAUACGCCAAGAAGAGGGACACAUACAUGGAUAACACAAAUCUAGUGACACGUAUAUUCAUCACAAAGGCAAAUCUGAUAAUUUUAUCCAUGGAGCAGACCAAGCAGAAAUUGAUGACGGACAUGUGAUCUCUGUAUUCAGUUGAAAGCUAAUUGAGCUACACUAAUAUGAGCAGGACUAUAUUCAAGAGACUUGUUGAGAGCUACAGGGAACUUGUAAUAAUUUGCUGGGCGGCCUGCGCACAAUGAUUUGUUAUACAUAGUUGAAAUAUUUCAAGAAUUUAUCAACCUCGUACUCUGAAACCCUUGGUGCAAUGUACUCUGCUUUCCGAGGUAGACUGUUCACGUAAAAUGAGGUCAUGCGUAAGACGGAAUCGGAUUGGAUUCGCAGGGAAUCAGAUUUGGAUAGCACCUUUUAGCCGGUUUUUAGUCAAAUGCAAAUUCGGAUCCAGAUGUGGUUGAAUGCGAGUUCAAAAUUCUACUUGGAUAUCCAUUUAAUUUAGGUGAUAGCAAUUAGCACAAAAUGUUGGAAGAACAAAAUCAUAGUUAGACAUACAAUUACAUGUAUUGUUAAAGUAUAAUACAAUACACCAAGAUUAUUCCUUCAAAAUAUUUCUUAAAAAUAUUAUAAUAAAUGAAUAAAUAUAAUUGUGGCCACCAACAAAUAGUCGGUGGUCACUAAGUUGGAGCCAUUUCUGGUUACUAAUGCGGCCUGCUCCUCGACCAGCGACGACAGCUGAGCUUGUUCCUUCUGACACCAAAUCAUCAGAGUCUUCCCUCCACUACUAUAGAAUGCACCUUUAGCACCAAUUGGGAAAUCCCCUUCAGUAUCGGAUGCUGCAACCUGUGCUAUGAAAAUGGAGACUAAAAGCCUCGGUCUUGGGUACCGGUUGCAUGACGCAUUACUAAAGGAGGCAAAAGAGAAAUGUAACAAAAAAAUAUUUUGAAUUCCAAGAAUGUUUCACUAUUCAAGAUGACUAACUGAGAGUCAUCAGACAAGAUACUAGGAAUGUGGGUGCUUGAAUGCAUUUGUACAGAGGUCAUACUAUUUACAAACUCUUCUGUGUUUCCAUAUGACUACCUACUUCAAUGUCACGCGAGCCAUUCAGGACACAUGGCACACAAGCUUGCAUGUCGAAUCCAUGAUUAAUUAUUUCCACUUGUGAUCUCUUACCAGUAUUUGUCCAGACUAGAAACGUGCAACACAUUUUUUGGAUAUGGACACGCAUAUAUUUGGACUAGUAUACAGGUCACCUUUGGAUGAGUACAAGGAUGACCGGGAGGGACUAAUGGAUACAAGGAAGGGACCAUCAGGAUUAAUAGUGACAUAUGCCACAUGACAAUCUUCAUUGUCAUGCAAUCCCUAUCAACAAUCAUGGAAUCCCUAGUGUACUAAUCCCUGGAGGGUUGUGUGGAAAUUUAUUUUACCUUGCGGUGAAAAUCUCAUGAGCAGUCAUUAGUUAAGCUGACUAGCUGAGAUAUAAUAGACAAGCUAGUAAGAUUGGGAGCAUCAAUGCAUCCAUACAGGGUCACAAUAUCCUUUCCAUUCACUUUUAUAUAUAACCCUACGAAUACAAGUCCAACGAAACGCGGGCCUUUCGAUCAAGAUAAAUUAAAUGGCCCACUUGUAUUUCUAAUCCAGGAUUAAUUAUGCCCUCUGUUCAUCUCUUGCAAGCACGUGCAACACAUUUUCACGAUAUGGACAUGCAUGGAGGUUAUUAUACUGUUUGGACAAACUCUGAUGUGCCAUGACCUGGGCCUGUUUGGUUUGAGUUGCUUAUUAUAAGCAACUUAAAGUUGCUUAAAGUUGCUUAUUUGAAGUUGCUUAUUUUUAGUCUAAACUGUUUGGAUACCCUUGCUUAUGAGCAUUGAAUGAGAUGGACAUUGUCAUAUUUGCCCCUUGUGUAGCUACCCCUCCAAUUUGCCUCCCCACCCUUCUUCUUCCUGCACACGCCCGAUCCCGGGGGCCGACGGCGGGCAGGGAGCAGCAGCAGCUGGCUGGGGCGGCGGUGGGGCGGGAGCGGCGGCGCACACCAGCAUGCGCUCGCACGCCAGGUGCUGGAGCGCGGCGAGGCAGUCGUCGUAGACCGCCGGGAGCGGGUGCUCGGGCGUGAGGCGGUACUCGACGGAGACAUCGAGCGUUGGGCGCGUGGCGGCGAGCGCGUUGAGGAAGCGAUGGUAGUGCGGCGACGUCGCGGACUCCGCCACGAAGCCGCCGCCGUGGACGUACACCACCACGGGCAGCUUCGUCUUGCCGUCGGCGGCCACGGCCGCGGCCUAGGGUGGCAGGUAGAGGCGGAUGGAGCAGGAGCCGAGGUCGACGUCCCCGGAGUCGACGCCCGUGGCGGCGUCCAGGCCGGGCCCGACCGGCGGCGGCACGAGCGACGCAGCCGCUCUUGUAAAUCCAGCAGGUCUGCGCGGAGGCGGGCGGCGGGCGGGAGCGGCGGCGGGUGGUGCGGAGGCCGGCGGCGGCGGGUGGCGCGGAGGAAGGGGAGCUGGUGAGUGGUGACAGGGGAGGGGGGAGAGAGAGAGGGGGGUAGGGUGCAUUGAAUGAGGGCAGGAGGUGUAAAGUGCACCUUUUAGUCCCCAUAAGCAACCAUAAGCAGCCCAAGAGUUGCUUAUUUACUUAUAAUAAGCAACCCCAUAAGCAAGAGUGAUUGGUUUCAUAAGCAACUUAUUUGCUUAUUUUAAGUUGCUUAUGCGUAAGCAUGUGAAACCAAACAGGCCCUUAACCUAUGGUUGUGGCACACAACCAUACAGUAGAUAGUAUUUAAUAAUGCUAUUCGUUUGGUAUGUGCAGAAGGGCACGCAUGAAAUGUCUGGCCCACGGUAAACAAGUACGGACGCUGCAAAUAAUCUACUCUGCUCGUCCAGUCCCUAGCCUAUAAAUAGAUGCCAUGCUAGCUCUUGUUGUGCUCACAAUUAAUCCGAUUACACACGAGCUUCUCUCCCUGGCCAAGACACAAUCAUAGUAUGAUGAAGAACAUGGCACUAGCCGGCAAUGGUAUGAAGAAGUUAAUCCUCGCUGUUCUCUUACUGUGUCUAGUUAUAGGGCAGAUACAAGUGGAAGCUAAGAGCUGCUGCCCAUCCACCACUGCAAGAAAUAUCUACAAUACCUGCCGUAUCACGGGUACAUCCCGUCCAACGUGUGCAAAACUGUCAGGCUGCAAAAUUAUCAGCGGGGACAAAUGCAAGCCCCCUAACGACCACCUCACCCUUGACCCGGACACUGGUAAAUAAUAAAUUUAUCUCACUUGAUUUCUUUGUGUUUUGAGUCGUUAAUGUAUUUUCCAUCUGAUGAAACGUAUUGGUUUUGCAUUGAAGAGGAAGUUAAUGUGCUUAACUUCUGCAAGUUGGGGUGUGCGUCGUCUGUGUGCAACAACAUCAACGCUGGUAAGCACCUUUUGCUCAGACAGAGAAAACAAUAAUCAUUAAUUAGCGGCAGCUAGAAUCCUAUAAUCUAAUAUAUAUAUAUAUAAUUUUAUCAGCUCUGGGAAAUGAAGAGGCGAACGAUGCCGUUGAGAGUUGCGACCAAGCCUGCUCUAGCUUCUGCAACGUGCACGUUGGCGCUGCCACCGUGGUUGCUUAAGCAAAUGCAUCCAACUGGAUCGUCCUUGUGCUGAAUAAUUGGAUAUCGUAUCCACUUAAAGCUGCCUUGUGUAGUACGUCUUUGUUUGUGUCUCUCUUUAUAUUCCAAUAAGGUCGGUGAUCUUGAUGCCACACACUCAGACGUGUGUUCAUCUCCAGAUACUACUCCAUGCUACCUACCCUUUGUGUUUUGUUCAAUAACUGGGUAUCAUAUUCCGGCCAGUGUGCCAUCUGUUUUGUGUUUAUUUCCUUCUAGUUCCAAAGGGGUCAUCAUGAUGUUACCUUCUUUCGAUAUGGUGCUUUGCAUGACUACUGUUGUAUGGUACCAUCUUGUUGGCCAAUAAAUACAUCUUAUCCUAUGACCCUUUGCUAUGACCCUUUGCAAAUAAGUACAAGAUUGUUAAAUACUCGGUAUAAAUUGACUACUGUUGUGAGUUCCCUUUCAGCUUAUUGUAGGCAUACAUUAUUGCUAGCACGGUGAAGACAACCAACACGAAUGAUCAAGUAAACGUACCGGUACUUUUGUAUACCAACACCCUUGCUUAAAUGUACCGGUGUUACUCCCCAUUGGCACAUAUAUUCUUUUAUGCUAGCCGGCUUGAAAAUUAACCGAUUAAAAUAAUUAUUUCAAGAUAGAAAUAACUUAUCGGCUUCUCGAAGCAUGUGUAAUGUGAAUUCAAGGACUCGAUGGAAGUUGAAUCGCUUCAUCUAGAUUGCUUUCAGGAUUUUGGGUAACUAAAUUUAACAUUUGCACAUACAAAUGUUAAUGUACAAAUGUUAAAUCUAGUUACCCAAGCAGAAUAUGAAGAUACUCUAUAGUAUAUAUAUACUAUAUAAAUCUAGUUAACAUUUAGUCUAAAUGUUAAAUCUAGUUACCUAAAAUCCUGAAAGCAAAAUGUAUAAAUAUAUAUCUUUUAAGGAAUCCCAAAGCAAGAGUUCAGUGGCAUUCUAUAGUCCCAUGCUGCUAGUUUGAGUUGGUCGAAGCCAACUUAAAUAGGAGAGCUCUCUCACUUCUCUAAAUACGUAACUGAAGGAGAGAAGGGGGCUUGGGUUAUACAAUGCACGCACGCACGCAUAUUUGCGUUCUUUUCGCGUAACCAACCAUGUGACUUGAAACUUGCGACGUAGCGUGCUGCCAAGUCAAGUUGAUAUAACCUUUUUGCCGUUUGCGUGUAAUCUUUUGACAACGGUCAUUGGAGGUGAUAAGCACGCAGUCAAUACCUUAAUCCUGAGUUAAUAGGGUGGUUACUACUGCCAAUUAGUGGGGCAAUUUUGUAGGGGAAACGGUUAGCAGAGGGCUACCGUCUUCUCUAUAAGAAGUUCUGGAGACGUCCAGAAACACACAUGUACAUGUGAGAGACCCACGAAUUCCUUCCCUUCUCCCUUUUCCAUCUGAUGAAGAGUGCUGUGGUACUGAGCUGCUGGAUCUCACCGGCUCUUCUCCUUGGCGUGCACUGAGGAGGGUGAGCGGUAUCUCCGAGCUAUUGCCGUCAGGAAGCCUGCACGACGGACAACAAUAAAGUUUUUGGGUAGCGCAACUGUGCAACCGCUCGAUUCGAUCGACUAUGUUAUGCGCUGCCUCAUCUUCGAUCUACACUGCAACGCGUAACCCUGCAGCAAGUCUACACGAGGACGGAGCACUAAUCUGUAAGUCCUAGAUUGGUUUCUUACAAAGUUGUAGGUUACACAAGAUCUAGAAUGUUACAUACCUAUUAUUAUGGGUUACAUGAUGUUUUGUACGGUUACGUCUAUUUUGCAUAUGCUAUUUUUACAUACCGUUUACAUGCAUAUGUUAAUGGUUACACCUAGCUAUUUGAAUCUAGAAUUGGGUUACAUAGUAGUAGCAAUGAGUUACGUAAUAUGCCUCAUGUUUAUAUCUGGUAGAAUUUAACACGUAUCUCCAACAUAUUUUGAGGCAGUAUAAAUUUCAAUUCCUUUUGCUGCUCUGUUAAAUACCAUCUUUCGUUGUGGCCCAACACUCUAGUAUGCAUGUAGCACCAAGCUUGUUUGAGCUGCUUUGUGCUCUGAUUUUGCUAUCUGUAUCAGGUUGGACUGUUUCUUUGUCUUGCGAUGUAUAGCUUCAUAUCUUCUAGAGGUUAGACAGCAAAACCCGCGUUCUCUUAAGGCAACAACUCGAAGAAUCUGCAGUGCCCCUGAUAUAUCACUGCUGCAGAAACGAUCUUUAGUACUGAUCUCCAACCCCCUUUAGUAUUGGUUUGGCAAUCAGUACCACUAUGUCGGUACUAAAGGGAGUUCUCUAGAAUCGGAUCAAAUAACCGGUACUAAAAGGGCUCCUUUACUACCAGUUGGUAACACCAAUAGGUAGUAAAUAUUUUGCACCCAAAAAAUUAAAGAAAAACAGCUGGGAGGCUCGCGCACACACGCAUCAUGAGUAAUAUGUGCGUGCAUGGUUUGUAGGAUUCCAACCCACGACCAAGCUAUAAGCACGUAGUUACAAAAAAUUAAACACUUAGACAUUUUAGAGCAUCCCAAAUAACUACAAAUUCUAUAGUUUACCAUAUACCAUAAAAUAUUAGUUAAAAUAAGAGCAUACACAUGUCGGAAGAGUCCCAACGCACCGGUUGAGGAUCAGACCAGGCACUUUGAAUGCACAUGCCAUAAGAUAAUUCUGCAGGACGAUGAUUGCAAUAAUGGACCAUCAAGAAGAUAGGGGCGAUGGGGUUGCCUCAUCAAUUAUCACUUGGCGCAACAAGACCAGCAAAGUCUUUAUCGACAGGGGUGGAUCAACGGGUGGGGCGGGCAGAGCUUCAGUCCUCCUACCGCCGCUCGAACAAUGGAGCCCCCCUUAGCCCCUCCAUAAAUUUUUAGGUAGAAGAAAAAAGAAGAGAAAGGAAGGAAGGGGAAGAAGAGGGAGCCCCUCCUAAGUAGGUCGCCAUCAUGCUUCCCAACGCAUGAUCGCCGCACCGCAUCCAUUCCUCUACAAGCCUCCAGCGUCUCUCCCGCCGCUACCUCUGAACCAUGUGCAGCUGCAGACCCAACUAGUGUCUUGUCCCCCAUCUCAGUCCCAACAGAGCAGCGGCGGUUGCCAGCACAAAUCUCCCUCCGCCUCUUCUUCAUGGUCGAUGGCCGCCACAAGCAUAAACCUCACCUUCGCAUCCACGCAAAAGGGUCGCUGGGGUGCCUUCUUGCAUCGCUUCUCAGCCUCCUUCACUUGCGGCCAGCCAAGAACCGUGCCACCACCUCGGGUGCGCGCCACCACUCCAGGGCUGCUACCCCAUGCCUGCGGCUGCCGCCGGCCACCACACAUGUCCCGCCGGCCACCACACGUGUCCAACCGCGUCGCACCGCUUCCCUGCUCUGUGCCACCACUUGUACCACCAGCUCCACCACCUUGGGCUGGUCGCCAGGGUGACUGAUUGGUGGAUUGUUACUAAAAAUAAGUUCCUUAUUAUCUGCAACUACUAUUAACUCACGGAUACAUGCAUAUUUUGCUUCUCCUGCUAAUAUGUCCUAAAAUAUCUAGGAUGCCUUAUAUUUCUGGAAAGAGGAAGUAUUUGAAUAAAAUGAACCAAUUUAAAAAAAUGUGUUAUACACUACUACAGAAAGACCUAUCAGUGUCAAACCCAAAAAUGUCGUCACCGCCAGUUUUAGGCACCGUUGGUGAAAGGUUGGCGGUGAUGGGCAUCCCCUUCAACAACGGCACUGGAGCCGACGGUGAUUGGCAUUAGAAAACAAAAAAGGGGACCCUACCUAGCCACCCCUGCAACCCGGCCAGCCGUGCCUCCCCUCGUCCCCGCCACCUCGCCUCCCCCGUUACCCCCCUCCGGCGCCCUUGCGCCUAGCCCCCUCGCCUGCCCGACUGGCCACCCUCGUCACGAGAGAGAGAGGUGCAUGUUGUAUAAUUGCGUGAAUUUUUUAAUGUUUAAUUUCAUGUAAGUUUCAUGUAAUAAAUUGUACAAGAUUUAUUGUAUAUAUGAAUUCCAUAUAUAUAUAUAUUUAUAAUUUAAUGUAUGGUUUCAUGUGUAUAUUUCAAUCAUGUGUAUAUUUAGUAGAUUGCCGAUUUUUUUUUACUAGACAAGGGUUGAUGUAUAAUUACGUGUAUAUGUUUAUUGUACAGGCAAUUAGGACAAGUUUUGUAUAAAUUUCUUUUAUUUCAUGGUUGUUGUAUGGUUUCAUGUAUAUACAUUUAUUGUAUCACUAAUUGUAUUAUUAGUUAAGAUGGGAGCCAAAGAGGAUGAAAGGUAUAUAAUGGAGCAGAUUAUUGCUGGCGGUAGUGGCUCAAACGUUGCAAGAACCUACACCGAGGGUGAGGGUAGCUAGGUGGACAUGUACCUCAACAUGUCCAGUGAUGGCAAUGGUGAUGAGGAGCACGAGCAUGACGUUUAUGAUAAUGCGGAACAAGACAUUGCAGAAUUGGAAGGUUCUAAUGAGGUGUGUUUCAUGUUGAUGAUCUGGUUGGCUUUUUUUCUUUGGUCACACCUUAGUUACCAUAGAACUUCGUCUCGGGAGAAGAUUAGUGGUGCUAUGGUGAUUGGAAUUUUAUUGCCUCCAAAUCUGAUUUCCAUCGAAUCAUAUCCCUUGUAUUUAUCUUCUUUUUAUUUGUGAGAGCAUCUUCUUUAUGCUUGCAAAACAAUUCAAGUGCACAUACUACACCUAGGGUGACGAUUAGGAGUAGAAACAAUUGCCAACAAACCAACACCACAUCCUAAGAUUCUUAACUUGUGGCAUAAUUAGUCUAGUAAAAAGAAAGAUAAAAACCUAAUGGGUGUACGUGAGUGCAAUGUGUAUAUGCAUAUGAGUGGAAGGCAUAUAAGCAAAGAUAAUAUUUACACAUAGUUCUAAACACCAUGUUUACAGCUAGGUUGCUGAAUUUCUCCAUAGCUAUAGAGAUUAAUUAACCAAGGUCAAAACACCAUGUCUAUCCCAAGAUCAGUAAUUCUUUAUAGCACAAGAAAAAGAAAGCGCAUUGCAAAGUUUAUAAACCAACCAAUGCAGCAUGAAAACAAGAUGAAUAGCUAGCAAGGUUUAUUAAACUGAAUGAUGAUGGUCUGCAAGCAAGUUUAAACACCAUCUUUACACAAGAUUGCGAAUGGAAAAUGCCCAUAUGAAGCACUAACAUGGAUAUGAAAUCAUUCAUCAUAAAGCGUAAAGAACAACCAAGCCAACCAUAUGCAAAGCAUGAAUGGAAUGCAAUGAAGGUGCAAGAGAACAUUUUUGGAUGAACACAUUAUAAUGAUGGCAAAAUGCAAUGCAUGCAGAAAAAAUAAAUAUGAACAUGAAUAUGAUGAUCAUGGGGCGGACCCACUAUUGUGGCCUGGGUAUUCCUGGGCAUACCCAAUAUUUUUGGGAAAAUGUUUAGUAGUUUUUAAUGGUAUAUACAUGUAUAAUAUAGUUUAGGUGUUAAAAUUGAUAUUCACAGCUAUUUUGGGCCGCAAUUCGCGUCCAAACCAGCCUGGCCCACAGACCACACCCGGCCGGCCGGCCCAUCUAGUCACUGAUCCCCCCACCACCACACUCAGCCCGUCAGUCGGUCAGGUCCCGAGCUCCUGCCUGACCUAGUCCGCUACCGCCGCCAGGUGCCAGGCACAGCCGCACGCACCACGCCGCCCCCGUCCGCCGCACGGCCGCGCCGCGCCCCCCAGCCCCCGCGGUGAGAUCCCGCCGCCCGCUACCGCCAAACCUCAUUAGGCCUCCACCAGCAGGUCCACCCACAAUCCCGAGCGACGCGGCAGCCUCUUGGCUCUCGUCGNNNNNNNNNNNNNNNNNNNNNNNNNNNNNNNNNNNNNNNNNNNNNNNNNNNNNNNNNNNNNNNNNNNNNNNNNNNNNNNNNNNNNNNNNNNNNNNNNNNNCCCCCCCCCCAUCGGGCCUCGGCCCCUCCCCAGCUCCCCCCCUCCACCAGGACUGCUGCUUCCCCCCACUGCGAGGUAAUCAAAAUCGACUGCUCAAUCUCUCAAUCUGUUGACAUGAUGCACACGGUUGCAAAAAUAGAUGUGUCAAAUAGAUGUAUUGCCAAUUGCUAUAGAUGCAUACGGUUGACAUGAAGAAGUCAAAAAUGACAUUUGGUUCCUUGUAGGCAGUCAAAACUGAAGAAGUCAAAAAAUAUUGAUCUGAAAUCAAUGUGGGAAAGGGCUACAAAGACACACAGGUAGAUUCCCUUGUGAACUUUUUAUGUCGUUCGUCUAAAUAUUUUUUUGCAAUGGGCAUACCCUACUCUAAAAUCCUAGGUCCGCCACUAAUGAUGAUGGUCUAAAAAUAAAACAAGCCUAGAUUAAUUAGCCACAACUGAAAUUAAGCAAAGGCUAAUGUCAUUGACACUAGCUCUAUCCUAGCUUUUACCAAAGUCCUGGCACAUAUAGUGGUUGGGCCCACUCUCUCUGCUUCCCUCUCUGUUGCAUGCACGCACACGAGCAACGGGAGGCCCGACGAAGCCCAGAAGGGUUCGGCCAAACCAGUCUGAGCGCCGCUCCCUCCCAGCCUUCGCGCAGAUGCUCCUCCAACGUUCCUUGACCCCUCCCUCAGCGUCCCGUUGGGUUUAACAUUGCAGGACAGGAGUCCCUUUUUUAAAAUCUCAACCACCUCCUCUCCUCAUUCACUCCACUCUCAUCUCCAUCAAACUAAACGAGAUCCACACCAGAAAUCCCUGCUUACCACCAUGGCUAGCAAAGCCCUCGUCCCUUUCACCAACUUAGGCUUGACCACUGAUCUCGAUGGGGAAAUCACUCCGGCAAAUGUCAUUGUCCCUGUCGGGCGAUCUUGCGAUGGAGGAGGUCCAGGCACUAGAGGUCGAGCCCCUAGCCAUCAUACCGCCCAAGGGGUAAAGCAGGGGUGUGACAGGCGCUGCUAGGGGUUCAGCCAAACUCCUAGUUCGGCCAAACCAGGACGGCGCCGCCUCGGCCUCCCGCUCGACUGCACGCUCGCCCUUGCCAAGGAGGACUCUAGAACAGCGGGCGCGAGCGUCAAGUCCCUACAAAAGGCUGAAAUACAAUGAAUAUCCAGGGCCACCCUUGAAGAUGGGUGAACGCUACGCCGGGUCCUUGUUUGACUAGUACGGCGAUGCAUUCUGCCACCGCUAUGAGGAGGACUUGUGGGCAGAAAGUCGGCUACCACAAACUUGCCUCCGAAUAUUUGGAUUGCGAACCUUGGAUGGUGGUUGUGGAGACCCCAAGCCAUACCUCGCACCCUUGGAGAGGUAAUUGGCUGGAUUGCUUGGUUCGUCUCUAGAAUGCGACAAGGUCAGGCGCCACCUCUCACUGCUACCAGUUAGAAGGCCGAGGGGCCAGUUUCAACAUAGUAAUGAGAAUCUCCGAAGGCCACCAUGGUUAAGCAGCUAACCUCCAUGAUCAUAGACUUACGUUUAGAAAAUAGGAGGCUUAGCGAUGCGUUAACAGAGCAGAAGUUAGAAACAGAAGAACUUAAGGACAACUUCCGUGUCCUCCGUCGUGGUCUUUGUGCUAAGAUAAAGCGCUUGUACAAUGCCACGGGGCAUGACGGUCUCUACGAUGCAGCUCAAUAGACGUGCCCCUUGUAUCCCUUCCUUUAGGCACUUUAGAAUAUGUUUAUUUGUUUUCCUUCAUUUUAAUUUCCAAUCAGAUUGUUAGCACCUCCAAUUUAAUUUCAAUAAAGUGUAGACUCACCGGUCAUCCAACCUGAUGGAGUCCUUGUGUCACUUAGUUGUCUUUGGAAGAAGUAGCUAGGUACAAAAUAAGUGUGGGGGAGAGCCACGGACUCUCUAGAGUUGAAACAAUGCACAACACCCACAAAUAGAGAAAACCACGCUGCACCAGCACGUACGUGAAAGGGGAGCCAGAGCUGGACCCAUAGGGGUUUGGCCAACCCAGGGUGUGGCCCACUCGGGCCAUCUUCAUCCACCGCGUCGGUUUGUGUUUCUUUACCCCUGAUCUCCCUGAUUCAUGAGUUUGAAUGAAUUUUAAAUCUGACCAACUAAUUCAAACUCAACUAAAAUGAAUCAAUUGCUCCACCUGCUCUACAUGUUUUCUAUGGUUGGCUUGCAUAUGUUUUAUUCCAUGCUUAUCAUCUUGAUGCUUGUGAACAAAUAUCUUUAGGACAGCAUGCUCAUCUAAGUAGUUGAUGUGUAUGAUAUGGUUUGAUGAUAUGAUCUUCGCUCUUAAUGCUUAAGUGCUUGGAAAAUUCUAUUUGAAAAUUUAAAGCCUUUUUUGAAAUCUCCUCUUUGAUGUGCCAAGGUCCUACCAAAGCCGUAUGAUAAGUUGUCUUGAAGAACCAUUUGCAUAUAUUGCUUGUCUUUGCAUUAAGCUUUGUCAAAGUGGUGUGACCCUUGAAGAACCAUUUGCAUAUAUUGCUUGUCUUUGCAUUAAGCUUUGUCAAAGUGGUGUGACCCUUGUGACAAUUCUUUUCAUACUUUCAUGAUCAAGACUCAUGUGCACACCAUAUACCCCUUGCUAUGCUUCUAUGAGAUGUUAGCAUUGUACCAUCCAUUGAUUCCACAAAAUAAAUGCUCCACCAUAUGUGUUGGUCUCCUUCUAAGAUUAUUGUUACAAAAGAGAUAUGGGCUAUCAAAAAAAAAUAUGAAUGUCCUAGAAAGUUGGACACAUAAAUGUCAAGAGAUCAUACAAAAAGGAGUUUCCAUUCCAUCCACCACAUCCAUACACGUGCACAUCUUGAUCUGAUUGUAUGACUUAUUUUUCUCUUUGGAUCUGGUCUUUGACUUUGCAAUAUAUGUGAUGCAAGUAUGCCUUAUCCUUCAUAGCCUACCUUGAGCUCCACAUAUAGCCAUCAUUAGAAGUAGGAUGAAGAAAGGCAAGUCUAAUGCCUUGGUGAGGACAUAUACACAUUGAGUGAUCUGAGAGAAUCAAAUGAGGAGCUAAGCAAGGUUUUGUUUUGAAAACUAAUUGAAAAAUCCCAAGCUACUUGGCAUAUGGAGUUGCGGUGACUUGAUUCAAGAUCAUUCCAUUCCUCAACUACCCAAGAUGGCAUGAUAGACACUCCAAAGUUCACAAGUGCAGGUAUGGUUUGGAAUAUCUUUUAGGCUCGCUUCAUACCUUUGAAAGUUAUGUUUCACCUUAGUCCUUUCUUCUUCACUCGAGGAUAAGCAAAGGCUAAGUGUGGGGGUGUUGUUGAUGGCUCUUAAGUACCAAAUCUGCACCAUCAACUCUUGCAUAAACACAUAAAAUAUGAGCAUCAACAGUAGUGGUAGCAGUUAUUACAAACGAAUUCCACAAGUCUUGGUGAAUAUUUGUAUGCAGGCCCAUUAGGAGAGAAAAGACACCUCAAGAGCAAGGAAACACACUCUCAACCAAUCAGGAGCAAGCACAUGGAACCAUGGGCCCACAACCGGAAGGAAAUCGACUACAUUCACCACCAAACACCCUAUACCCACAUGAGAACCCAUAGGCAGUGACCCAGAGCAGAGGUGGUGCCAGAGUGUAGAUGGCAGUUAGCAUGCCAAAUUGUGAACCGCAAGCGCACGGAUCAAUUGUUGCUUUUCCCUUAGAGAUUCCCCCAAGGUUUAUGAAUCCAUGGAAUAAGGGAUUUGCACGUUUAACUAAGCACUAAUCAAUGUAAUUGAAAGCUUUUCGAAUAAGAUAUGAUUAUGCUAACAAAGGAACUAAGCAAUCUAGAUUAAGAUGGAUAGAGAGUAAAGGUUGUGAACAAGAUAGAUUAAAUGCUUGUCCUAGGGAUCUAGGAUCACUUGUAGAUGGAAUCGCCAUGCAUAAAUGAAUUAGAUCUAGGUGUUAUCAUGAGUGGUUGUGAACCAUGCCCAACACUUUCCCACCCGCAACACUGUCACUACAUGUGGGUACUCAACUAUCAGAACAUAAGAACACAUCAAGAUGAUCAUUCUAGGUAAGCAAAUAAGCAACCCAAAGUAGUGCUGGCUAGCCUUUUCAUGAAAGAGCAUCAUCAAGAUAAGAUUGAUAACAAAAUAGAUCUCAACCAAAGGUUCAGCGAUUACAAAUCAAGAUCUCCGUAUAACCCCGAUGACAAAUAGAGGUAUUACCCCCAUGAUCUUACACAUGUUGAUGAAUUUUGGGGUAAAGGACACCUUGUAGAUCAAUUGGACCAAAGAUGAUGAUAAACGGGGGCAGGGAAGGCCCAGACCGAUCAGCCUGGGCACUUUUGAGCCGAUCAGCUCAGGGGGUUUCCUCCUCCCCUAGAGAUCAUGGUACACUUCACGCUGAAGAAACAAGAGAUCGACCGAGCCCUGGGAUAGACCAUGAGGAUCAGCCUAGAGGGUCCUAGGCCGAUCGGCCUAGGCCCUUCCUAGCCCUUCUGGUCCUCUCCUUCCUCAUGCUGGCUUUUCUCGACGACCCUUAUCCAAAUAUCCAUUAAGCUCUCUAUACAUACCCCCUUGAUUAUGUCGUAUUUCCUGCCAAAAUACAAUGCUCCAAAAUACAACACAUAUGCAAUAAUAGGGUUAUUUUAGGUGCCAAUUGGUGGGUUAGUAUACGAAUAAGCAUGAAAAUACUGAUUAAAUGGCACUAAAAGUGUGUCAAUAAUGAGCACCAACAAUCCCCCCACGCUUAGAUCUUGCUCGUCCUCGAGCAAGUCUAGCGACUAAAAGAUCUUGAAUUAAACCUGAGCAAGCGAGUCAAGUACCUAGCCUUGAAACAAAAGAUUAGAGGAGCAGCAAAGAUAAUCAAAGUCUGGGUGUUCAAAGAUUUAUCUAAGCAAAGAUUCCCCUACAACUAUUAUUCAGAACCAAGUAACUUCAAGUAUCAACUACACUUAUUUUUUGGCUUUUUUCAGAGGGUUUUUCUUUCAUCAUAAAACAAUCUCCCUGCAAAAAAAUUGGAAAAAGAAUUAUUUUCCAGGUGCUUAUAUGUCGCUUAAAUGAAUGUUGGCUAUCCUACUUAUUUGCAAGCUCUCAUCUCUCAAAAGUCAUUCAAUUCUAUGGUGGAGCUUGGGUAAGGUUAGCUAGAAUCAACACGUAUAUUAUUGAAUUAAGAAAACCCUCUAACGGUGGCCUACCUUCCGAGCCAUUGAUCAUAAGAAUAUCCACAUAAUGUGAAGUUUUCAAGGAUGAGAAGAUAUAGAAUGGUGGACAUGUGCAAAUGCAAAGAAAUAUAGUGACUCUGAGGCACAAGCAAUGUCCUCGUCAUUGGAUUGCAUAUGGUUGGAAUGAAAAUCCGUUCCUUAAACAAGUCCAUCUUUUCUUUGCACCACUCUUGAUCUUCAUGACAGUAAAAACUCCUCCUUUAUUUUUUUCUCUCUUUUCCUAUUAUUUCUUUUUAUUUGUCUCAAUACUUUUCUUUCUUUCUUUCUUUAUUUUAAUCUCUUCUCUGAACCUCCUCUGAACACCACACAAUAAAAAUCAGUUUUAGAUCCUUCCAGAGACCUUCCAUGAAUUUGCUACAUGAAAACUGAGGCAAGGAGACCUCAGGCCGAUUGGCCUGGCCACUCCUUUGCUCUCCUCUAGCUCUUCUUUCUGGUGAAGCUUCCAUAUCUUGUAUCUUUCCAAAAAUUUCAAUAAGCUCGACUAGAAGCAGAACAGAUCUUCAUAUAAUGAGUUGUGUUCAAGGAAUUGGUAAUAAAAUUGAGAAAUUUGUGGUCCGGGUUUACGAAUUCAGUACAAAAAUCUGAUGGUUCCAAUGAAGAACUCUCAUUACUGAAUAUUGACGAGGCAAGCAUUCAAAGAUGGUAAAAAGGAUAUGAUCAAUUCUCAAAAUUAAAGCAAACCAAGAGAGAGCGAUCCUAAUUCAAUUCAAAGUGUCAAAUAUUGCUUAUGGUGGUAUGAAUAAAUAUUUUUAGGCAUUGGGUAGGAUAAAUAAAAACUCUCAACCUGGUUAAAAUAUAUUGAUCAAUCUUGUUUUUGCAGAGGUUUUAAAUAAAAAAUAAAAUUUUAAAUCACCUCCAAUUCAAAGCCUUACUCAUAAAUCAUAAUCAAAACUGAAGCACUUGAUCAUCAUAAAGCAUGGGUAUUGCAUAAACAAAUUGAUUACUAAAACUCCACAACUACGAUUUAGAAUUCAAGACAAUGCUCAUAAUCCAAAGUUGCAAAGACAAAAUAAAAGACAAGCAAGCCAAGGUAGACACUAAAAACACUUGCACGAUCCUUGAAUUUUAUUCAUGCUUCUUCUCACAAAGAUGCUAAAGUAGCCAUGUAGGCCUAAGUCUUCCCAAAAGCUUAAUAAGAUUACUACUUUAUUUACUUUUGGUUGAAAUAAAAACACUAAUUUAGACUCUCACAUGACUCGACUCGACCAAACUAGAUCCAAAAACUCAUAUGAGCGACGAUCUCCACCCCCCCUCACGCUUAAAAUCUACGACCUCCUCGUCGUAACCAUAUGGAGUACAUGGAAAAGAUGCUUGUAAAUGCACUAAUGACGCUACCCGCACUACUUGCACAUGGGAUGGUUGCUGCUUCCUUCACUUUGUUCUUCCUCAUGUUGCUGCACAUCUCGAAGAGCUUCCUCAUGUUCCUCUGCAAGAACUUGAAGUCGUCCUCCUGACUUGCAUGAUGUCAUCGACAGCAUCGAAGAGGUAGUGGAUGUUCUUCCUGCAAGCUGCGGAACAUGUACGAUCAUGCUCCUCUGAUUCUGGCCCGUCGUCUUCUAGAUCCUUCUCUUUGCCCUUGUCUUGAUGGUGGCCAUCUUGCUCCUUGCUCGCCUUCUUGCCUUCAGCCCAAUCCCAGUACGUGUUGUCAUCUUCUUCAUCAUCACGGCCUGCAGCACCCUAUGAUCCAGGGCUCCUAUCGUCCUCCGAAUUGCUAUCACCUCCAUAGUCAGCUGGCGUGUACUCGGGCAUCUUCGCUAUGUAGCUCUUGCGCUUCAUCAUGAGGAGCCUUGCUGAAAUCCUUGUGGGAGUGACGACGACCUCCUUCUUCUUCUUGGGUGCUUCAUCUUCGCUCGAGAAGAUGAUCAACAUGCGAUUCGCAAGCUUUCCGGAUGGUGCCUUGCCUCCAACACUGAUGUGAGCGUUACGAGUAGUCCUUGGUGGAGUUUUGGGACCCUACUCACACCUCUUGGCUUCCAUAUGAAGGGUGAAGGUGGCAGCCAAGGGAGGGGGUGGUGCUGAUCGGCUUGGGGAGGUCAGGUCGAUCAGCCUGGCCGCCUCCUUCGCCGGCUGCUGCCCCCUCUCGUCUCCCGAGCUCCUGGACGUCACCACUGCACUUUUUUUUUGGUUUGGUGGAUCUGAAUUGCUUGUGUAGAUGCAAAACUCAAGCUCCAAUUGGCCUCAUUAUAUACUCUUGAAGUCUUUGUCAAGGAUCCACACAUUUCCAAAAACUUCCUUGCCCCUUCCCGCAAAAAUUCACUUCCAUAAUCUGUUGUUACCAAAGAUGUGAAAGAGGGAACUGAAUCGGAAAUUACAUAUAUUUUUAGACGUACGCUCUGCCUCCCAAAUUUUCAUGGCAGCGCGUAUGUCUAAAAAUAUAUGUAAUUUUUUGAGUCUUACACAAAAUUCAAAUGAAAAUAAUAGAAUUUAAGAUAGUGUAUGUACAAGGUACCUAUUUUAGUGUCGUCAAGCUUGACUUGGCCAUUCUUCCUUCAUGGUAUAGACGUCAAUAGAAUUGAUAGGCACGAUGUCGGCUUCCAAGAAUACCUUUAGCCGCUGUCCAUUCACAAUAUAUUGAUCUCCUUUGACGUCCAUGAUUGUUACUGCUCUGGUAGGUGACGCAGAAUACAUGACGUAUGGUCCACCCCACUUGCUCAUCAAUUUUCCCUUACCGAAGAAUUUAAACAUGGAGUUGAACAAUAACACUUUAUCCCCUUCUUUGAAUUCCUUCUUAUGAGGCCUUUUAUCAAACCACCUCUUGAUUCUUUCCUUGUAAAUGCUUGCAUUGUGGUAAGCUUUAAGCCUCAUCUCUUCCAAUUCACUUAUUUGAAUCCUUCUUUUUACUCUCGCAGCAUUAAAAUCAAGAUUCAUCUCUUUUAUGGCCCAAUAAGCUUUAUGUUCAAGUUCAACAGGAAGAUGACAUGUUUUUCCAUAGACAAAUUUAUACGGGGUCAUACCUAUAGGUGUUUUAUGAGCUGUCCUAUAUGCCCAUAAUGCUCCGUCUAGUUUCUUUGACCAAUCCUUCCCUCCUUUGACUAUGGUCUUUUUCAAUAUAUCUUUGAGUUGCUUGUUUGAAGUUUCUGCUUGGCCAUUUGUUUGAGGAUGAUAGGCUGUAGACACUCUGUACUCAAUCCCCAGUUUCUUCAAACAUUUGCCAAAAUCUUUUUCUAUGAAAUGUGAUCCUCCGUCGCUUAUCAAUAUUCUGGGCACUCCAUACCUAGGAAAUAUUAUCUUCUUGAUCAUGUGAAUUGAUUCCUCUGUUGAUGCCUUCCGACAUGGGAUAGCUUCUACCCAUUUAGACACAUAAUCAACUAUAACCAAGAUGUGCUCAUAGCCAAGUGAAUUUAAGAAUGGUCCCAUGAAAUAUAUACCCCAAACAUCAAAUAGAUCCACUUGCAAACUAUAGUUCAAAGGUAUAGAAUUUCUAGAUGAAAUAUUUCCUUUUCUUUAGCAUUCUGAGCAAGUAGCAAUGAACCUCUUUGCAUAUUCGUGCAUCUCUAGCCAAUAAAAUCCCCUUGCCCAUACUUUUGCUUGAGUUUUGAAGUGUCCAUAAUGUCCUCCAUAUUCUGAUGAAUGGCAUUUCCUAAGCACCGCAUCUCUUUCUUCUCUAGGAAUCCAUCUUCUCAAUACUCCAUCUACUCCAUACCUAUAUACAAAAGGUGCAGACCAAUAGUAUUUCUUAUUUUCAGCAAUAUUUUUUCUUCUGUCAUUCCUAUCCAAGUGAUGCAAGGGCGCCCUUUUGAAGACUCUGAUAAUGUCAUGCAUCCAAUCAUCCUUGUCAAGUAUUCUGUAUAAAUGGUCAUCUCUCAUUCGAUCUUUAAUUGGCUCCUUCCCAUUAUCUUGUUGGUACAUCCUCGACAAGUGGUCAGCUACCACAUUUUUUGACCCCUUUUUAUCUCUAAUUUCCAUAUCAAACUCUUGUAGUAACAAUAUCCAAUGAAUCAGACCUGGUUUAGCAUCUUUCUUGGACAAAAGAUAUUUAAUUAAAGCAUGGUCGGUGUCCACAAUCACUUUAGAAUACACAAUAUAUGAUUUGAAUUUUUCCAAAGCAAAUACUACGGCAAGCAGCUCCUUCUCUGUAGUUGCAUAAUUUAUUUGAGCCUCAUUUAAAGUCUUGCUAGCAUAGUAAAUUGCGUGUACCUUCCCUUCUGUUCUUGUCCAAGUACUGCUCCAACAGCAUAAUCACUUGCAUCGCACAUUAUCUCAAUGGGUAGAUUCCAAUCCGGAGGUUGAAUGAUGGAUGCACUGAUAAGUGAUUGCUUUAAAGUUCUGAAAGCAUAGAGACAGUCUUCAUUGAAUUCAAAGCUCACAUCUUUCUGUAGAAGUUGUGUUAAUGGUUUUGUUAUCUUCGAGAAAUCCUUAAUAAAUCUUUUGUAGAAUCCGGCAUGUCCGAUAAAGCUUCUCAAUGACUUGAUGUCUGUUCAAGGAGCUAACUUUUCCACAGUUUCAAUCUUCGCUUUAUCAACUUCUACCCCCCCCCCCCCUCUAAGAUGACAUGCGCCAGCACUAUUCCUUGCUUCACCAUAAAGUAGCACUUCUCCCAGUUUAGAACUAAAUCAACUNNNNNNNNNNNNNNNNNNNNNNNNNNNNNNNNNNNNNNNNNNNNNNNNNNNNNNNNNNNNNNNNNNNNNNNNNNNNNNNNNNNNNNNNNNNNNNNNNNNNNNNNNNNNNNNNNNNNNNNNNNNNNNNNNGCGUUGAAUUGAUGUGGGCGCAUUGCAUAGACCAAAAGACAUUCUUCUAUAAGCAAAAGUUCCAUACAGACAAGUGAACAUCAUCUUAUGUUGGUCAUUCGGAUGUAUAGGAAUUUGAUCACUAUCCUGUCACUAUCCCCUGGAGAAUUAGCUCAUUCUUCUCAUUUGUCACAACAGUCAAUCUAUCCUUCUUUGGCACGCAAUGCACUGGGCUUACCCAUUCACCGUGUGGUACUGGAUAGAUUAUUCCAGCAUUAAGCAAUUUGAUCGCCUCCUUCUUUACUACAUCACGCAUAGCAUGCUCAAUCUUCUCUAGUUCUCCACAACUAGUUUGUAUUGAUCUUCUAAUUGUAUUCAAUGAGUGCAUAAGGUUCGAUUGAUUCCUUUCAAGGCUUUGAUUGUAUAUCCAAUCACUUUCUAAUGUUUUCUUAAUAAAUUCAGCAGCUUCUCAGUUUCUUCCUUCCUCAACUCGUUGUUGAUAAUGACUGGAUAUGUCUUGUUGUUCCCCAAAUAUUCAUAUUUUCAUCCCUUGGGUAAUGGCUUCUGCUCAACAUCUGGUGCUUUAGUCUCUUGCUGCUCCAAAUCUCCAAUGUCUUCAAAUUUUUUUGCUUCUAAAGUUCCGUAUUGCAGUGAUAAUGCUUCGGUUGCUUCUGCCAGUUCAUCAUCCUGACCACCCUCAUUGUUUUCCAUUGCUCUUAGUAGAGGAUCCCUGAAAUUUUCAGCAAAACAUACACUUUCUAAUUCCUCGUUAUCAGGAAGUAGAGGUAGGGUUUGUUGAGAAGCAGGCAAAAAAUUAUAAGUGUAUUUGGCACUGCCAAGAUUAAUCGUUACUUUGUCCUUCCCAGCAUCAACCACAACAUUAACCAACUUAAGAAAAGGUCUACCAAGGAUAAUAGCAUCAUGGCAAUCAUCAAUAACAAAGAAGUCAGUUGGUAUAACUUUUCCCGAGAUAGCAACAUCUAGAUCUCUAUGCACACCUAGAAAGACUUUCCGUAUGGUUGCACGUUUCACUAGAAAGACUUUCCCUCAAGUCGGUCUUUAUGUGAUCGGAGUAAGCUAUUGGGACAGGAUCCUCUACCGAGGCUGCCCUCUUACUCCCUUGUACUGUCCUUAAUAGUUUCUAACUCUUUAGUUGGUAAUUUUAGAUUUAUCUCAAAAACUCACACAUUGUGUUUGCAUAUUCCUAGGGAGUUCUAUCUUCUAAAAUGAUGCUCGAUCAUCGAUCUAGUCAUGAUCGGGGUAAUUUAUGGGAUUUUUUGCUAGAAGUGGCUUCAUGUCAAGGCGAGAAAGAGAACAGAUGUGGGUUGCUUCUGUAGGUUUGUAAAGAGAUGAAAGUUAGAUUAUUAUCUUGGUAGAUUUUAAUAUCUAUGAAUACAAGGGGUACGUGCUAGGAAUUACCUUCAUUAAAAGUCCUUAGCACGUUUUCCUAGGUUGACUAGAGCCCUGGCUUCUCAAUCUUCAGGUCUUCCGCUUCUACUUCUUGUUGGGGUCAUUGGAGCUUCCACCAGGAUCUCUGGAGUCCGGAUCUUCCAUUUCUUGUCGCAAUUCGAGCCUUACCAGGCUAACGCAUCUACGCAUCUGCUGGACGGCCAAAAAUUUGACUUCACAUAUUUUUUUGGAUCCUUGGCUUCCAACCGGGUCUUGGUUGUGUCCUCGCCUCCAACAAGCAUGCAAUCAUACAAAUAAUUCUAACAAUCAAUUUCUUGCAAUCAAUAUAUGACUAAAGGAAAUGGAAAAAGAAUGGAUGAUGGAUGCUUUAGGAAUUAUCAGAUUUCUAAGGAUAAUUCCAGAAUAAUUGAUGGAUAUCUUAUCCAUUAUUUAGAAAUAUUUCUAAAUAAUUGAUGGAUAGGAUAGUUGGAUUUCUAGGAUAAUUUUAAUAAAUUAAUAAUAGAUUUUCGAGCAGUACGACCGCUAGGGUUUUGUUGAUAUCUAGGGUUUUGAUUGGGCAACAUAUCAACUAGGUUUGGUUAAUAUAGGAGGUUUGGAUUGGGUACUAUAACGGCUGGGUUUUGGAAUGGAUCCUAAGUGUGAUUCGGGCGCUAGGUGUUGUGAAUGGAUUUCAAGGCUAGGAAACUUGCAUGACAAGCUCGGCUUCGACCCUACGACGGGUGGAGCUAGUCAAGUUUCCUUGGGCUUGGGUUGGCUGUCAGGCUUGAGAGUUUGUGCGACGGGCAUCACUUCGACCUGACCUGGUGCUAGAAGUUAGCAACCCAGCGAUAGGUGGAGCCAAGCAAGACCAAGUGGAAGCUAGAGAGCUUGCACGACAAACUCACUUCGACCACUAGGGUGGAGCUCGGGCAAGAUCAAGUGGAUGGAAGUUAGAGCUUGCUUGACAGACUCACAUCGGCCACUAGGGUAGAGCCUGGGCAAGGUGACCAAGGAUGGGCAUGGGAAUAGGCUUGGAUGGCUCUAAGAUAUUUUAAGGAAUUUUCCUAGGGUUUUUGGAAGUGAAAUAAAUGAAAUGCAACUUUUGGUGUGCACUUUAAGAGGGUUUUUCUACUAUGUAAGUAAGAAAAGGAUAUUUUGGCGAAGGGGUCAUAUGAGGUGAUCAAUGGGAAAGGAACACAUGGAUAGGUUUGGAAUAUUUUGGAAAAUUUUAGGAACUUUUGGAGUACAUGAAGGGCUCUAAGUGAACUUGUGUGUGCAUUUGGCUAGGUACGCAUAGCAAUUUCAGGAGCGCUGCCGCAACAGGGCGGGGCUGCGGGUACUGUGGUGUGGAACCGUGGUCACAACGAGCGAGCUGCGCAUGUGCAGUGGGCCGAGGUAAGGCAGGCUGAGCGAGUGUUCAGAUUUAUUUACCGACACAAACAACAACCAGUAAAAUCAACAAAUCAAGCACAAGAGAUACAAGGAUUUAUUUACCAAAGUUCAGAUUCCUUCAUCGAGGAUUCCUACAUCUCCGUUGGGUUCUUCCAAUAAAGCCGAGUCACUCUCAACCCUUUCCCCACUUCAUAUCUUGAUUUCUUCCCCUACGGAGGCGAAAUCAAAGCCUUCACAAACUUUUCAUGGCACACCACAAGCUUGGGUACUCACCAGGUGAUGCCUAGCCAUCUUGGAGGCUUGACCUAGCCACUCAAUCUGUCAAUCUGUCCACCCAACGCAUUUUUCUCUUCAAAUCUGAUAGGAACACUCAAGCUCUAGUAACAAAAUGGAGGGGAUGGAAACACAGAAGCGUAGUGGUGGGUGGAUUGGAUAAAACUAGCUAGAAUCACUUGAAGAUCACUCAACAAGAUCAACUAGCACCGAAUAUUACUCUACGGUUUUCUCAACUAGGAUAACUCGGAGAUUACUCGACGAGAUCAAUUAGCACCGGAGGUUACUCUACGGGUUUCACAAGGAAGAGCAACACUCAAUUCUCGUAUCAUAUCAAUUCAUCAACUCUGCACAACACAUUGCAUAGCAUCCCUUUAUAUAGAGAGGGAGAGACAGACACUUAAUACUUUGAACUCUUAGAAAAAUUAAAUGGACACUUAGGAACUGACUCCCUAAUUACUAGUCUUAGACUCUAAGAUACAUAUGACUCUUGGGAAACAAAGAGAUAAUAAAGCAACUGAAGAGUCUUGGACUUUCGCGCGGCUUCCUGGCAGCCUGCACACUUUACACUAAAAUGACCAUAACUCUUGACUCGGAAGUCCAAAAGAUGCAUCGUUUGUGGUGUUGGAAACUGUGCCAAUUAUUUCUCUCUUUUUCAUUCUCUCUUGGCUUAUAUCCAAAAUCAUAGCAGCCGUUGUUGAACAUUGAACUCAGAUCCAAAAAUUCCAUACAUGGAUCCAAAAAAUUUUCACUGAUAUGUUUGUCCUCAAAAAAGAUAAUACUUGUUGGCGCAUAAUAGAUAGAAACUUCAGGAUUAAUGGACAGAAAAGUGUUCGUCUCAUCACUUUGAAAGAAAUCAUCCAAUAUAUUUUCAUUAACAGAUUCAAUAGGAUCAAAAUCAAUGGAUAUAUUUUGCUCCUCAUCAUAGAUAGGUGGCAUGCAAUAACACCACUUCUUGGAGACACCAUACGAAUCAUAAGAUGCCAAACCAUAAAUCUUGCAACAAUGAUAGUCCAAAACUUCCCAUUUGCUGCAAACCAAGGACAUCAAGUUGAUCAAAAUCAGUACCUUCAUAACCAGUAGCGCCAUGAAGAGCAGCUUAACAUCCAGAAACAUCACAACCAGUAGGAGCCCCACAAGCAACUUGAUGGCCAUAAUCCUCACAGCCAGCAGUGGCACGACCAACAACCUCUUGACGAGGUACUUCACAACUAGCAGCCUCAAGACCCUAUAAGCGUUCUUGUACUUGACGAUUUUCUUCUCCAAGACCUGCAAGGAUCACAUCAUGGUGAUCAUGCUCUUGGUUGGCAAUGUCGUUGUCGGAGUCUGCUUGAUGACGUUGAUGACAAGCCAUCAACCUUAAUCCAGAUGAUAGAAAUCUUGAAGCAUGGAACAAUAGCUCUGAUUAUCAAAUGAUAGGAACACUCUCACUCUAGUAACAAAAUGGAGGGGAUGGAAACAUGGAAGCAUAGUGGUGGGUGGAUUGGAUAAAACUAGAAUCACUCGGAGAUCACUCAACAAGAUCAACUAGCACCGGAGAUUACUCUAUGGAUUUCUAAAAUAGGAUAACUUUGAGAUUACUUGAUGAGAUCAACUAGCACUAAAGGUUACUCUAUGGGUUUCACAAGGAAGAGCAACGCUCAAUUCUCAUAUCAUAUCAAUUCAUCAACUUUGUCCAACAAAUUACAUAGCAUCCCACCCUUUAUAUAGAGAGGGAGAGAUAGACACUUAAUACUUGAACUCUUAGAAAAACUAAAUGGAAAUAAAGAGAUAAUGAAGCAACUGUAGAGUCUUGAACUUUCGCGCACCUUCCUGGCAGCCUGCACACUUUCCACUAAAAUGACCCAUAACUCUUGACUCGGAAGUCCAAAAGAUGCCUCGUUUGUGGCAUUGGAAACUUAACUCAUAGGACUUUCUAAUGAUGUAUCAUAUGAAUACGGAAACCAAGUAGAUCAGUACCAGAAAUCCAUGAAACUUAGAGAUGUUGCUGCAUGUUCUUCCAACUUGUGUAAACCACCACCAUUUCAUGUAACCGGUUGGUUUACCUUCCCAUGAGGAUAUCAAAAUAUCUUGAAAAUCUAGAGAGGGGAGAGCUUCUUCGGUCUGUGAAUAUGUCUUUUUUGUGUGGGAAACCAGUAGCAGCUAAUGGGAGGCGGUGAGUGGUACAAAUACCUAUCCCAAAAAACUAGCUGUUGGGCUGUUAAGUUCCAGAAUCUCUGGAAAAAAUCUCCGAAAACUCUGGAACCCUAAAACUAGCCAUUAGAUUCAAAAAGUUUCAAACACUACGAAAAAUCGUAAAUUUGCCGAGUGUUUUUUCCUUUGUCGAGUGUUUUUUUUCGGACACUCGACAAACAAGCUCUUUGCCGAGUGCCGAGCUAAAAACACUCGGCAAAGAAAAAACACUCAACAAAGAGGGGCUUUGCCGAGUGUCAAAAACAAAACACUCAGCAAAGAGGGGCUUUGCUGAGUGUUUUAUUUUCACACUCGGCAAAGAAUUUUUUUUUUGAAAAAAAAGUCUUGCCGAGUGUCCAGAUUGGGACACUCGGCAAAUGUCAAAAAUAUAUCUCCCGUCCCCGACCCCCCUACCCCAGCACCCCACCCGCCCGACGCCCCCCUCCUCUUCCUCCGCGCAACACCGGCCCCCACCUCCCUCUCCCUGCCGCCGGCUAGCUGCCGCUGCCGCCGCCCCUUCCCUCCCUCCCUCCCUCUCCCUCUCCCUCUCCUACCGGCGCCCCUCCCCCUCCUCUCCCCUCCUCCCUCCCUCACGCAGCCGCCCCCUCUCUCCGGUGGCGACCUCCGGCCGCCGCCCCGCGCCUCCUCCCCGGAUCCGGCGGGGACUCGCAUCGGGGACGCCGGAUCUGGCGGGGACUCGCGUCGGGGGCCCCGGGAGUGGCGGUCUUCAAGCGGCGGCGUGGAGAUGUGGUGGUGGUGGUGGUCGGCGGGAGGCAGCUCGUGGUGGUCUGCAGGCUGUGGUGGUGGUGGUGGUGGCCGGCUGUGGUGGUGGCAGCGGGCGUGGAUGGUGGCCGGCUGUGGUGGCGGUGGCGGCGGUGCGGAUCGUGGCGGCGGGCGUGGAUGGUGGUGGCAGGUGUGGAUGGUGGCCGACUGCGGUGGUGGCGAUGCCGGCGUGGAUGGUGGCAACGUGCUGGUGGUGCUGCCGACGGUGUCGGCAUGCCUUUUUUUUUAUUUUUUUCAAAAAAAUUGUUUGCCGAGUGUUUUCUGGGCACUCGGCGAAAGCUUUGCCGAGUGCCCGACCGAAAACACUCGACGAAUGUUACUUUGCCAAGUGCCAGAUGCCGAGUGUAACACUCGGCAAAUUUGUUGCCGAGAGUAUUUUGGGUUUCGCCGAGUGCUCCUGGCGCUCGGCAUAAAACCUGUGUCCAGUAGUGGAAAUCUCCACAAAAAUCUCUGGAAACUCUAAAUAUUUUUGUUCUCUCAAAAAUCUACAGAAACUCCACAAAAUUCUCCGAAAUCUCUGCAACUUACCGAUUCUCCGUAGAAUUCUCUGGAAUUUCCGCAAGUCCACUGGACAACAUAAGUCACCCAAGAGAAAGGGAUCUUGGACUCUAAGGAAAUCUUGUUCAAAGAACUAUCCAGUCCAAUUUAAAACAAGCCACCAGAUCACUCAGUGCAAGUGUUGUGACAAGUGUUUCUCUCAUGUUAAAACUUGAAAGGAUAGGUUUGAGCACUAAGGCAUAGGUGAAGCAAUCAUUGCAUCCCUCUCGAUAGCACGGCAUUACAUAUACUCAAGAUCAAAAAAUAGACACAAUAUCAACCACUUGAGCUUGAAUACCUUCACCAUGCUGCUUUUCUUUAAAAUCACACUUUGAGGUGUUUGCAAGCAUUUCUUUCUCUUUCUAUCGGUGUUUUAGACCGGCAACCCGCCUAGGGGUACCCUAGGUGGUCUUUUAUGCGGUAAGGGUCGUCGAGAAUCAAGGAAUCAAUGGUGACACAAGGAACACGAUUUAGACAGGUUCGGGUCGCUAGAUCGCGUAAUACCCUAUGUCCUGUAUGCUUGUAUGUAUUGAUCUUAGAUGCACUUGGAGUUGUUCUGUUUGAGGGGGGUCCCUGCCCGCCCUUAUAUACACGGGAGGGCAGGGUUACAAGUCUGAGUCCUAGUCGAGUACAAUUACAGAGUUCUACUCGGUAUGGCCCGAGUAGUUUUCCAUAUGCAUACUUGACUAGUCCGAGUGGAGAAGCCUAUCCCUUUGUCCUGAUCAUAUCCGAGUACGUCCCUUAGUGGGCUGUCCAAGGUCUACUCGUGGGCCUAGGGUGCAUGCUCGACAAGCCCCCGAGUACUUUGUAGUCGUGCACUGUAGUCUUGAGUACUGUGGGCAUUAUCUGAGUAGUUCUUUUGUAGAGGUUGCGGUGUCCAAAGUGCUCGAGUAUUGUUCGCGUGGCUGGAAGGUACUCUUCUUGCUCCUUUGAGUUGCUUUUGUUCCGAGAAUUUUUUAUAUGGUAGUGCGAUGACAAUCGUACUCCAUAUGGAGUAGCCCCAGAGCCUUAGGUUGAGUCGAAGAGUCAGGCUUAGGGUCAAUCCUGCUUCUUGGCUGUUUUACUCUUGGUAAUCUGAAAAAGAAAAUUCUGACCAUCGGGUACGGUACCCGCAGCCCCCGAGCACUUAGGCAAUUUUUUUCGUUGAAGUGGUCAAGACCCAUUGAACAGAGUAUCCGUUGGGUGUUUAAGGCAAUUAAUUUGUUUAAAAACCCAUCCGUUGCGUAACUAAUGCUUGGAAUCCGGAGGUGGCGGAGAUAUAAUCGGAGGGCCCCCUUUCAGUUAGGUUUACGCCCCACUGUAGCAGAUCUGUUUCUCUUCUUCCCCCACCUUUCCAUUCCUGUUUUCCUCCACCGUGAUUGUCUAGCGCCGCCGCCACCGUUGCUGCUCCUCUGAGAGAGGUCCGAGGUUGAGUGCAUUUUGCUGCGGGUGAAGCCGGUGGAUGCGCACCAAGAAGAUGGGGAAAAAACCCGAGAAGGCUCAAGGCAAGGCUCCUGCGGCGGGCAAGGUGAAGUCCAAGAAGGGGAAGGAGGUGGUGCUACUGGCGCCGAAGGUAGGGCCGACAAACCAGACUGCGCCGCUGCCGCCUGGAGCGAUGUGGUAGCAUUCGGUGAUGAAGGAGGCGGCCAUUCAGGUGCUUGUCGAUGCCAAACUUCUGCACUCGAAAUAGGUACUCGAGUGGAGGCCUACCUUCGCUGACGCGUGGCAAUUCGAGAAGCAUCCGAAUGAGACGGUUAUGCUUGCUCACUUUGUGGAGAGGGGGUUGGCAGUGCCCACCUCCGACUUCUUCAGAGGUAUUCUUGAGUACUACAAGCUUCAACUUGUACACUUGAACCCCAAUGGUGUACUGCACAUGUCUAUUUUUGUGCACCUUUGUGAAGUUUACUUGGGAGUUCCUCCUAGUCUUGAGAUGUUUAGGAAGUUGUUCCGUAGCAGGCCUCAACCUAGUGCUGUUAGGACAGAGGUCUUUGGGGGCGCUGGGUUCCAGCUCAGGAACUCAGGCGCGUAUAUUGAAUAUAACUUGACUGACUCCCAUGGGAAGUGGAAGAAAAGGUGGUUUUAUAUUGGGAACCAUAACCCUCGCUUGCCGGUGGUCACUGGUCAUGCGCCGAAGCACGCAGAGAAUUGGGUGAGCGAGCCUGAAGAUAGCCCAGAGCUCGAUCACUUAAUUCCCCAGAUUGCUGAGUUGAAGGCACUCGGUUUGACUGGAGUCAAUCUGGCAGCCAGCUUCCUCAAGAGAAGAAUUCAGCCCUUGCAAAAGCGGGCGCACUUGGGUGGGGAGUACUCAGGUUUUAAUGACCCGUCCCGUAUGUCUCCGGAUGAUAUUUCUGAUGAUGAUGUUGAGGCACUGUUGGCCAAGUUCUUUAGGAAUUAUCAAGGAGUACUAGUUAUUCCUUCAACGCUUCGUCAGUUUGAUGCUUGGUAUCAGCCAGAAGUGGUAUGGUCUUUCACUUUGAGUUGUACUUUUUGAACUGUUCGGGAUAUUGUUUGAGUGUCGACUUGCUUUUGUAGUCCCGAGUUCUUACUGGCUACUUGGUGUAGUCGGAAGAAGAAGAAUCUGUUGUUGAGGAGUCAGAGGACGAGCCCUCUCCUCCUGUGAAGAAACGCUGAGUAGUCCGCAAGAUGUCUGCUGCUAAGUCUACCACGACUUCUCCUGAGAAGUCUCGGGGUGCCAAGGUAUGUAGCUGUGUACUCACUUGUAGCUGACGGAUUUUAACUUGUAAUCUUUGAUCACUUUAUCUGUCUUCAAAAGGCUGACGACGCGGCGCUUGGUGACGAUGAGGCUGCUUCGGAUGAAGUAGUCAUGAGCGCCUAGGGUGUUGAUGUUGUGUCUGUUGAGAAGGUACUAGGGAAGGUGCCACCAACAGAUGCUGGAGUAGCCCCCGAGCUGACAGUCCAAGCUCCAUCGGCUACCGCGCUGCCGGUCCCAGACCAGGCAGUCCUGGGUUUGCCUGCUGGAGUGGCGGACGAUGUUGGGAAAGGAGUAUCACCAGUAGUUGCUACUGGUUCUUUGUCGUCCAAGGUGAUUGCUAGUGGUGAGCUUUCUUUCCCGACUGGUUUCGUUAGUCUGAGUUGUAUUUUAGUCUUGACCCUGUGUUUCCCAGGUCUUGGCGAGAAGACAGAGCCAGCAGCUGCUCCCGUGGCGUCGAGUACUCGGCCACCUGUUGCCGAGAAGAAGCGUGUGCGAUUGCCGCCACGAUCAACUCGGUGAGCUGUUUAUCCUUGGUGUGUAUCUUCAAGGUUUCUUCAAGUCGUGUAAUGACUUUGUAUUUUGAUGUAGGGAUGCGGAGGAGACUAUCCCUGUGGAGGCAAGAGUAGAUUCGUGUCCCCCGACUACUCUUUCUGCUCCUUUUGAGGAUUUGACUGUCGACAAAGUAUCCGGAGUUGAUGCUAGUCAUCUUGGAGCGUCCAUGUCUAUGCUUCAAGAAGUGAUCCGCUCGGUGGAAGAUCCCCCUGCUGCCUCGGGUUCUAGGAAUGUAUCCUUGUCAGCGUCUACUGGCGGAGAUUUGGCUGUAAUUGAUGCAGGGAAAUCUAAGGAACCAGCUACCCUAGGUAUGUAUCCGCAGUCUUGGUAUUGUAUUCGUAGUAUUGAGGUGGCUGAUGUUAAUCUCUUAGGUACUGCCUUGGGUGCAGCUCCUCAUCUUGCGAAGAGUACUCAAGGUCCAGUAAUCGGGCUCCCGUCUGAGUCAGAGUUCCAGAGAGCUGUCAAUGUUUUUCAAAGCUUCCAGGUGUGUUUUAUUUACUUAUCUAACAGGUUUAGUAACUAGGGGAGUUGACCGUUUGCUUUGCUGUGUAGGAUCUGUAUGACCAAAUGCAAAGGAACACUCGGGCCCUUCAGGAGCGGAACGAGCAAUUGGAGCAGGAGUGUGUCCGACUUGCGGAAUCCUUGAGGGUUCAUGAAGCUGGAGGGAAAUCCUUUGCUGUGGAGCGGUCAGAUCACGAAGUCUUACAGCAAAAGCUAGAGAGCCGCUACAAGUCUUUGAAUAAAAAGUAUCAAGGUGAGUACUUUUCAUGUUCUGGGUAUGUCCGACUAUUGUCGGUUGUGUUUGAACUUGGCCGUUUUUGCAGAACUCAAGAGGAAGGAGGCUACUGCAAGUAGCCAACUCCUUGAUUGGAGAAACUCGCAUGACCGAGUAGCGGAUGAAGCUGAACAUCUUCAAGCCGCGCUGACAGAGGCACAGGCUGCCUGCGAGCAUCAACGGGAUAGGAAGAUCCAGAAUGGAGUGAUGCUUGCUAUGGCCAUAGUGGUGUGCAGAGACCAUGCCCAGACCGUUGGAAGAUUUUGAAGCGAGCUCCAAGAGUUAACUGAUGCCGCUCAAGACUUGGUGAACGCCAUUGCCCCCUUAGAAGAGGAUGCAGGACCUCAAUCACUAGUCGAGCGCUUCAAGGCUGCUCCGGGUAAGGUGGCAGGCCUCUGCAAGGCUGUUUGCAAAUAGCUCCUUGCUAUGGUAAGGUCAUACUACCCAAGGGCAUAUUUUUCAACGGCUGGUGACAGCGUUGCUCGCAAUUGCACAGAGAAAGCCUAUGCGCAGUACCUCGAGGAGGCGGAACCAAUCGCGUCGAAGAUGUCAGAAUUUGUAUCUCUGGAGGAGCCUUGAGCGUUUAUGUACUCUUGUAAACUUUCGAGUACUUUGAAUGAUAUUGUGUCUGAGAGUUGAACACUUGUCUAUACUUUGUUGUUUGAAGUGGGUCUGACCCAUCAUGGGUAAGGAACGUUUUACUCUAUCUCACCUGACCCAAGGUCCCAUGGAUAGACACGCCCGACCCUAUGAGGAUGGAACUCCGCCUUGCCCGACCCCUUGCCGUAAGGCUUCAUAUCGCCCGACCUCGGGUGUAGGGAGUCGGACUCAACUGGGCCCCCAGGACAAGGAUCCGCUACAGGCACAACCCAGGUUUUGGCAGAAGUUGUUCUGAGGAUUGAGUUUGAGUAGUCACGAUGUAGUCGAGUAACCUUGUUAUUCUGUGAAUAGGAGGUGCACGGGUGUACUGUACUCUUUUGUCCUUCGUGGCAUGAAUGCUUUCACGUGGGCAGUCAGAGAUCAUCCAGACUCAUCGAUCACGGGCGCAUAGUAAAUUCUGGGUGGUUGAUGGUUGCAGCCCUUGGCUAUAAAUAGACCCUCCUGGAGGUCGACCCUGAAUCAAGCUUUGAGUAGCGCUAGAUUGCCUUCGGUUGCUGUUGUUUGAGUGUAGAGAGCCUUCAAAGAGUACACCGGUGCUAGAAGAUUCCUCGUAGGUCCCUGCACAGACUCUAGCGCUCAUAGGGAUAGCUGCGAUGCUAGAAGAAUCCUCGUAGGAGGUUUCAUCGCUGUCGUUUUGGAGUAGCUUUGGGAUCAACAUUUAGAGAGUGUUCGAUCAGCUCCUUGGGCACACCGGGCAUGUCAGCUGGUUUCCAAGUGAUGAUAUCGUGGUUAGCCCAAAGGAAACUGAUGAGCACGGAUUCCUAUUUAGGAUCUAGCCCUGUUCCAAUCAGGGCUGUCUUGGAGGAGUCACCCGUCUGGAGAUCGACUGGUUUGAAGUCUUGCUUGCUUGCGGGUUUCACCUUUGUAGACCCCGACUUGUUUUCUGGGAUCUCGAGUUCGGUUAGAUGGAGUUUCUUUGAAGCUGUGAAGACUUAUUGCAUGGGACUAGGUGUUUGAGAAGUCGCAGCGAUCUCCACGGCUUUAGUGUCGCAUUCAUAGGAUCACCGUAGAUCUCCCCGUAGCGUUAGUUCUCCCUUGGGACCUGGUAUUUUGAGUACCAAGUAAACGUAAUGUGGUAUAGCCAUGAACUUGGCGAGUGCUAGCCUUCCGAGUAUGGUGUGGUAGGAUGUCUCGAAAUCGGCGACUUCAAAUAUGAUAUAUUCGGUGCGGUAGUGUUCCUUAGUUCCAAAGGUAACUGGGAGGACAACUUGUCCAAGUGGUAUAGCUGCAUUUCCAGGUACGAUGCCAUAGAAGGGUGAAUCUGUUGGGGUCAACAUUUCUGUGACGUCGAGGCACAUCUUUCUUAGUGUUUUGGCGAAAAUGACAUGGAGUCCACUUCCACCAUCGAUGAGUACCUUUGUCAGCUUUGACCCUGCCACAAUGGGAUCGAGUACUAGAGGGAAUCGGCCUGGUUCUGAGAAUUUUGUCCACUGGUCUUUUCUGCUGAAGGAUAUGGGUACUUCGAACCAUUUAAGUGGUGUUGGAUCUAUUGGCUCGAUGGCCAUGAUUUUCCUGAGUACGAGUUUGUUGGCUCGCUUGGAUGCAGUGCCUGGGAUUCCGCCAAACAUGACGUUGACUGUCUUGGAGGCGGUCUGGAAGUCGCCUUCUUCUUCGUCGUUGUGGUUGUUCUUGCCCUUGUCCUUUUUCUUGUUGUAUUCUUCAGGGGGUGGUGGUGUGGGUAAGUCUUGCAUGACUUGACGCAUGCUGUAGCAAUCUAUUGCCGAGUGCUUGCUAGUCGGGUGCCAUGGGCACUGCUUUUUGAGUAGCUUGGUGAAGGUUGGCCCUUCAUCGUUUUUACGGGAUCCCUUUUUCCCGGAGUUGGUCAUGGCAGCAACGGUGUUGUCGGGCUUCCUUUUGCGAUUCUGAUUACUCGAAAAGUUAUUUCAAGUAUCAUUGUGCUGAGUUCUAUCUUGGUCAUUGUUGUUGUCGCGUCCUCGGUUGCGAUGAGAGCCAAACCAUUCACGCUCUUUGUCUUCUUCAUCCGCCCACUAUUGCACCAUGACUUUGAGGUCUUUGACGUUAGCUGGUCAUCAUUGACCGAAGUCUUGGUAUGUUCGCCGAUCAUAGGGUCCGUUCUGGAAACACUCGAUGACGUCUGUUUCUGAAAUGUCAACUAUAGUUGCCUUCUUUUCGAAGAAUCAUCUCAAGUAGUCGCGUAAGCUUUCACCUUCUUUCUGCUUUAUUUGACUCAAGUGGAUCUUGUUGCCUGGUCUAGCCAUGGAGCCAGCAUAGUUGUUGGUGAAAGCCUUUGUCAAAUCUGCCCAAGAGUCAAUUGACUUGGGUUUGAGUGACUCAAGCCACGUCAGUGGUUCGGGUUCCAUGCAUAUGGGAAAGUGGAUGACUUUGGUGUCGUUAUUGCCCCAAGCUGCUUGAACUGCUAGCGAGUAGCAUCGUAGCCAUUGAAUUGGGUCUUGUUUGCCAUCAUACUUGGUGAUUCCUGUUAGCUUCAACUUCUUGGGUAGUCUUGUCUUCAUUACCCUAUUUGUGAAAGCAGGAAAGUGGUUGUAGUUGUCGACUUCUCGCUCACGCCAACUGUUGAGUAUUUCUCGUAGAUCACUAAAGUUUGACACUUCGUGUUUCUUCUGAGUAGGGUGAAUACUUUUGUUGGCGCUAGAAAUCAGCCGAUUGAAUCUCUAGCGUCGGACACACGACCCGGGAGAAUCUACUUAACUCCUGUUCCGGUGAUCGCCCUGGUGCGGUUCGCGCGACGUGCCAGCCAAUCUGACCUAUUGAUUGGCACGGAAAGAAACGUGUCAGGUCCUAGAGGUUGCGAUCGGCUAAGGUUCCGAUCUUGAGAGAGCUUAUCAGCGAAUGGGUCGAUUUGCUGUAAUAAAGGAAUCGGCUAUAAUACAGCCGAUUACCAGGCAACAUUGGUAAAGAAAACUGCUAAGAGUAAACUAAACAACGCUACAGUAGCAACACUAGGAAUAGAUCUUAAUCGGCUAUGCAAAAAGUAGUAAAUUGAGCAAUAAGAUAUAAAAAAGCCGACAGUACUAAUUCCAAGCUGGAUAACUGGUGAUAAAACUAGAACAACAGGAAAAACCUAGAAUUCUAGUGAUUAUCGAUAACUGGUGAAUAAAUCUAAACGAAACGACAGCAAUGUGCCCGAAGUUAAAGCUUAGAUAUUACUCGAUAAGAGGAACUUACAGAAUCGGCCGGAGAUCAAGUUGAUGCAGCCCCGCCAACCCGUACGAACUCGUGAAAAGAAGAAAAGUAUUGGCGAAGUCGCCUGCUCGAAAGUAAAGUGCGAGGAAAUAGUAGUUUGUUGUAUUGAUUUGAUGAUGAUUACAGAUCUAUGAAAGCGGCUAUUUAUAGCCAGUUGCAACCAAUCUCUUAACUGACUAGGACUCUAUCUCUAAUUUUAAAUGAAAACAAAUAUUUACAAGCAUAAUUCUUAUCGGAGUUGGUCAUCGUGUUCCCACGGGCCGAUCUCCUUUUUAUCUUCAUAGCUCACUUUAGGCCCAUAUUGGCCCAACUGCUCCAACCUCCCAAUCGGCCAAUUUUCACCAAGUCCAUCCGCCGAAAUACUACAGCACCAAUCGGCCGAUCCUCAAUUGUAGCACCAAUCGGCCGAUUCCCAAUCGUGACCUCCGUGUUUCGCCGCAUAAGUUGAUUCCUUCCCUUCUUGACGUCGAUUUCAUAUGUGUAAAAAUCUGGCGUCAACACAUGCCCCCCAGUUUCGGAGUAAAACAUAAUCUUUACUUCGAAAUUCCUUUCAACUUCCCUUCCGAAACAAUUGCAUUGAAAAUACACUUUCGUUUCGCGGUCUUCUGCCUGAUGAUUGCAAUCUUUUCGAAAUGGGCGCCCACGACAACCACUCCUCCCAAAAAAAUCGAACCGUCGGCGUGGUAAAAAUUCCGCUUUUACCCUUUCUCAGACCGCCCUUAGAUAUCAGUACGUCCCGUACUUCUUCUUCACGAGCCCACGUCUUCCUUCUUUGGCGCACUGGCCUCCUUCUUCCGGCGUCUCUUUAGCCUCUAACCUCUCACUUCGGCGAGUUCUUCCAUCUACAUUCCACCCCACCUUCUCGAUGGCGACACCUUCAGGCACUCCACCAACAUCCGAGGUCCUGGAGACGGCUCCAUCAGCAGUGGCUCCAACAGCAAUGGCGGCAGCUCCAUUGGCAGGAGCAGGAGCUCCAUCGGGCGGGAGCGGGAGCUUCAUCGACGACCACAAUGAGCUUCAUACCAGAGGUUUCUACCAAAACUUUCCUUUCCGCUCCUCUAUGUCGAUGCAUUUACCUUAGAUCUGUUCUUACUUCCCCUUCCAUUCUUUACCUGUUUAGGCGGUUAGGCACAAGAUUACUAUUCGCCUCACCGAAACUCCCGGCCUUAUCUGUCUUGGUCCCAUGGGAAACAUAGAUACAACCGACCUAAUCAAUUUGGAAACCCAUAGGAUCCCUUUCAAGCAAUCAACCAUGGACCUAGAUCACUGGUCAGGUACCUUCAGAUCAUGGCCGAAUGAAACCCCCAGCUGGAGGGAAUGGUACCAAUGGAUAGCCGCCUUAAAAAGAGUUCAAUGGGACGAGCCUUUAGUAAUAGCAGCCUUAUCUUUGUCCCAAAUGGAAAGGAAUGAGCCUUUAGUAAUAGCAGCCUCCUACUUUUGGUCUGAUGCCCUCAACGCAUUCCUCUUAGGACACGGACCUAUGACCCCUACCCUGGCCGAUGUGGUCAUGUGGAUCGGCCUUGAUAUCUCCUCUCCCGAUACUCCUUUCCGUUACUUGGCCAAAACAUCCCAUCGGCUGGAGACGAAAGGAAUCGGCGGGUGGAAAGGAUUCAUCAAGUGCAACAGAAGGGCCGGGACAGUCCAGGAAAGAGAGCAUGCGGCCUUCUUGAUGAUGUGGCUAGAGAAACACCUUUUUUGCGGGAGGGCAGCCGGUCCAUCCACUAACACACAGGCUCUGGCCGAGACACUAUCGAUAGGGGCCUCUGUUCCUCUUGGAAAGCACCUAUUGGGAUCGGUUUACCAUAUGUUGCAUCAGAUCGGCGUCAAGCUAUCCAAAGGAGAGCCGAUUGGAAACCCAGGUGGACCCUGGUGGUUCAUCAACUUGUGGCUUAAUCUGUAUAUUAGCAAGAUCUCCCAGCAGCGAGUGGAGUACAUGACGUUCCCAAACAUCGAAUCGGCAGAGAAUCCCACUGUACGGCGCCGGUGUACUUCCUUCGGUGAAGCGGCAUCGGCCUUCUCCGGUUUCUCAUAUUCUGUUGCCAAGGUGGCCGAAUACUUCAGAUGCUUCUACAAUGGCUUUAGUGAAGACGCAACCAGCUGGUUCCCUUAUCAAAGGGAGGAACCACUCUUCGAGCUCCCGUCCUGUUUUGACUCGGCCACCAGCAAAUUUGAUGAGGACCUCACAGAUGAAUUGAUCAAGCCGGGGAUCCUGCCGGCGAACUUCUUCUCGGGGAAGGAUGCCCCCACUUAUGAGUUUUACCAUCCUUCCGUCACAGCACGGCAAUUCGGCUUGGGUCAACUGCCGAUUUAUGCAUACUUCACCGGCCGAGCAAAAUUUCGAGACGAGCUCACCAAAGGUCUCCACUACUACGAUCGGAUUCUAGACUCCAGCACCAUAGACUUGGCCAGUUGGAUAGUAGCCCCUUUCGCUGUUCAGCAGUUCAAGCUAUGGUGGGUGGAAUGGAAGCAACAUCUAUUCUGCGCCUCUACGGCGAUAUAUUGUAAUCUCCUGAAUCCCGACAACAUCGAUCCGAAUGCCGAGGUAUCGCUCUCUUUCUGGCUGAUUUUCAACUCCUUUUUUUUUAUACUGACUCUUAUUAUUAUUUCAGUCUGAGAGCCAUGCUCCCCCAAAAUGCAGUCGGAGUGGUCGGUCGAUAGAGGACCGUUAUCCAUACACAGCAUUCCCCCUCAUCGGCUAUCACGCCCCCUCCGUUGAUGACAUAGCCGGCCGAGCGAAGCAAGCGCAGAAAAAGAUUAUCAAGAAGACAAGUCGCCGAGUACGCGCCCGCACAGAAUCGGCCGAUCCACCCGUGGUUGCAUCGGCGGAAAUUUCGGCUGCGCCGACCCUUCCAGUCGCUGAAGAAUUUGACCUCCAAGCUGCUACAGAGGCCGGAGCAGCUGCCGCGUCAUUAUGGGUGGAAGCUAUUCAGGUAAACUCACCAUCCAAUUUUCCUAACAGUCAUUUCAAUACUGUCCUUUCCUUUAUUAGGCCGCGCAGACUCCCUCAGCAGAUCCACAGCAAUCUGCAAUGCCCCAAGCAGAAGUUGAAAUACCAGUGCCCCUUCCCGUUGAGGUACAUGAUCUCUCAACUCAAUUCUUUAAUAUUUGAAUGAUGAUCCUACCAACCUUGAUGCAAGUCAUCGGCACAUUAACUAUGCUAUCCGACUAGCCAUCUGCCAGAGAAGUCCUUCAAGAGGCCGGCCCGAGCAGAACGCCGAUCGUUGUCGAAUCCUCUUCUUCCGAUGAGCCAAUGGCACCAGUCCCCGAGUCGAGAGUGGCUGUUCCGCAAACACAGAUGGAGGAGAUCCGUUUCAAAGAGGUGAGAAGUCAUUUGACCCGCAUUGACCGAUUCAUCACCACCAUCGGCUGACUCAUUUUCCUUUUAUUUAUCAUUCACAGGAACAGGACACUCCCAAUAAUAGCCUCUUCUCAUUUGCGGUCGCGCUCUCUGAUGACGAGGAAGUUUCUUCUUGUCAAGUUACUUUGAGCUCCAUCCCCGAUGAUGUCCGCACUAAGCUCGAAAGUAUAUGGUCCCUUCUUCAAGAGGACAUCGGCCGAUUGGUGGAGGACGCCUCGCCGAUUUGGCAGCUCUUUGGUGAUGUCAGCGGGCAAGUCCCAGAGGAAGCAGAAGAAGCCUUAGCGCCGGCCGCUUAUAUCGAGUCGAUGCGGAUCCCGAUCUUCAGGGCUCUGCGUCACAUGGCUGAUAGCGCCAAGCUGGCUAAGACUCAUGAGGAAGAGGACUCGUACAAGCAUCGGGCCCAGGAGGUACACCAUCGGAUUCACUUCCUCGAGAAUUCCCGACCCGGACUCGUCGGCACGAUAGAUCGCCUCAAGCGCCGAAGGGCGGAACAUGCCAAGGAGAUGGAGCAGGUAACCAAAGAAAUAGCUAUUGAAGAGAAGAAGCUUCAGGAACUCCCUUCCGUUAUCGCCGAUUUAAAGCAGGAGAGGCAGCAUCUGGCCCAUGAGGCCCUUAGACUCCAUCGCCAUAUGUCAGAAGUUCCAGGGUCGGCAGAUGAUGACCAACGAGUCUUGGACUCGGCCGAUCAGAUCAGAAGUCGAGCGAUUGCAGCCAUUAACGCCCUUCUGGGUGAUCUGUAAAAGUACUGGCCAUUUUGUACGAACAUUAAUGCCUUUUGACUGUCCUUCGUGGCGCUCUCCUAUUUAUUACCCUUUUUACUCUGACAGGACGCAUCUUACCAAACCUCCGCGCUUCCUCUUAUUAUAAAUACCGGCCCUGGUUUCGCUCUUGAGAAUACCUGCUCCACUCUAUUCCUUUUUCCCCGAUUACGUUUCCAUCGGAACGUUCGUAGUCAUGUCUUCUUCGUCUUCUUCUUUCUCCUCGCCUUCUAUCAAUCAGGUACGAGGUCCGUCUCCGCCCUUUUUUCAGUUUGAUCCCUUUAAAUCAUUCCAACUUUUAGGCGGCUAUGUGCUAACUUUUUCAGCCAAGGCACCUUAGCCCUGAACUCGAAUGAGCAAUCAAACUCGUGCACUCUGACGAGUCAUUGUCGCAAGAGAACAAGGACUUGAUCAAGGCACACCGUGAAGAACUCAGAGAUCACGUUCCUGCCGACGUCCAACGGAUCUGGGACUUCAUCGAUGUCAAUGAUUACGGGAGACCGCAAGUUGACAGGAGCCACCCACUUCCUCUUCCGGUUGUUCUUGAAAACGUCGCGGUAGGGACAUCGCACCCGGUGAUGGAUCGGAGCCAUCCUCUUCCUCGCCAAGUUGAGGCGGAGGCCGCGAUGAGAGAUGUGGCAGAACGAAGCAUUCGCCUUCUGAUAGAAUUAGGUAGGAUUGAGAGGGAACUCAAGAAGAAGCGUAGUUGAGUAUUUUUUGUUCUAAGGACGAAGUGUACUGCGUCGGUCGUGUAAUUCAUCGUUCGUACCGAAUCACAAAUCGGCCAAUUUGAACGAUUAUUUUUCUCCUUUAGGCGAUUUCUUCUCCCGUAUCGGCUGUGUGAUCAUUCAGGGAGCGAUCUUUCUGUCUUAUGUUCCGACCCAUAUACUGGGGUAAUACCUUUUCAAGUACCUCCCGUUUAAGGCCCUAGUAAAUUCUUCUCCUUCGAUCAUUUCCAGAAUGUAAGCGUUUCCCAGGGCACAUCGGCCGAUUCUAUACGGCCCUUCCCAAGUGGGAGACCAUUUACCGAAUUUAGGAUCUUUUGAUCCAAUCGGCAACACUAACUUCCAUACUAGAUCCCCUUGGGAGAACUGCUUGACUUUGACCUUCUUGUCAUACCAUCUGGCCACUUUCUUUUUGUUUUCCUUGAUACUGAUCAAGGCUCUCAAACGUUGGCCCGCCAAAUCGUCGAGUUCCCUAUUCAUGAGCGAGGAGUAAUCAUCGGCCGUCAGCUGAUCUUGAAGCGACGUGCGUCUCGACCCUGUUCUCAACUCCCAUGGCAAUACUGCCUCAUGACCGUACACCAAUUGAUAAGGAGACACCUUGGUAGCCCCGUGGCAGGCCAUCCUGUAUGCCCAUAGAGCUUCGGUUAGACAUAAGUGCCAUUUUUUGGGUUGUUCUUCGAUCUUCCUCUUGAUCAACUUGAUUAUCCCUUUAUUGGAAGAUUUGGCCUGGCCGUUAGCCUGAGGAUAGUACGGGGAGGAAUUUAGCAGCUUGAUUCCCAUAUCGGCCGUGAACUCCUCGAACUCUCCCGACGUGAACAUCGUCCCUUGAUCAGUUGUGAUAGUCUGAGGGAUGCCGAAACGAUAGACAAUAUGAUCCCUCACGAAAUCGACCAUAGCGGCCGAUGUUACGGCCUUUAAUGGAACCGCCUCCACCCAUUUGGUGAAAUAAUCUGUGGCUACCAGAAUGAAUUUAUGUCCUUUACUUGACGGAGGAUAAAUUUUUCCAAUGAGGUCUAUUCCCCAACCUCUGAACGGCCACGGCUUGAUAAUUGGAUUCAUAGCCGACGCGGGCGCGCGUUGCACAUUCCCAUAUUUCUGACAAUCUUGGCUUCCUUUAUAAUACUUGAAACAGUCCUUAAGGAUUGUCGGCCAGUAAUAUCCAUUAUUCCUAAUCAUCCACUUCAUCUUAUGCGCCGAUUGGUGGGCUCCACACACCCCUUCGUGCAUUUCUCCCAUCAGGGUCUUUGCCUCCUCCGUCCCUAGGCAUUUGAGUAGAACACCAUCAAUCGUCCGGUAGAACAAAUCAUUUUCCAAUAACACAUAUUUUUGUGGCCUGAAAUCGUAUUCGCCGAUCCACUUUCUUAGAUGGGUCUUUUAAAUAAUCGGCGAUCUCUUUUCGCCAGCCGUCGGCCGCGAGUUCCAGAAUCAUGGCGCCUUGAAUCGGCCGAUACCCGAACGCGUGCUGAGCCAGCCUGUUGGCUUCUUCAUUGUAAUCCCUGGGGAUAUGCUCAAUAACUGUGGAUUUGAAUUCUUUCAGAAGUUGGAGGCAAUCCUCAUAGUAAACCCUUAAUACAUCAUCUUUGCACUCGGAUCUUCCUAUCAAUUGGUCCACGAUGAGCAUGGAAUCUCCAAAAACAUCGAUGGUGUCGGCCUUAAUUUCUCUUAACAAUUGUAACCCUUUCAGGACAGCCCGGUAUUCCGUCUGGUUAUUAGUGGCGGAUGCUUCUAUCGGUAGAGAGAAAUCAUAGCUUGCCCCCUGAGGUGAUAUGAGAACGAUGCCGAUUCCCGAUCCGGCCCCACAUGAUGAGCCAUCAAAAUAUAAGGUCCACGGUACUGGUUCCACGACAGCGAUUUCUGGUCCGCAGUGUUGGGCGACGAAAUCAGCCAUAACCUGACCUUUGAUGGCGUUUGCCGAUUCGUACCGUAGAUCAAACUCUGAUAAAGCCAAAAUCCACUUUCCGAUCCACCCUUUCAAAAUCGGCAAUGACAGCAUAUACUUUACUACGUCAUCCGUGCAUACAACCACGCAUUCUGCUGAUAACAAGUAGUGCCUGAGCUUGGUGCAUGAGAAGUAAAGACAUAAGCACAGCCGCUCUACCGGGGGAUAUCUUGAUUCGGCGUCCAAAAGUCUUCUACUAACAUAAUAUAUUACCCGUUCCUUUCCUUCGAACUCCUAGACUAGUGCCGAUCCGAUAGCUCGCUCAUCGGCCGAUAAAUACAGCUUGAAUGGCUUACCAGUUUCUGGUGGGACCAAGUACUGCUUGAUGUCUUCUAGUGCCUUGCGUUGCUCUUCUCCCCAUACAAACUCUUGGUUGGGUUUCAAUUUCAACAACGGUGUGAAGGCCUGGAUACGUCCGGAUAGGUUGGAUAUGAACCAGGCAACGUUGGUAAAGAAAACUGCUAAGAGUAAACUAAACAACGCUACAGUAGCAACACUAGGAACAGAUCUUAAUCGGCUAUGCAAAAAGUAGUAAAUUGAGCAAUAAGAUAUAAAAAAGCCGACAGUCCUAAUUCCAAGCUGGAUAACUGGUGAUAAAACUAGAACAAUAGGCAAAACCUAGAAUUCAAGUGAUUAUCGAUAACUAGUGAAUAAAUCUAAACGAAACGGCAGCAAUGCGCCCGAAGUUAAAGCUUAGAUAUUACUCGAUAUGCGGAACUUACAGAAUCAGCCGGAGAUCAAGUUGAUGCAGCCCCGCCAACCCGUACAAACUCAUGAAAAGAAGAAAAGUAUUGGCGAAGUCGCCUGCUCGAAAGUAAAGUGCGAGGAAAUAGUAGUUUGUUGUAUUGAUUUGAUGAUGAUUACAGAUCUAUGAAAGCGGCUAUUUAUAGCCUGUUACAACCAAUCUCUUAACCGACUAGAACUCUAUCUCUAAUUUUAAACGAAAAUGAAUAUUUACAAGCAUAAUUCCUAUCGGAGUUGGUCAUCGUGUUCCCAUGGGCCGAUCUCCUUUUUAUCUUCAUAGCUCACUUUAGGCCCAUAUUGGCCCAACUGCUCCAGCCUCCCAAUCGGCCGAUUUCCACCAACUCCAUCCGCCGAAAUACUGCAGCACCAAUCGGCCGAUUCCCAAUCGUGACCUCCGUGUUUCGCCGCAUCAGCUGAUUCCUUCCCUUCUUGACGCCGAUUUCAUAUGUGUCAAAAUCUGGCGUCAACACAUACAUAAUGAUGGUAUUGUUCCUACUUUCAGGAUGAGGUAUUUACUAUUGAAGCAACAAUAAAUGAAAUUAAUGCAACAUAUGGUUGGUACUACAUCUCAUGUAGUAGAGGCGAUUGUAAGAAGUAACUUGAAAAGAUGUUUGAUCACUACUAUUGCAAUAAAUGUGACAAGAGAGCCUAACCUAAAGCACGGUAAAUUAGUUAGUAGUUUACAAUCUUAUUAUAGUACUUCUAUUUCUAAUAGGAGAAUAAUAUUUGCAGAUUCAAAAUUAAGCUUCAAAUAAGUGAUCCAACAGCAAGUGCAACUUGUGUACUUUUGACAAGGAAGCAGAAAUGAUAAUUAAUGAAUGAGCAGAUUCGAUGAUCACCUCAGUUGAUCAUGAUAAUAAGUAGCUACCAAAAUCAAUUCAGAAAAUAUGUGAAGAAACAUUGAUUUUUCAAUUCAGAUUGACCGAGUACAACUUGACAAGUUUUAGACCUGAUUAUACUGUUUCAAAGAUAUUUUUUCCAAAAGAGAAGAGCAGUUCUAGAAUUGGUAUGGAAAGUGUAAAAAAGGUAACACUUUAUUAUUAAGUUUUUAUUGCACUUUUUUCUUUUGAAUCCUUAAUAUUUAAUAAUUUUACUAUAUCAAUGAAACAAAUUCUAACCUAAAUUUACAACUCAAACAAAUGCUACAUGAUAACUACCGAGAAUGAAGAGGUAGACACUGAUGACUCUUUUACCAAGAAAGUAACAUUCGUAGAAGAAGCCAUAAGGACUGGGGAAAGAUUGGCUAGAAAAGUAUACUCACUUCCAUCUCAGUAUUCAUUCUGUUUACAAUACAUGCAAAAAAAUAUUAUUCAUGCAAAAUUGCAGGUCUACUAAGCAUUAAAGGAAUAGCGGAUAGUGCAAUAUCUAAUUUGAGCAGCAUGCAUUACAAAGUGCUCUACUGCAAUUAAAUUAAAAAACAUGAUAUAUGUUGAAUUCUUAGACUUUAUUAUUAUACUUUUCUAUGUGACAAUUCACAAUUUUUUAGAAAAUAGAAGAUCCCAGAAGAAGUGAUCAUGAAAAAAGGUCUAUGCCCAGCAAUAAGAAAAAAAUGCAAGCAUAGAAACAAAUCCGUAGAAAACAUAGAAAAUAAGGUACUCCAUAAACAAAAGUAUUCUCUUAUAUUUUUAUUAAAUAUUUCUUUAACACUUGACAAGUUCUUUUUUAGGAUCAAUAUAUCAGCAAUUCAGAUGUCAUUGGAGAUGAAAACCUUAGUUCGUCCAAAAGGUCAAAAAAAACAUCUGAAGAAAGGUGUUUGGCUGAAAAGGAAAAGCAAGAAAGUUGUAAUGCAGACAAACACAUGCAGAAAAAUAUAAAAACAUGUAAUAGGGAGGCAGACCAAUCUUGCAAUGAGGUAUAGAUAAAACGUGAUACACGACCUGCCUACCUUGUCGUGGAUACCCCAAGAAGAUGUCGUAGAGGUGCAGACCAAGCUAGCAAGGAGGUCGAAACGUGAUACACGGCCUGCCUACCUUGCCGUGGAUAUUAGCCCUAAGAUCAUUCUACUGUUCAAGGAAUAACACUCAAUGCUGCUGCUGCUGCUGACCUGGCUCCAUAAAGUUAUACUCCUCUAGGUGCUUGCACUAACUUUAUCUGAAGUAUUAUUCUCUCUGCACUGUAUAUAUGGUUAUGGAGUUUGCUGGAGUAUCCGGGGGGAAGAACCUACAUAAUACGUCUUGGAACUAACUGACAUUGAUUCACAGACAAACUCUACAAGGUGCUGUUGUUGCCAUUUUAGAGCAUCCAAAGGACUAUAAAUAACAUAGUUUACCAUAUACCAUAUACCAUAAUAUGUUAGCUAAAAUAAGAGCAUACACAUGUUGCAGGAGUCCAAAAGCACCGGUUGAGGACCAGGUACAUUGAAUUACUAGAAAAAGACAGGGGACAAGGUUUAGGUAACCACAUGAAACAUUUGAAUUUACUGUACCAUGAACACUUAGUUACCAUGCUGGGAGCACAUAGUUAACACUAACAUUUAGCCACUUUAGAUCAUCCCGAAUCACCAAUGACCCUCAAUAGUGACAAAUUUUGGUUUAAAUGCCGUCACCAAUGAUCCUCAAUAGUGACGUAUUUAGGUUUAAAUCCCAUCACUAAUAACCCUCAAUAGUGACCUGUUUUGGUUUAAAUCUCAUUACCACUUAUCCUCAAUAGUGACGUGUUAAAACACGUUAUCUCAAUGGCAAAUCAUUGGUGACGUGUUUUAAAAAAACAUGGCACUGUGAGAGUCAUUGGUGAAGGGUAAUUAAAAUGCGUCACUAAUGUUGUAGCAUUAGUUAUGAUAAUUUAGUAAUGCAAAAAUCUACCAUCAGUAAUGAGCUUUAGAGCCAUCGCUAAUGUGGGUUUCUUACAUAGUGAUGCAAGCUCUACAAGGUGCUGUUGCUGCCAUUUUAAAGCAUCCUAUGACUACAUGUUAAUAACAUACUUUACCAUAUACCAUAAAAAUAUUAGUUACAAUAAGCACAUACGCAUGUGGAAGAGUCCGAAUGCACCGGUUGAGGACUAAACACAUUUAAUUACUAGAACCAAAUGUAUGUCCAGAACAAAGACAGGGGUCAAGGUUUGGGUAACCGCAUUAAAAACAUUGGAUUUUACUGUACAUGAACACUUAGUUACCAUUACCAUGCCUUGAGCACCUAGUUACAACAAACAUUAAUUUAGCCACUUUAGAGCUUCCAGAAUCGCUAUAAAUAAUAUACAUACGCCGUACCAUGAAAACAUCAAGAAGAGAGACGGAUACAUGGACCACCAUCAAGCGAGUACUGACAGCACGCACAAGAAUACCCAGAACCUGUUAGCUUGUCUGUAGUGAUCUGUUUUCUUCCCCAUAAAAUCCAUGAGUAUUGCCACAAAUAAUGAAAGAGGCUGACCAAGCUAGCAAGGAGGUAGAGCAAACGUGAUACACGGCCUGCCAAGAUUGCCCUGGAUACGCCAAUAAGAGCGACAGAUACAUGGAUCACACCAAUAUGGUGAAACGUAUAUUCAUCACACAAGCAAAGCUGGUCAGUUUAUCCAUGGUCAAAUUGUGGUCUUUGUUUUCACUUGAGAGCUAAUUGAGGCACUAUAAUAUGGGCAGGCCUAUCUUCAACAGACAUGACAGCUACAGGGAACUUGACAUAAUUUGCUGGACCGCCUGUGCACAAUUAUUUGUUUUAUUGUCCUUGCAUAGAAUGCUAAAAUACUCUUUACAAAAUGUUGGAUCUAAUAUUUGAAAUAUAGAGUAGUAAUCAUAUAUUGAUCAACAACUUGAAAUUAUCUGUACAUUCUCGGUGAAGCUGUUGAACUAAUUUUUGCAAAUUAUUAAUUAAUUCAUCUCAUUACGUAAAGAAAACAGUAAGUGGAUAAGAUAUUUCGUGGACCACAUCACUGCAAACAUGUCAUGGAGAGACAGACCAAGGAGGCAGGACGUGAUACACGACUUACCCUAGGUUGCCGUGGAACCGCCAAGAAGAGAUACAGAUACAUGGACCACACCAUCUUGGGAGUAGUGACAGCAUAUAUGCAGAAGAAUACCCCGUGCCUAUUUGCAUGCAUGUCUCAAGUGAUCUGUUUUCUUCAGAAAAUACAUGAGCAUUGCCAGAAAGAAUGGCAAGAGACAAACAUGUCGUAGAGACUUGCAUGUCUUGCCUUGGAUACGCCAAGAAGAGGGACACAUACAUGGAUAACACAAAUCUAGUGACACGUAUAUUCAUCACAAAGGCAAAUCUGAUAAUUUUAUCCAUGGAGCAGACCAAGGAGAAAUUGAUGACGGACAUGUGAUCUCUGUAUUCAGUUGAAAGCUAAUUGAGCUACACUAAUAUGAGCAGGACUAUAUUCAAGAGACUUGUUGAGAGCUACAGGGAACUUGUAAUAAUUUGCUGGGCGGCCUGCGCACAAUGAUUUGUUAUACAUAGUUGAAAUAUUUCAAGAAUUUAUCAACCUCGUACUCUGAAACCCUUGGUGCAAUGUACUCUGCUUUCCGAGGUAGACUGUUCACGUAAAAUGAGGUCAUGCGUAAGACGGAAUCGGAUUGGAUUCGCAGGGAAUCAGAUUUGGAUAGCACCUUUUAGCAGGUUUUUAGUCAAAUGCAAAUUCGGAUCCAGAUAUGGUUGAAUGCGAGUUCAAAAUUCUACUUGGAUAUCCAUUUAAUUUAGGUGAUAGCAAUUAGCACAAAAUGUUGGAAGAACAAAAUCAUAGUUAGACAUACAAUUACAUGUAUUGUUAAAGUAUAAUACAAUACACCAAGAUUAUUCCUUGAAAAUAUUUCUUAAAAAUAUUAUAAUAAAUGAAUACCACCAACAAAUAGUCGGUGGUCACUAAGUUGGAGCCAUUUCUGGUUACUAAUGCGGCCUGCUCCUCGACCAGCGACGACAGCUGAGCUUGUUCCUUCUGACACCAAAUCAUCAGAGUUUUCCCUCCACUACUAUAGAAUGCACCUUUAGCACCAAUUGGGAAAUCUCCUUCAGUAUCGGAUGCUGCAACCUAUGCUAUGAAAAUGGAGACUAAAAGCCUCGGUCUUGGGUACCGGUUGCAUGACGCAUUACUAAAGGAGGCAAAAGAGAAAUGUAACAAAAAAAUAUUUUGAAUUCCAAGAAUGUUUCACUAUUCAAGAUGACUAGCUGAGAGUCAUCAGACAAGAUACUAGGAACGUGGGUGCUUGAAUGCCAGGUGCUGGAGCGCGGCGAGGCAGUCGUCGUAGCCCGCCGGGAGCGGGUGCUCGGGCGCGAGGUGGUACUCGACGGAGACACCGAGCGUUGGGCGCGCGGCGGCGAGCGCGUUGAGGAAGUGAUCGUAGUGUGGCGACGUCGCGGACUCCGCCACGAAGCCGCCGCCGUGGAUGUACACCACCACGGGCAGCUUCGUCUUGCCGUCAGCGGCCACGGCCGCGGCCUAGGGUGGCAGGUAGAGGCGGAUGGAGCAGGAGCCGAGGUCGACGUCCCCGGAGUCGACGCCCGUGGCGGCGUCCAGGCCGGGCCUGACCGGCGGCGGCACGAGCGACGCGGCCGCUCUUGUAAAUCCAGCAGGUCUGUGCGGAGGCGGGCGGCGGGUGGGAGCGGCGGCGGGUGGUGCGGAGGCCGGCGGCGGCGGGUGGCGCGGAGGAAGGGGAGCUGGUGAGUGGUGACAGGGGAGGGGGGAGAGAGAGAGGGGGGUAGGGUGCAUUGAAUGAGGGCAGGAGGUGUAAAGUGCACCUUUUAGUCCCCAUAAACAACCAUAAGCAUCCCAAGAGUUGCUUAUUUACUUAUAAUAAGCAACCCCAUAAGCAAGAGUGAUUGGUUUCAUAAGCAACUUAUUUGCUUAUUUUAAGUUGCUUAUGCAUAAGCAUGUGAAACCAAACAGGCCCUUAACCUAUGGUUGUGGCACACAACCAUACAGUAGAUAGUAUUUAAUAAUGCUAUUCGUUUGGUAUGUGCAGAAGGGCACGCAUGAAAUGUCUGGCCCACGGUAAACAAGUACGGACGCUGCAAAUAAUCUACUCUGCUCGUCCAGUCCCUAGCCUAUAAAUAGAUGCCAUGCUAGCUCUUGUUGUGCUCACAAUUAAUCCGAUUACACACGAGCUUCUCUCCCUGGCCAAGACACAAUCAUAGUAUGAUGAAGAACAUGGCACUAGCCGGCAAUGGUAUGAAGAAGUUAAUCCUCGCUGUUCUCUUACUGUGUCUAGUUAUAGGGCAGAUACAAGUGGAAGCUAAGAGCUGCUGCCCAUCCACCACUGCAAGAAAUAUCUACAAUACCUGCCGUAUCACGGGUACAUCCCGUCCAACGUGUGCAAAACUGUCAGGCUGCAAAAUUAUCAGCGGGGACAAAUGCAAGCCCCCUAACGACCACCUCACCCUUGACCCGGACACUGGUAAAUAAUAAAUUUAUCUCACUUGAUUUCUUUGUGUUUUGAGUCGUUAAUGUAUUUUCCAUCUGAUGAAACGUAUUGGUUUUGCAUUGAAGAGGAAGUUAAUGUGCUUAACUUCUGCAAGUUGGGGUGUGCGUCGUCUGUGUGCAACAACAUCAACGCUGGUAAGCACCUUUUGCUCAGACAGAGAAAACAAUAAUCAUUAAUUAGCGGCAGCUAGAAUCCUAUAAUCUAAUAUAUAUAUAUAUAAUUUUAUCAGCUCUGGGAAAUGAAGAGGCGAACGAUGCCGUUGAGAGUUGCGACCAAGCCUGCUCUAGCUUCUGCAACGUGCACGUUGGCGCUGCCACCGUGGUUGCUUAAGCAAAUGCAUCCAACUGGAUCGUCCUUGUGCUGAAUAAUUGGAUAUCGUAUCCACUUAAAGCUGCCUUGUGUAGUACGUCUUUGUUUGUGUCUCUCUUUAUAUUCCAAUAAGGUCGGUGAUCUUGAUGCCACACACUCAGACGUGUGUUCAUCUCCAGAUACUACUCCAUGCUACCUACCCUUUGUGUUUUGUUCAAUAACUGGGUAUCAUAUUCCGGCCAGUGUGCCAUCUGUUUUGUGUUUAUUUCCUUCUAGUUCCAAAGGGGUCAUCAUGAUGUUACCUUCUUUCGAUAUGGUGCUUUGCAUGACUACUGUUGUAUGGUACCAUCUUGUUGGCCAAUAAAUACAUCUUAUCCUA